Molecule: long non-coding RNA, 97909 nt
Filed under: Sorghum bicolor (sorghum)
Lineage: Eukaryota; Viridiplantae; Streptophyta; Magnoliopsida; Poales; Poaceae
Description: long non-coding RNA (SBIC_LNC010639)
Rfam family: Plant small nucleolar RNA R71 (bases 9449-9555)
Source: RNAcentral
CCACAAACACGAUGCACAACCGCUAAGAAUGGAAAGCUUCCACAAGAUGAUACUGUACCAUCACUCUUCAAGCAAGGUAACAUCUUAAGGUACUUGACUAUCACUUUUAUAAGCUUCUCCUUGGUUCUGGCGUUCAUAUAAAUAAAAGAGACAAACGUGUAUGAUUUACAACUCUAGAUUAACCAACCCAACUGAUUCAACAUGUUUAGUCCUUUAAUCCUUGUUCUUAGUACUACCUCCAUGAUCCCACACUCCUAAUCAUUUGAGCUAAAAUGUUACACAUUCAAUCAUUGAGAGAUAUAAAGAAAAAGAUAUGUACAUAAAUAGAUUAUCUUUCCAUAAGGUUGAGCGAUCUGAUCUGACAAAUGUUAUAAGUGCUACACUCAUGAACUUAUCAUCCAUCAACUUUGUCUUGCUCACUAUGCUUAAGGUUAGAGAAGAACAAAUACACUUUUGGUUCUGUUGGUGUUUUCCACCAACAGGGCCCAUGCACUUGAUCUCUGCCUUGUCUCUAUGAGCAGGUACACUACGAGCACAAACACACUGAGCAAGAUACUGCUAACACCGCACUUCGAACUGCUGGGCAAACGAAGAACAUGGGUGACACCGUAUUAAAAGGUGCAGACGUCAAGGUCCGCACCUGAAUCAAAUGACGCACCUGAAGAAUGAACACGGUGAGAAGUCUUGUCAAGAAGACUUAAAACAUUACACCCUCGCCGAAAGGUAAGAUUGGUAGUUAUCCAUAUUUAUCCUUUCUGCAUUCCCUUUUCCCUUUAAUUAUUUACUUUCCUUAAAUACAUUUUUGGUUAAUCAUGCUAUCUUGAAAAGAAAAUAAAAAUAUUAAAAAAUACUAAGCCCCAAGUGAGUAUACGAGUGGCAUAAAACCCAUAAGUACCUUCACUGUGGUGGCAUAAAAAUAAAAUAAAUAUUUCUUUUUUACUUUAUAAAAUAAAAAUAUAAAAACAGGGAGUAAUAUUUAUUGAGGAAGCUCAACGUGAUGAAGGCUAGAUAUUUAUGCUAACACUUAAUUAGUUCCACAAGCUUUGUUGUCUAUUUGAGCUCCACAGAAUUUAAGAAUCAAGAAGACUAGCAGACGGAGGACAUUCUAAUCGCUGUCAGAAUGCUGCUGACUUUUAAAUACACCUCUGCCACCUGCUAGCUACAUCAAGAGAAAUUACGUCAAAAUUCAGCUUGGGGGAGAGCACCCCUAUUUAUCUCGCUAAGUAUUUCUACCUAUCUUUAUACUUAUAUUAUAUUAGAAUAUUAAUAUACAUAAACUAUGAAAAACCAAAUAAAGAUUUUAUGCUUAUAUAUAUAUAUAUAUCUUCUCUUAGUUUGUUAAAUAAAUAAAUAAAUAAAUAAAUAAAGUUUGCUAUGAAUCUUAAUAAUAAAACUCUAGCAUGGAUAUGAUGAAUAGUUGCUCUGCCUAAUUUGCAAAUUUGAAGUUCUCUCUCAAGUUUAGACAUAACUGUUAUAAUUUAAAGCUUGCUCUAGAUCUAAACUUGUGGGAUGAAAACUUAACCUGAAAUCUAAGUUGUUAACGGAUAUGAUAUGGGAAGGUUGAGCUGCUGUUUAUCUGUUCCUAGAGAUGCUAGAAUUCUGGAGAAUUUUAUCUUUGAAAAUCUUUAAAAUAUUGCAUGAUGAGUUCCUGUAUGAUGAAGUUUAAAUUCCUACCACAGCCAUAUAUACAUGCUUGCUAGACUUUGAGCCACACAUUUAUUUACUGCUUAUGAGCAUUGAGUGUGGUCAAGCUGUGUAGACCCUUAGGAGCUUGUCAUGUGGUUAAAUCAAGAUUCACUUGCACGUUCACUCAUAUAUGCUACUUCUACUCCGGAAGUACCAUCCACAUAUAUCCAUCCAUUUCCAUCUCCAGUUUCACCCAAAAUCAUUCUACUCCUAAUCCGGGAAAGAAUAGCCAAAAACAUUUUCCUAUCCCUGUUAUUCCCUAUGAAAUAAAUGCUCCAGUUAUUUUGGUUACUACCACUUGCUAUAUUAUCUUAAGAGAUGAGUGCUCUGAAAAAAAAAAGAAGAAAAAAAAAGAGAGAAAAGAAAAAAAAAUAAAACGAGGAAAUAAAAAGGGGCAAGUGCCCGGAACCUCGAAAGAAAAGAAAAAGAGUGAGACGAGAAGUAAAAAUGGACAAGUGUCCGACAGUAGAAUUAGGGGUACAGGAUACCCAUCUGAGAGAAAAGAAAAAGAAGAGCAUCUCAUUCUCCUCAUAAAGUUUCAAAAAGCAAGGAAGGUAUGUAUCCCCUCAAAAGAGCAAAAGUAGAAUUAGACUUUCACCAUUGUUAUCACCAUCAUCACCAUACACUAUUCAUUUGCCACACAUGCACAUCUUGAUUUGUCUUAUUGAUUUGUUUCUUUGGAUCCAUGGUUUGACUAUACAAUAAAUGUCUUGUAAGUAUGUAUAUUUUAUCUCCCACCUAUGAGCUCCAGAUAUUAAAGCCUUAUUAGAGUAGGGUGAGAGAGAAGACAAUGUCACUAUCCCUUAUACCACAAAUACCACAUAUUUUGAGAGAAGGCAUAUACCAUCACUUCCUUGGUAAGGAUCUAGAAUUACCACAAAAGAGAGAUAUGAGAGAGUCAUACAAAGGAAUCUCUGUGUUUUAUUUGGAAAUCUGCAAAAACUCCAGAGCUAUAGCUGAUCAAGAAUAAGCGACAUGGCACUUGACUGGACUAUUCUAUCAUUUAACCACUCAAGAAAGAAGUGACUGUUACAAGUCCCAUGGUGAAAGGUAAAGUAAGUAAGUUUUAAGUCUUGACAGUUUACUCUAACUCAGAGAUGAGACCUCAUUUAAAAGCAUGUGUACCGUCAAUUUUUAAAGAUAUUGCAACAACUUAUGAUCCAUAGCUGAGUCUAUCCUUGCUCAGGGACGAGCAAGAGGUAAGCUUGGGGGAGUUUGUUGACGGUCCUUAAGUAUCAAAUUGAACUAUCAAAUAAACAAAGAAAAGGAUCCAAAUGAAAUCAACAUCGAGACUUAGGGUUUUAUCUGACAGAAUUCCAUGAGUUUUGGUGUUUGUCUAUUUCUGCAGGGGGUUAUCAGGAAAUAAGGAAGAAAGGCCCACACGUCGGGAUUACAUAGAGAUAUCAACGUGCCGUGCAAUUAUCUUACAUCUAGAAGACUCCAGAAGCCACGGGAAGGAAGCGGAGACCGAACGGAGUCAGGGACAGGGCGCCCGCCCAAGUCCUUAGGGCGCCCGCCCACCUUUUUCGGCCAAUCAUGCUCAAUCUCGCAGAUUAUGCUCCACCGACCUAAAGGAUCAAGAAUAACCGUUCAAUCAAUGUCGGUUUGAUCCGACGGCCCAGGUUCACUUGAGGGGACUAUAAAACCAGACCCCCUGGCCCCUGGAGGAGGCACCCCCUUGAUCAUUAUUCAUUAUUCAUAGACAGAGCAAAAGCUAGGGUUUAGAGAUGAGAGCUCUCCUCUCUUCUCUAAACUAGAGUAGAUCUAGAUAGUAGCGAGAUGGAGAGCGAAGGAGGAUUAGAGGAGAGGCCGGCCUGUCGGUUCUUCCUCCGGUUGUACUUCGCCAUGAUCAAGCUCUAAUCAAGCUUGCUCAUGGGAUGACUCUGGUAAUCUACUUCUAAUUCAUUAUGCAAUUACUAAUCAUGUAUGUUGUGGUUCACAACUCUUUUGAGUACUUCUAAUCUAUAGGACCCUAUAGGUUAGAGUUGUAGUAUAGGUGUAAGCGUGGUGCUUAGACCUAGAUUACUUGUGGAUAUCCCCUGACUAGCUGGAUCGUGUGGUAGGCCGCGUAGGUGACAGUUACGUUGGUCCCCUGUAGUCCAACUCUCGUUAGCAGGACGGGUAGGGUUUAUCGGCCUAAGGAUAAGCAUCCUUUGUGGUGUACUCUUAUCAUGUGGUUCGUCCCAGACAUAGACAUACCCCUUUGAAGUAGAGAAACCAUAGUUAUCCUCUGUAUUCUGCUACCAACGCCCAUAUACUAGAAUUGCUCUAUUCUCUAUUCCCAUAUUAUCACUCACUGUUAUCAUACCUUUAAUAUUGUUCUUAUUUAAUUCUAUCAUCUUUCCUAUUUACACCUAUCUAUCUAUCUUGGUUAAGUUAGAGUGUAGUUGGUUCUCCCGUUUCCCUGUGGAUACGAUAAAACCUUUAACCGGGUAAAAGCUUCAACGGUAUCCGUGCGCUUGCGGAUUAUCUGUGUGCGUAGAAAUACCAUAGUACACUCUAGUGCCAUGCUGGGGAUGACAACCUAGUAUUCAAGUGGUGUUAGCAAGUGUCAACACAAGCAAACUUAGCAAUCAUUGUGAGACAAGACUACGCCCAUGCAUAGUGAUAUUAGCAAGGAAUAUGAGAAACAUAGCAAUCACUCCCCUAUAAUAAUGUUGCUCUGCCAGCCCAAUACAUGAGAGGGGGACUAUAUAAGAAUCAAUGAAGCUGUCACUAUUACGAACCACCCCACGAUCUGGCAUUGGGUACAAUCGCAGAUAAAUAUGGUAUAAGCACCACGCCUACACAAUAUCUAUCAUUUACCCAUGGAUCCGAUGGAUAAACGCUAUACGAUCCUAAGCAAAGUCAUAAGAAAUAUAUUGAAGUAGAACAAAGUCAUAUUCAUAAUAUUGAAGAACAAAGAUAAUUAGAAAGCAAUUACAAGCACAAUUAGAGAAUUACCAAGAAUCCUCUUGACAGAUCCGGAAACCAAUCGAAGAUUGACUCCUUCUAGUUCUAAUCCUAUGUAGCUAUGCUAAUCUAGAUGUCUAAUUGAUGUGGUUGCUCUAAUCUUGAUCAGAGGCUUCUUCUCCCUUGAUGGAACAAUGAAUUAGGGUUGAGAGGCUCUCUCCUCCAGGGGCCAGGGGGUCUGGUUUUAUAGUCCCUUCAAGUGAAUAUGGGCCCUUGGAUCAAACCGACAUAGAUUGUAUGGUUUAGAUUCAUCCUUUAGGUCGGUGGAGAUCUCCCGCAAAGCAGAGUCCUGAUUGGACUCCUGGAGGGGGCGGGCGCCCAGUAGGACAGGGCGGGCGCCCUGUCUCUGGCCCCGUUUCGCCUCCGCUUCGGUCUCGUGGCUUCUGGAGUCUUCUAGAUGUAAGAUAAUUGCACAGCACGUUAAUAUCUUUACGUAAUCCCGACAUGUGGGCCUUUCUUCCAUAUGUCGUGAUAACCCCCUGCAAAAAUAGACAAACACCAAAACUCAUGGAAUUCUGUCAGAUAAAACCCUAAGUCUAGAUCUUGAUUUCAUUUGGAUCCUUUUCUUUAUUUAUUUGAUAAUUAAAUUUGAUACUUAAGGACCGUCAACAAACUCCCCCAAGCUUACCUCUUGCUCGUCUCUGAGUAAGGAUAGACUCAGCUAUGGAUCAUAAGUAGUUGCAAUAUAUUUAAAAAUUGACGCUACACAUGCUUUUAAAUAAGAUCUCAUCUCUGAGUUAGAGUAAACUGUCAAGACUUAAAACUUACUUACUUUACCUUCACCAUGGGACUUGUAACUGUCACUUCUGUCUUGAGUGGUUAAAAGAUAGAACUGUCUAGCCAAGUGCCAUGUCUCUUAUUCUUGAUCAGCUAUAGCUUUGGGGUUUUUGCAGAUUUUCAAAUAAAACUCAGAGAUUCCUUGUAUGAUUCUCUCAGGUCUCUCUUUUGUGGUAUUUUUGGAUCCUUACCAAGGCAGUGAUGGUAUAUGCCUUCUCUCAAAAUAUGUAGUAUUUGUGGUUUGAGACAUAGUGACAUUGCCUUCUCUCUCACCCUACUCUAAUAAGGCUUUAAUAUCUGGAGCUCAUAGGUGGGAGAUAAAGUAUACAUACUUAUAAGACAUUUAUUGCAUAGUCAAACCAUGGAUCCAAAGUAACAAGUCAAUAAGCCAAAUCAAGAUGUGCAUGUGUGGCGAAUGAAUGGUGUAUGGUGAUGAUGGUGAUAACAAUGGUGAAAACAAUGGUGGUGGAAGUCUAAUUCUACUUUGCUCUUUGAGGGGAUACAUACCUUCCUUGCUUUUUGAAACUUUAUGAGGAGAAUGAGAUGCUCUAUAUUUUUCUUUUCUCUCAGGUGGGUAUCUUGCACCCCUAAUUCUACUGUCGGACACUUGUCCAUUUUUACCUCUCGUCUCACUUUUUCUUUUCUUUUGAGGUUCCGAGCACUUGCUCCUUUUUAUUUCCUCGUAUCUUUUUUUUAGAGGAUUCAUCUCUUGAGAUAAUAUAGCAAGUGGUAGUAACAAGAUAACUUGAGUAUUUAUUUCACAAGGGGAAAACAGAAAUAUUUUUGGUUACUCUCUCCCGGAUUAGGAGUAGAAUAUUUUUGGUUGGUUCUGGAGAUGGAAUGGGUGGAUAUAUGUGGAUGGUACUUCCGGAGUAGAAGUAGCAUAUAUGAGUGAACGUACAAGUGAAAUCUUGAUUUAACCACAUGACAAGCUCCUAAGGGUCUACACAGCUUGACCACACUCAAUGCUCAUAAGCAGUAAAUAGUAAAUGUGUGGCUCAAAGUCUAGCAAGCAUGUAUAUAUGGCUUUGGUAGGAAUUUAAACUCUCAUCAUACAGGAACUCAUCAUGCAACAUUUUAAAGAUUUUCAAAGAUAAAAUUCUCCAGAAUUCUAGCAUCUCUAGGAACACAUAAACAGCAGCUCAACCUUCCCAUAUCGUAUCCGUUAACAACUUAGACUUCAGAUCAAAUUUUCAUCCCACAAGUUUAGGUCUAGAGCAAGCUUUAAAUUAUAACAGUUAUAUCUAAACUUGAGAGAGAACUUAAAAUGUGCAAAUUAGGCAGAGCAACUAUUCAUCAUAUUCAUGCUUAAAUUUUAUUUAGAUACAGAUUAGCAUAGCCACUUUAUUUAUUUAUUAAACACACUAAGCAAAAGACAUAUAUAUAAGCAUAAAAUCUUUAUUUGGUUUUCCAUAGUUUAUGUGUAUUUAUAUUCUAAAAUAAUAUAAGUAUAAAGAUAGAUAGAAAUACUUAUCGAGAUAAAUGGGGGUGCUCUCCCUCAAGCUGAAUUUUGACGUAAUUUCUCUUGAUGUAGCUAGCAGGUGGCAGAGGUGUAUUUGAAAGUCAGCAGCAUUCUGACAGCGAUUAGAAUGUCCUCCGUCUGCUAGUCUUCUUGAUUCUUAAAUUCUGUGGAGCUCAAAUAGACAACAAAGCUUGUGGAACUGAUUAAGUGUUAGCAUAAAUAUCUAGCCUUUAUUAUCUUGAGACUCCUUAAUAAUUAUUACUCCCUGUUUUUAUAUUUUUAUUUUAUAAAGCAGAAAAAUAAUUAUUUUAUUUUUAUACCACCACAGUGAAUGUACUUAUGGGUUUUAUGCCACUCGUCUACUCACAUGGGGCUUACUGUUUUUCACAUUUUUAUUUUCUUUUUUAGGAUAAUACGAACAAGAUUAACUAAGUAAACUAUUUGAAAUAAUUGAAAUGAUUAAAAGGGAAAGGAUAACUUCCAAGUUUACCUCUUGGCAAGGCGUUCGGUGUUUUUAAGUCCUCCGAACGGGACUCUCCUAUUUCUUAAUCGUCCUGAGGUUCGUUGGGUGGCGUAGUCGGUACUUCCGGCAGCGCCUCGUCUUCAUGUAUAGUUAUCUUCAUUUUCCACACCUGACUCGGUGCUUCAAUCUCCUCUAGAUAAUUUUGUUUAAACUCUAUGUCUUCUGACCUUACAACUUCUCCUUCAUAGUCUGCCCAUCCAUCCUUGAUGAUCUGCCUCCUCGGGUUGCGGUUGCGUCUCUUUCUAACCUGCUUAGAUUCUUCAACAAUAUAGUUAGGGUCAGUAAAAUAACGGCGUACCUUCUCUGAGGGGAAGUGCAUAUGGACUUCUCCGGUUCCAAUGUAGAUAAUUGUUUUAACGGUGCCGAGGAACGGUCUUCCAAGGAUGAUGGGUGGAUCGUACUCGUCUUCUCCCAUGUCAACAACUUGAAAGUCUGUGUAGACAAAGUGAUCGUCUAUUUUGACUGGGACAUCAGAUACUAUUCCUUGAACUUCUCGAAAUGUCUGAUCUGCCAUCUGGAGCUGAAUGUAUGUUGGUCUUAGUGGCAUGGUUCCGAACAAGAGCCGAUAGGUGACUGCGGCCAUUAUGUUGACGCCUGAUCCGGUGUCGCAAAUCGUCUUGUAGAAGUUGUAUCCAUUUAUGGAGCAGUAGAUGCUUGGCAUUCCUGGGUCGUCCUUCUUAGUCAAAAACGGUGACUUAAGUUGGUGAUCUUGGCCUCCAUGAACUACAGUGACCAUCUUAGCUGACUCGGUCCACACUUGCUUGUUCCUGUUUCUCCUGUUGGUCCUCUUCUUUGAUUUACGUCUGGAUUGAUCUGGAAUUUGUGUAGUCUUGUUCUUGAAGAAAAAUGUCUCCUUCUUCCCUUUGACGUAGAAACUGAUCUUGGCAGCACUGGCGUAGAUGAUAGCUGCCGUGGUAUUCAAGAAUGGCCUCCCUAAGAUGAUAGGUGCUCUCUCAUCAUUUCCGGUCUCUACCACUACGAAGUCUGCUGGGGCAUAUAAGGUACCAACUCGGACACAAAGGUUCCUCUAUAUUCCUUUUGGAAAAGUUAUCGUCUGAUCUGCAAACUGCAAACACAUGGUUGUUUCUAAUAAAGGAUAUGUAAAGAAUUUUUCAUAGAGUACCCUGGGUAUAAUGUUGACGCUGGAGCCAAAGUCGCAGAGUGCUUCUGGAACGUCCACCAUGCCGAUGGAGAUCGGGAUGACGGGGCGUCCUGGAUCGCCUCUCUUGAUCGGCAGACGGUCAGUAGAAAAUUCAGUGAUGGGGUUACUCCAAUUACCUGCAUUAAACAUGUCUACAAGAUUUGCAGAUUCUAAUCCUUCCGGUUGUGAUGGUAUACCGGGGUUAGUAGUAGGAACAGCAGCAGCUAUUUGAUUUAACUGGGAUUCAAUCAUUUUAUUAAAGCUAAUUUGAUUUUUGAUGGUAGUAGAGAAAUUAUCCAUUCUAUUAUUUCUAUUUUCUAGCAUUUUAUCAUUAGAUGCCAAUUUCUUAGAUAGAUUAUCCAUUAGCUUUCCUUGAUUAGACACUAACUCUCUCAAAGGUGGAAAAUUAUUAUUAUUGUUGUAAGAAUUGUUACCUUGAUAAUUACCUCAGUAGUUAGGCCUCUGUUGAUUCCAACCUUGAGUUUGUUGAGGACGGUUGUAGUAGUUGUUGUUGUUGUUGUUGUUGAUGUAGUUCACAUCCUCAAGCAUCUCAGGACAGUGAUUGCCAGAUUGUCCAGUAUCUCCACACUCCUCACAAGUCAUGUGAGAGUCGUAGAUGUGCAUAACUUCUUUCUUGUCUCCAGCUCUAUCAUCGAGCUUCUUCAUGAGCAGGUCUAGCUUUGCAGACAGCAUGUUUACCUCCUUCAGCUGAUGCGUACCUCCACCUCUCUUGCGUGUCUGGGUCCUCUCUUCAUUCCAGCUUUGAUUGGACGCCAUCUUCUCCACAAGAGCUGUGGCUUGUGGUAUAGUAAGUGAUAAGAAUGCUCCUCCAGCUGCAGCAUCCAUGGUCUCUCGGGCACUGUUGCUGAGCCCAUGAUAGAAUGUCUGCAUCAAUAGCCAACUCUCCAUUCCAUGAUGGGGACAUUCUAGGAUGUAGUCUUGAAAGCGCUCCCAUGCUUCUGGAACAGAUUCAUCAUUUUGUUGCUGAAAACUUGUAAUCUUCCCACGGAGAGCAUUGGUCUUGCCCAUGGAAAAGAACUUUGCCAGGAAGUUUGUUGAGCAGAGUGCCCACGUAGUAUUCUUCUCCUUUGUAGCGUAGAACCACUGCUUCGCUCUUCCUAACAGUGAGAAUGGGAAGAGGCGAAGUAGUAUAGCGUCUUUGGAAACUCCUGCUAUGGUGAAUGUGUUGUAAAUCUCCAGGAAGUGUUGUAAAUCAGCACUAGCAUCUUCGUGUGCCUUCCCACAUAACUGGUUGGAUUGCACCAUGUUGAUAAGUCCAGGCUUGAGCUCAAAGUUGCCAUCGAUCUCUGCAGCAGGUCCAGUGCGGAUGUUGUCCGUAGUGGGAGCUGAGAACUCGCGGAUUGAUUUGUUUGCCAUGGCUUCGAACUCUGAAGACAAGUUCCGGUGAUCUUCUUGAUUGGAUGAAGCUUCUUGCUGAAGUGUUGAUGAUUUCUUUAGCUUGGCUCUCGUCUUCUUGAAUAAUGCUUCGGGAUUGUCAACAAAAAUCCCUGGAAGAUGUCUUCUAUUCAUACAUUCCCCUGCAUAAGAUAAAAUAGAAAAAUAUCGGGGUAAAACUGUAUGAGAGAAUAGAUAAGCUCAAUCAUAUUAGUGAUGCGAAUGAUAACUCAAAAUCUUUUAUUCCAUUCCUGAUUGGUAAUCAACCUUCCCCGGCAACGGCGCCAAAAAUGCUUGUUGGGUAUUCUUAACAUCAUUACCAAAAGUAGACUAAGUUCUAAAUCUAGCAACGGUGCCAAAAAUGCCAAACCUAUCCCUCACACCAGUUAAGCCAAGUUGUCAUCCCCAGCAUGACAUGAGAGACGCGGUAUUGAAAUAUGCAAUUGCUCUUCUAAAUAAAUAAUGAAUGGGAUCUGCAAGCGCACAGAUUAAUACCGAUGCAGCAUUUUAACCGGGAAGUAUUCCAGGUAUCGUUAUUUAUAUUUUUACCACUGGGAAGGGAUUAGCAAUCAUCAUUAUUGAUUAUAGAAUAGAAUAUGAGAUUGAGCAUCUAUCAUUGCAUGUAUAAUUGAGAACAUUAAUCUAACUCUUCACACAGAGAUAAGUGUCACAUAAAAGAUAUAUGAAAUAAUAAUAGUGACAAGGAUAACUAAUCUGAUCUAGCCACAUAAUAAAUAUGAUAAGCACCUCAAUUAGAUACUCUAGAAAGUCAUUAGCAUGGUAUUAGAACGAACUACAAGAAUAUUCCCUAAGUUAUUCUUAACUAUAUAGUCUAGCAUUAUCAUAAUUAGUGCAAGCAUACUUAGCAAUCAUUGCGAGACAAGACUACGCCCAUGCAUAGUGAUAUUAGCAAGGAAUAUGAGAAACAUAGCAAUCACUCCCCUGUAAUAAUGUUGCUCUGCCAGCCCAAUACACGAGAGGGGGACUAUAUAAGAAUCAAUGAAGCUGUCACUAUCACGAACCACCCCACGAUCUAGCAUAUUGGGUACAAUCGCACAUAAAUACGGUAUAUGCACCACGCCUACACAAUAUCUAUCAUUUACCCAUGGAUCCGAUGGAUAAACGCUAUACGAUCCUAAGCAUGUAUAUAGAUCGAAUCUAACUAAGCCAAGUACAUAACUAUGAUAAACUAAGAACAAUAUAAUCUUGAAUAUAAGCAAGUAGAGCAAAGUCAUAAGCAAUAUAUUGAAGUAGAACAAAGUCAUAUUCAUAAUAUUGAAGAACAAAGAUAAUUAGAAAGCAAUUAGAAGCACAAUUAGAGAAUUACCAAGAAUCCUCUUGAUAGAUCCGGAAACCAAUCGAAGAUUGACUCCUUCUAGUUCUAAUCCUAUGUAGCUAUGCUAAUCUAGAUGUCUAAUUGAUGUGGUGGCUCUAAUCUUGAUCAGAGGCUUCUUCUCCCUUGAUGGAACAAUGAAUUAGGGUUGAGAAGCUCUCUCCUCCAGGGGCCAGGGGGUCUGGUUUUAUAGUCCCUUCAAGUGAAUAUGGGCCCUUGGAUCAAACCGACAUAGAUUGUAUGGUUUAGAUUCAUCCUUUAGGUCGGUGGAGAUCUCCCGUAAAGCAGAGUCCUGAUUGGACUCCUGGAGGGGGCGGGCGCCCAGUAGGAUAGGGCGGGCGCCCUGUCUCUGGCCCCGUUUCGCCUCCGCUUCGGUCUCGUGGCUUUUGGAGUCUUCUAGAUGUAAGAUAAUUGCGCAGCACGUUAAUAUCUUUACGUAAUCCCGACAUGUGGGCCUUUCUUCCAUAUUUCCUGAUAACCCCCUGCAGAAAUAGACAAACACCAAAACUCGUAGAAUUCUGUCAGAUAAAACCCUAAGUCUAGAUCUUGAUUUCAUUUGGAUCCUUUUCUUUAUUUAUUUGAUAAUUAAAUUUGAUACUUAAGGACCGUCAACAAGCACCAUGGUAUUUAGGUCCUCCUGGAAUCGCUUUGCCCGUGGCUACUUCCCUUGUAUGAUGAUUGUUAAUCCCACGGCUUCGUCACCGACAUCUCUAAGACCGACGCGGAGAACGAAGAGAGGCUCCAUGCCUUGAUCGACGACGCGGAGGCUCCUGGGGAGAGGCUGGCCAAGCUAUUUGAGCCUGAGGUGCUUCCUCCUGAGACUAGCUCGGGCGGAGGUGAGGGUGGUGAGGAUCGUGCCAUGGACUGAGGCCUGCGAGCCUGCUCGUGGUGCCUGGGGCCCCUGGUAUAAUACUUUGUUAAUCCUGUUUUUAAGCGAUACAGUAUCUUUUUGUGAUUGUUAAAUGUUUAUUUGUCUUUCCGCUCGAGGUUCUUUUAUUUCUCUUUGCGCCUACGUAUGUGUUCCUUGUUUGAUUUUUCGUAAAAGACAGCUUUGAUCACCUCGAGGGUGAGGGAGUGAGCAGAGUUUCCAUAGCCCGGGGGCGUAGGAGUUCUCAGGCUCGUUAUCCCUCGGCCCUUAAGGGGCUCGAGGUGCCUCAACUACUCGAUCAUGCAAGGUUUACUAAGUAAGAAAGAGAGAAAUUUUUGGCUUUUUUCUACACUUGGGGGAGUCGCCCCCUUGGUAGCCCCUGAGGGGGUAUCGAGUAUGAUGGGUCAUAGUCGGUACUCCCUUCUUACGUCAGGAUUUUGACUUGUAAAUCCUUAGUACAAAAGGAAGUUGCUCGAGGGAAAGACUUCAUUUAUUCAUGCAUUUAUUUACAAAGUCUUGGUACAGAAUGUGCGCUGGAACAUAAAGUUUCGAAAUUCUAAGGGUAGAAUCGACGUAGCUGUUCGAUGUUCCAUGCGUUGGUGAAGAUCGCCCCCUUCUCGUCCGCUAACUUGUACGUUCCUGGCUUCAAGACCUCGGCCACCACGUACGGGCCUUCCCAAGGCGGGGUCAGCUUGUGGCGUCCUUGAUUGCUCUGCCGUCAUCGUAGGACAAGGUCACCCACGUUUAAGUCCCUCUUGCGUACGUGUUUGUCGUGGUAGCGUCGAAGUUUCUGCUGGUAUCUGGCAGAAUUGAGGAGGGCCAUGUCUCGAGCCUCCUCAAGUUGGUCGACCGCAUUCUCUUGAGUUUCCUUGUUUGUCUGCUCAUUGUACGCCUUGAGUCGAGGGGAUCCAUACUCGAGGUCUGUGGGGAGGACGGCCUCAGAGCCGUAGACCAUGAAGAAUGGGGUGUAUUUUGUGGCCCUACUUGGUGUUGUCCUUAGGCUCCAUAGGACCGAGGAAAGCUCUUCGACCCACUUCUUGCCGGAUUUCUUCAAGCGAUUGUAGAUCCUUGGUUUGAGCCCCUGCAAAAUCAUGCCGUUGGCGCGCUCGACCUGGCCGUUGGUUCGAGGAUGGGCCACUGCAGACCAGUUCACACGGAUGUGAUGCUGAUCCCAGAAGUCCAAGAACUUUUUGCCGGUGAACUGGGUGCCGUUGUCGCUGAUGAUUACGUCGGGGAUUCCAAACCGAUGUAUGAUGUCGGUGAAGAAAAGGACGGCUUGCUCAGAGCGGAUGUUGGUGAUGGGUCGAGCCUCGAUCCAUUUGGAGAAUUUGUCGAUGGCCACCAGCAAGUGGGUGUAUCCCCCUUUCGCCAUUUGUAGAGGUCCUACUAAAUCGAGCCCCCACACCGCAAACGGCCAGGUGAUGGGGAUCAUCUGAAGAGCGUAGGCGGGCAGAUGCGUCUGUUUGGCGUAGAACUGGCACCCGUGACAUGAGCGUACGAGCUCGAUGGCAUCGGCCACGGCCAUUGGCCAGUAGAAACCUUGUCGAAAGACGUUCCCUACGAGGGUCCGUGGAGCAGCAUGGUGGUCGCAAGCCCCCGAGUGUAGGUCCUCGAGGAGUUUUCGGCCUUCUUCCACGGUGAUGCAACGCUGUAAGACCCCCGUCGGGCUUCGUCGAUAUAGCUCGUUGCCCUCGCCAUAGAUCACAUAUGACUUGGCCCGUCGAGCGACACGGCGGGCCUCUGACCGAUCUUCUGGCAGCUCGCAGCGGAUUAGGCAGUCCAGGAACGGUGCGCGCCAGUCGAACGGUCGACCAGGCCGUCGUUCUACCUCCAUCACUUCAGCCGCCAUCAAGAGUGUGUCGACGGUGUCGGUUAGCUGGGCAGGAGCGGCAUCGACGCCAGCCACCGAGCCUAAGUCGAUGGAUGGCUCGUGAAGAUCUCUUGAAAAUGUGUCAGGUGGUACCGUGCCUCGAGUCGAUGCGAUCUUGGCGAGUUCGUCGGCUACCUCGUUGUAGCGUCGGGUGAUAUGGAUGAGCUCGAGGCCAUGGAAUUUGUCCUCAAGUCGACGGACUUCUUUGCAGUACGCCUCCAUUUUUGGGUCGUGGCAGCUUGAAGUCUUCAUUACUUGAUCAAUGAUGAGUUGGGAGUCGCCUCGGACGUCGAGGCGUCAGACUCCUAGCUCGAUGGCAAUCUUGAGACCGUUGACGAGGGCCUCGUAUUCUGCGAUGUUGUUAGAUGCGGCAAAGUGAAUCCUGAUGACAUACCUCAUAUGGACGCCCAAGGGUGUGAUGAACAGCAGGCCGGCCCCGGCCCCUGUUUUCAUGAGUGACCCGUCAAAAUACAUCGUCCACAGCUCCGCCUGGACCUGAGUCGGGGGAAGCUGGGAGUCUGUCCAUUCCGCGAUGAAGUCCACCAAGGCUUGCGAUUUGAUGGCCUUACGAGGCGCGUAAGUGAGAGUCUCACUCAUGAGCUCGACCGACCAUUUAGCUAUUCUUCCCGUGGCCUCCUUGCUCUGGAUUAUCUCGCCCAAGGGGAAAGACGAGACCACCGUGAUGGGGUGGUCGAGAAAGUAGUGCUGCAGCUUGCGGCGGGCAAGGAUUACGGCGUAGAUCAGCUUCUGGAUUUGGGGGUAACGUACCUUGGUCUCCGAAAGCACCUCGCUGAUGAAAUAGACUGGCCUCUGGACUGGCAGCGCAUGCCCCUCCUCCUGCCUCUCGACCACCACCGCUGCGCUGACGACCUGGGUCGUCGACGCAACGUAAAGGAGCAGUGGUUCUGCAGGUUGAGGUGGGACUAGGACUGGUGCUGAGGUCAGUGUUUUCUUCAGCUUUUCGAGAGCUUCCUCGGCCUCGGGGGUCCAAGAAAAACGCUCGACCUUCUUCAGAAGUCGAUACAAUGGUAACGCCUUUUCUCCUAGUUUCGAGAUGAAACGUCUCAGAGCCGCCACGCAUCCCGUGACUCUUUGCACACCCUUGAUGUCUCGGAUCGGCCCCAUUCUUGUGAUGGCCGAGACAUUCUCGGGGUUGGCCUCGAUGUCACGCUGGGAAACAAUGUAACCCAAGAGCAUGCCUCGAGGCACGCCGAAGACGCAUUUCUCGGGAUUGAGCUUGAUCUGGUUAGUGCGUAAGCAGCUGAAAGCGAUCUCGAGGUCCUGGAUCAGGUCCCCUCGCCGCUUUGAUUUGACGACAAUGUCGUCGACAUAGGCCUCGACCGUCGACCCUAUGUGUUUGCCAAAUACGUGGAGCAUGCAGCGUUGGUACGUGGCUCCCGCGUUUCGAAGCCCAAACAGCAUGGUUACAUAGCAAUACAUCCCAAAAGGUGUGAUGAAAGAGGUCACGAGCUGGUCGGACUCUUUCAUUUUUAUUUGAUGGUAACCAGAAUAUGCAUCAAGGAAAGAAAGGGUUUCACAUCCCGCAGAAGAAUCGAUAAUCUGAUCAAUACGUGGUAAUGGAAAAGGAUCUUUCGGACAUGCUUUAUUUAGACUUGUAUAAUCGACACACAUCCUUAUUUUCCCAUUCUUUUUCUUAACUAAUACAGGGUUUGCUAACCAGUCGGGAUGAUGAACCUCCUUGAUGAAUCCGGCCGUCAAAAGCUUGUGGAUUUCCUCGCCAAUGAUCUUGCGCUUCUCCUCGUCGAAUCGGUGCAACCGCUGCUUCACUGGCCUGGAACCGGCUCGAAUCUCCAAGGAGUGCUCGGCGACUUCCCUCGGUAUGCCUGGCAUGUCUGAGGGACUCCAUGCAAAUAUGUCGGCGUUCGCAUGGAGAAAGUCGACGAGCACAGCUUCCUAUAUGGGGUCGAGGUCGGCGCUGAUCGUCAGCACCUUGCCGUCGUAGUUGUUGGGGUCGAGCGGGAUCUUCUUGGUUCCCUCUGCUGGCUCGAAGCUGCCUGCAUGGCGCUUGGGCUCUGGAGCCUCAGCGGCCAGGGCUUCGAGCUUUGCGACGAGUUCAGUGGAGUCCUCGACCGCCUCCCCAUACUCGACGCACUCGACGUCGCACUCGUAUGCGUGCUCGAAGGAGGAGCUAACAGUGAUGACGCCUUUGGGACCGGGCAUCUUCAGCUUCAAGUAGGUGUAGUUGGGUAUGGCCAUGAACUUGGCGUAGCCCGGGCGCCCGAUGAUGGCGUGGUACGUGCCCCGGAACCCGACCACCUCAAAGGUGAGGGUCUCCUUCCUGAAGUUGGCCGCCGUGCCGAAGCACACCGGUAGGUCGAUUCGACCCACUGGCAGUGCCUUUUUCCCUGGCACGACGCCAUGGAAACCGCCGGCACUUGGCUGGAGCCAUCCCCUAUCGAUGCCAAGGAGGUCGAGGGUCUCGAGGUAGAUGAUGUUGAGGCUGCUGCCUCCGUCCAUUAGCACCUUUGAGAGCCGGGUGUUGACGAUGAUGGGGUCGACGACGAGCGGGUAGACGCCUGGGGUGACUACCUUGUCGGGGUGGUCCUCUCGAUCGAAGGUGAUGGGAGUGCUCGACCAGCUGAGGUACUGGGGCACCGCCAUUCUUGCCGCGAAGACCUCACGGCGUUCCCUUUUGCACUGCCUCGUGGUCAACUAUGUCGAAGACCCACCAUAGAUCAUGUAGCAGUCAUGGACGGCAGGGAAAACAUCGUCGUACUUGUUGCCCUCUUUGUCAUCGCCCUUCUCCUUUUUCGAAUCAUCACGUGCAUCCCUUUUGAAUCCUAGACCGUCGAAAUGCUUUUUCAGCAUACGACAGUCCUUGAGCUUGUGGUUGGCGCCUUCCUUAUGGUAAGGGCACGACUCUUCUAGCAUUUUAUCAAAAAUGCCUCCAUCCGGAGGGCCUCGAGGUUUCUUCCGUUCCAUGGCGGCGACAAGAUUGUCGUCAGAAUCUUCCCGCUAGAACUGUCGUGCUUUCUGCUUCUUUUUGUUCUUCCUGAGCCCUCGACUGGGGGUUCCAUCUUCAUCGACGGGCUGCUUGCCUUUCCUUCCUUCAUAACUGAAGAAGGCGCCGACUGCCUCCUCCCCUGCUGCGUAGUUUGCUACUACGUCCAUCAGCUCGUCGACGGUCUGAGGUCGAUUCCGACCCAAUUCCCGCACUAAGUCUCGACUGGUGGUACCAGAGACAAAAGCUAGGAUGACGUCAUGGUCAGGGAUAUGUGGUAGCUCAGUGCGCUACUUCGAGAAGCGUCGAGCAUACUCUCGAAGAGUUUCUCCUGACUUCUGCUUGCAUUUGCUGAGGUCCCACGAGUUCCCGGGCCGUAUGUAGGUCCCUUUAAAAUUACCCUCGAAGACUUUAACCAAAUCGACCCAGUCGUGGAUCUGAUUUGCCGGAAGUUCCUCGAGCCAUCGACGGGCGGUGUCGGAGAGGAAGAGGGGUAGCUGUCUGAUGAUGGCUCGAUCAUCCCCUCGAGCGCCUCCUAGCUGACAGGCUAGCCUGAAAUCGGCCAGCCACAACUCUGGUUUGGUCUCGCCAUUGUAUUUCGCGAUGCUGGUCGGGGGUCGGAACGGACUGGGCAGGGGCGUGUUGCGGAUUGCCCUGCUGAACACCCGUGGGCCUGGUGGCUCGGGGACCAUUCGGUCCUCAUCGCUGUCGUACCUCCCACCGCGAUGUGCGCUGUAACCGCGCUCUUCCGCGUCUCCGUGACGGCGGCGUCGAUUCUCUUCGAUGUCAUGCCGCGCGUCGUGUCGACGGGGAGGACGAGAGUGGUCUUUCUUCCUCGAGGGGGCGGCUGUUGAUGGACUGACACUUCCUUUUCAUUUUGAAGCGGCUCAUCGCGCUUUUCCGUGGCAGCUCCUUGUCGUCGAGAAGCUGAGCUUUCGGCUUGUUGAACUGCCGCCACCUGGAGCAGAGUCUGAACCUCGUCUCGAAUGCGCCGAGCCUGGGAGUUCGAUGGUUCUGGCAUGUUGUGCAGUAGCAUCGUUGCCGCCACUACAUUCUAGCCCGCUCGAGGGAAACAGCUGACAGGCUGCUCUGGCUCUGCGUCUCCGACGAUCUGUCGAUGUACCUCUCGAGCGCGUCUGCGGACACUUCCGCCCGGCGGGUAGGGCAGGUCUUGCUCAAGGAUUUGCUCGAGCAGGACGAGGCGCUCACGGUCUUCGUCGAGCUUCAUCUUGAGCUCCUGUAGUUGUGCAAGCUGCGCAGCCCUGUCUUCCUGUGGAGGGGGGUCGACCUGUCCGUCGUUCCCAGGCGUCCUGGGGUCUUCCCGUGCUGCAGGGGCUCGACCGCCCGCAGCAGCAUCCUGCGUCUCGUCGGUAGUUUCUACCAACCCGUCGACGUGAUAGCAUUCCCUUGUAGGGUCGUAGCUAUCAGUCUCGGAGUCGGAGUCUGGCUCGGCGGCGUAGAAACAUCCACGUCCUUCCUCCAGCAGCCGUUGCCUGAGUGAGGUGAUCGUGUAUCGCCCAGGGCCUAGGCGGCGGAGGCCUCGCACCUGGGAGAAAUCCGGCAGUUCGGACGUCGGCCGUAGUGCUUCAGAGUCACGUGGGAGGACCAUUGGUCUCUCCACAUACGUCUGGGCGUUUGGGCAUAUUGCUCUGGCGAGCGACGCCGCGGCGUUGUCUAGUCCGAAUGGCAGUGCCCUUCUUGGAGUGAACAACCCGUGUGGAAGUAGCUUUGCAGCGGUGGGGGGGAGGGUGCGCGAGACACGUCCCCUCCCGUCGUCGUGCGGUGUUGAGCCGUCAUGCCUGUGGUUCCGGCACAUGGUGCUGCCGGCUCGUGGCCCACCGCCUGCCUCGCACGAGUUGCCGGUCGUGAUGAGGCAGAGGGGCGGCUGUGGUGCUGUCCGCGCCUCUUCUUGGGCGGGGAGGCGUGGUGGCGAGGGCGUCUCGGGGCCCUCAACCGUGUUGGUGCAACGCGGGCUCCUCCUGGUCCUUUGACUGAGAGCAAGAUCAUGUCGUAGCCGGAGCCCAUAGACACCAACGAGUAAAUUUGUAUGCGUGCUCUCUUUCCAAGAUGGUGAUGCAAGAAGACACAGAGAUUUAUCCUGGUUCGGGCAAGAGAAGGCCCUCCGUCCAGCGGGGGAGGGGAGUCUGUAUUAUCUUGCACCUAAGUGCUUGUACAGGGGUGAAUACAAGCGUGGUGUGGAGUGUGAGAGUUCUACUGCGUAUGGACGUAGUGUUGUGUGUUGUCUAUCUAUUCCCGGGUCCUUCCUUUUAUAGCUCCAAGGAGAGGCCCAGGGUACAUGUGUAGGUGUCAGAGUAGGGGUCGAUAGAAGCAUGGAGCGCUGACCUACUCGAGGUCUCCAUACCGGCAUGGCCUCGAGCCAUCCCGUCUUGAUAGCCUGGUGAUGAUUACGCGUGCCCCUGCAAUCUGUUCUGCAUGCCGUCUCGGGCCGGUUCAAUGGUCGCAUGCUCGUACGGUAUGGCAGCAGAUCCGGCGGGGUGGUUGCGGUGUUGUCAGUCGACGCCCAGCUCUUCCCUAGGAAGGAACUACGUCUGGUCGAGGGUCGGACGCCGUGCAAUGCCCUGAUAUCCGGAGCGCUGACCUUGGUUGUCUCGAGGGGGUUCCGAUUAGACGUUCCAUCCUUGUUUCCCGCGUCCUGACACGUCUUGGGUCGUUUGGUGGGGAAGGCUGCAAAAAGAACGAUGGGACGGUUGCAUGUUUCCUAUCACGCUUCUCGUGACCAGUGUGUUAGGUGGGAAAGUGGCAAGCGCAUUAAAUGCCCUGGCUCUCGUGCGUGCGUCAGGCGGCGGACAGUGUCCUUGCGCUCGACGGUUCCCGAUUCGCUCGAGCCCGUUUCCGUAUUCGAUGAUAGCUGGCGCUCGACCCUUGAUCAAUUCGCUCGACGCCAUUUCCGUCUUCAAGGCUGCGGUCGUCGAUGGCUGUGCAUAUGUAUGACCAGAGUGUCGAGUUGAGGGCCUCGACCAGCGUACGGAUAAUCUCGUUAUAUGCAUCGGUGAGGGUACCCCUUAUUGAUACCCUCGACACGUCCUAUAGAUUAGAACACUCAAAAGAGUUGUGAACCAGAACAUACAUGAUUAGUAAUUGCAUAAUGAAUUAGAAGUAGAUUACCAGAGUCAUCUCAUGAGCAAGCUUGAUUAGAGCUUGAUCAUGACGAAGUACAACCGGAGGAAGAACCGAUAGGCCGGCCUCUCCUCUAAUCCUCCUACGCUCUCCAUCUUGCUACUAUCUAGAUCUACUCUAGUUUAGAGAAGAGAGGAGAGCUCUCAUCUCUAAACCCUAGCUUUUGCUCUGUAUAUGAAUAAUGAAUAAUGAUCAAGGGGUGCCUCCUCCAGGGGCCAGGGGGUCUGGUUAUAUAGUCCCCUCAAGUGAACCUAGGCCCUCGGAUCAAACCGACAUUGAUUGAAUGGUUAUUCUUGAUCCUUUAGGUCGGUGGAGAUCUCCCGAGAGAAAGAGUCCUGAUUGGGCUCCAAGUCAGGGCAGGCGCCCAGGGCAGGAGGGCGGGCGCCCUGCCUCUGGCCCCGUUCGGCCUCCGCUUCCUUCCCGUGGCUUCGGGAGUCUUCUAGAUGUAUGAUAAUUGCACGGCACAUUAAUAUCUCUAUGUAAUCCCGACGUGUGGGCCUUUCUUCCGUAUUUCCUGAUAACCCCCUGCAGAAAUAGACAAACACCAAAACUCAUGGAAUUCUGUCAGAUAAAACCCUAGUUUAUUUGAUAAUUAAAUUUGAUACUUAAGGACCGUCAACAAACUCCCCCAAGCUUACCUCUUGCUCGUCCCUGAGCAAGGAUAGACUCAGCAAUGGAUCAGAAGUUAUUGCAAUAUCUUAAAAAUUUGACGGUACACAUGCUUUUAAAUAAGAUCUCAUCUCUGAGUUAGAGUAAACUGUCAAGAACUAAAACUUACAUACUUUACCUUUCACCAUGGGACUUGUAACUGUCACUUCUGUCUUGAGUAGUUAAAAUAUAGAACAGUCUAGCCAAGUGCCAUGUCUCUUAUUCUUGAUCAACUAUAGCUCUGGAGUUUUUGCAGAUUUUCAAAUAAAACUUAGAGAUUCCUUGUAUGACUCUCUAAAUCUCUCUUUUGUGGUAUUUCUGGAUCCUUACCGAGGCCGUGAUGGUAUAUGUCUUCUCUCAAUAUAUGUGGUAUUUGUGGUAUAAGGCAUAGUGACGUUGCCUUCUCUCUCACCCUACUCUAAUAAGGCUUUAAUAUCUGGAGCUCAUAGGUGGGAGACAGCUAAUACAUACUUACAAGACAUUUAUUGCAUAGUCAAACCAUGGAUCCAGAGAAACAAGUCAAUAAGUCAAAUCAAGAUGUGCAUGUGUGGCGAAUGAAUGGUCUAUGGUGAUGAUGGUGAUAACAAUGGUGGAAGUCUAAUUCUACUUUUGCUCUUUUGAGGGGAUACAUACCUUCCUUGCUUUUUGAAACUUUAUGAGGAGAAUGAGAUGCUCUAUCUUUCAUUUUUUCUUUCCUCUUAGGUGGGUAUCCUGUACCCCUAAUUCUACUGUCGGACACUUGUCCAUUUUUACCUCUCGUCUCACUCUUUUUCUUUUCUUUCGAGGUUCCGGGCACUUGCCCCUUUUUAUUUCCUCGUAUAUUUUUUUCUCUCCUCUUUUUUUUAGAGCACUCAUCUCAUGAGAUAAUAUAGCAAGUGGUAGUAACAAGAUAACUUGAGAAUUUAUUUCACAAGGAAAAAACAGAAAUAUUUUUGGUUAUUCUCUCCCGGAUUAGGAGUAGAAUAUUUUUGGGUGGUUCUGGAGAUGGAAAUGAGUGGAUAUAUGUGGAUGGUACUUCCAGAGUAGAAGUAGCAUAUAUGAGUGAAUGUGCAAGUGAAAUCUUGAUUUAACCACAUGAUAAGCUCCUAAGGGUCUACACAGCUUGACCACACUCAAUGCUCAUAAGCAGUAAAUAGUAAAUGUGUGGCUCAAAGUCUAGCAAGCAUGUAUAUAUGGCUGUGGUAGGAAUUUAAACUUUCAUCAUACAAGAACUCAUCAUGCAAUAUUUUAAAGAUUUUUCAAAGAUAAAAUUCUCCAGAAUUCUAGCAUCUCUAGGAAGAGAUAAACAACAGCUCAACCUUCCCAUAUCAUAUCCGUUAACAACUUAGAUUUCAAAUCAAGUUUUUAUCCCACAAGUUUAGAUCAAGAGCAAGCUUUAAAUUAUAACACUUAUGUCUAAACUUGAGAGAGAACUUCAAAUUUGCAAAUUAGGCAGAGCAACUAUUCAUCAUAUCCAUGCUAGAGUUUUAUUAUUAAGAUUCAGAUUAGCAUAGCCACUUUAUUUAUUUAUUAAACAUACUAAGCAAAAGAUAUAUAUAAGCACAAAAUCUUUAUUUGGUUUUUCAUAGUUUAUGUAUUUUAAUAUUCUAAUAUAAUAUAAGUAUAAAGAUAGGUAGAAAUACUUAGCGAGGUAAAUGGAGGUGCUCUCCCCCAAGCUGAAUUUUGACGUAAUUUCUCUUGAUGUAGCUAGCAGGUGGCAGAGGUGUAUUUGAAAGUCAGCAGCAUUCUGACAGCGAUUAGAAUGUCCUCCGUCUGCUAGUCUUCUUGAUUCUUAAAUUCUGUGGAGCUCAAAUAGACAACAAAGCUUGUGGAACUAAUUAAGUGUUAGCAUAAAUAUCUAGCCUUCAUCAUGUUGAGCUUCCUCAAUAAAUAUUACUCCCUGUUUUUAUAUUUUUAUUUUAUAAAGCAGAAAAGAAAUAUUUAUUUUAUUUUUAUGCCACCACAGUGAAGGUACUUAUGGGUUUUAUGCCACUCGUAUACUCACAUGGGGCUCAGUAUUUUUUAACAUUUUUAUUUUCUUUUCAAGAUAGCAUGAUUAACUAAUAAUCUAUUUAAGGAAAGUAAAUAAUUAAAGGGAAAAGGGAAUGCAGAAAGGAUAAAUAUGGAUAACUACUGAUCUUACCUUUCGGCGAGGGUUCAAUGUUUUAAGUCUUCUUAACAAGACUUCUCACCGUGUUCAUUCUACAGGUGCGUCAUUUGAUUCAGGUGCGGACCUUGACGUCUGCACCUCUUGAUACGGUGUCACCCAUGUUCUUCGUUUGCCCAACAGUUCGAAGUGCGGCGUUGGCAGUAACCUGCUCAGUGUGUUUGUGCUCGUAGAUCCAGGUCCUUCACUUGGUAGAGUCUGAGAGUUAUAAAACUCCUCCAUGUUUUGCACAAAGUGUACCUGCUCAUAGAGACAAGGCAGAGAUCAAGUGCAUGGGUCCUGUUGGUUGAAAACACCAACAAAACCUAAAGUGUAUUUGUUCUUCUCUAACCCUAAGCAUAGUGAGCAAGACAAAGUUGAUGGAUGAAAAGUUCAUGAGUGUAGCACUUAUAACAUUUGUCAGAUCAGAUCGCUCAACCUUAUGGAAAGAUAAUCUAUCUAUGUAUAUGUCUUUUUCUUUAUAUCUCUCAAUGAUUGAAUGUGUAACAUUUUAGCUCAUAUGAUUAGGAGUGUGGGGUCAUGGAGGUAGUACUAAGAACAAGGAUUAAAGGACUAAACAUGUUGAAUCAGUUGGGUUGGUUAAUCUAGAGUUGUAAAUCAAACAUGUUUGUCUCUUUUAUUUAUAUGAACGCCAGAACCAAGGAGAAGCUUAUAAAAGUGAUAGUCAAGUACCUUAAGAUGUUACCUUGCUUGAAGAGUGAUGGUACAGUAUCACCUUGUGGAAGCUUUCCUUUCUUAGCGGUUGUGCAUCAUGUUUGUGGCACCCUCCAUGGAUCAUCUCUCUAUGAUGAAUGAGCUAUGUCCUUCUUGUGCAAAUUGUUAAACUUCAUGUGUCACUCUCUUCGUCUCUAAUGUGAGUUUAUCUCAGGACUUCCCAAAUCGAUAUUGAAAGUUUUUCUGCAGGGGUUAAUCCGACAAAAAUAUACCAAUGUCUACACAAGCAGUUUUUAGUUCAAUAACCGAACUAGACUCCAUGUCUAAUCAGAUUAAGGAAGGCUGUUUAACCUAAGCACCAUGCUUAAUUUAAAAGCCAAUAGAAGUAUGUGCAGUACUUCCAAACUAACACUUACUAGUAAAUAGACAAAGGUAACAUGACAGCAUUUAUAGAGAUCUACUCAAGUGGAGAUGAAGUAGUGUGAUUAGUAUUUAACAAAUUGAGCAUGUCUUAAAGGUAGGGACAACCAACAUAGCAACAUGGCAAAGGAUGUUUUUAUGUAAAGUACUCCCCCAAGCUUGAAUUUUGCAGAAUUCAAGUUUGGAUGAAUUUAAUUCAAUGUUGUAUGAUGAUUGGUUGGACAUACCUUGUGCUUGUCAUUCAUCCGAUCUUCUUGCUCCAAUCCUGUAAAGGUUAGUGACAAGAAUACCUGAAGGAAUAUUUUUGCAAUUAUCCUUAUAUGUUCAAUACACAAGGUAAUGUUGCAAAUAAUUAAAAACUCAUGUUACGAUCUGAUCAGUGCUUAUUUUAGGACACUAAGCUUGUCCUUGGGAAACCAUCAAUUUAUGUCGGCGAAGUGGUUUCCCUUCCAACGCUGACCUAAAUCAAGAUCAACUCAAUGAGAUCUGCAAUAUUUAUUAUAGACAUAUGCAUCGACAACAGCCCUUUUAAAGUUUUUAUAAAUAGAAAGGAAGAGGGGGUUGGAGAUCUCAAAUGUGGUGAUGUUGGAGAGACCAAUAGAUUGGGAAGAUGUUGCAUAUGAGCAUGGAGUGAACAAAGUGGCUAUGAAAUUAAUUCCAUGCUCAUUAAUGUUAUCUUCGUCUCUAAUCUGAAUGUUCAGAGUUUCUCUUGGAUUGGUCUCACAUAUGUCCUCUUCUAUAGUUGGAUGAAUCCCAUCUUCAAAGGGAGUCAAGAACUCACCAUUUGAAAUUGAACCAAAGUCAGAAUUCAUUAAGGCUUCUUCCUUAUCCAUCCAUUCUACACAUUCUAGCCAUUUAGAACUUGUGAUCAGGAAAGGGGAGGUGUUAGAAUUUUUAAUAUGGCUUAGCUAUCCUUUACUUGAUGUGUCAUCCUUGACUUCUUCAUAGCAAGAACCAGGACAUUCUAUAAGAGAACCAUUAUUGCAAGAAUUUGAAUUAUCCCUACUUGAAGGUCUCUUAUGGAACCAGAAGUCUAAACCAUCAGCAUCUGAAAGAUUUAAGGUCGGAAUUCCUUCCUCCCUUGGAGAAUUUUGGGGUAUUGAUGGUUUAGGAUCGAUAGCUAAAGUUUGGGAUUGAAGUGGUUGUGAUCUGGCUAUCAAAACUUCUUCUUCUUGUCUAGGAACUGGUUCUAUCUCUUUCUUAGGGAUAUAAAAGCUAGGAGACUUUCCACUUAAUAAAUCAAUCAAAUUCUAAGCUUCACUAGCAGGUAGGUGAUAGAAGGAUCCUCUAGAGGCUGUAUUCAAGGUUUGCUUAUUUUCCCCACUAAGGCCCUCAAAAAAGUGAAUUAGAAGAACUUCUUCUGGAAUAGAAAGCUUUGGGCCAGUGAGAGUACGGUUAAUAAAGCGGUCCCAUGAUUUGACAAGAGAUUCUUCUUCCAGUUGUCUAAAAGAAAUAAUGUCACGCCGAAGUUCCGCCACUUUAGAGAUUGGAAAAUAUUUUAAAAGAAAACUAUUAUGUAGCUCCAUCCAAUCUCCAUGAACACUCCCUACUUUUAGUUUAUACCAAUGUCUAGCUUUUCCCGUUAAAGAGAACGGAAAGAGCUUCCAUUUAAGGGUCUCAUCAGACAUGCCUUCAAUGCGAAGGAGGUCACAGACUCGAUAAAACUCUCUUAGGUGUGUGUAUGGGUUUUCCUCACCUUCUCCUGAGAAAGGUUGUUUUUGAACAAAUUCUAUGUAUUCGGGGUCUAUCUCCAAACUAGAUGCUAUGAUAGGCUUUGAAGAUUUUGGUGGUUCGAGAUGUGUGCCCGUAGGUCUAUGAAACUGAUAGAUAGACAUGUUUGCAUUCAUGAUAGACCAGAAAUCAAGGAUUAGAUAAGAGGAAAGAUUAGCAGAGAUGAGGCAAAGGAUAAAACGAAAUAUAUAUAUAUAUUUAUUUUUUAAGAAAAUGAUUAAGCUAGUUAGUCAACUCAGCAACCGUUUCCCCGGCAACGGCGCCAAAAAUGCUUUUUGACACUUGCUAACACCACUUGAAUAUUAGGUUGUCAUCCCCAGCAUGGCACUAGCGUGUACUAUGGUAUUUAUACGCACACAGAUAAUCCGCAAGCGCACGGAUACCGAUGAAGCUUUUACCCGGUUAAAGGUUUUAUCGUACCCACAGGAAAACGGGAGAACCAACUACGCUCUAACUUAACCAGGAUAGAUAGAUAAGUGUAAAUAGGAAAGAUGGUAGAAUUGAAUAAGAACAAUAUUAAAGGUAAGAUAACAGUGAGUGAUAAUAUGGGAAUAGAGAAUAGAGCAAUCUAGUAUACGGAAUAGAGAGGAUAACUAUAGUUUCUCUACUUCAAAGGGGUAUGUCUAUGUCUGGGACGAACCACGUGAUAAGAGUACACCACAAAGGAUGAUUAUCCUUAGGCCGAUAAACCCUACCCGUCCUGCUAACGAGAGGUGGACUACAGAGGACCAACGUAACUGUCACCUACGUGGCCUACCACACGAGCUAGACAGGGGAUAUCCACAAGUAAUUUAGAUCUAAGCACCUCGCUUACACCUAUACUACAACUCUCACCUAUAGCGUCCUAUAGAUUAGAAUACUCAAAAGAGUUGUGAACCAGAACAUACAUGAUUAGUAAUUGCAUAAUGAAUUAGAAGUAGAUUACCAGAGUCAUCCCAUGAGCAAGCUUGAUUAGAGCUUGAUCAUGACGAAGUACAACCGGAGGAAGAACCGACAGGCCGGCCUCUCCUCUAAUCCUCCUUCGCUCUCCAUCUUGCUACUAUCUAGAUCUACUCUAGUUUAGAGAAGAGAGGAGAGCUCUCAUCUCUAAACCCUAGCUUUUGCUCUGUCUAUGAAUAAUGAAUAAUGAUCAAGGGGUGCCUCCUCCAGGGGCCAGGGGGUCUGGUUAUAUAGUCCCCUCAAGUGAACCUGGGCUGUUGGAUCAAACCGACAUUGAUUGAACGGUUAUUCUUGAUCGUUUAGAUCGGUGGAGAUCUCCCGAGAGAAAGAGUCCUGAUUGGGCUCCAAGUCAGGGCGGGCGCCCAGGGCAGGAGGGCGGGCGCCCUGCCUCUGGCCCCGUUCGGCCUCCGCUUCCUUCCCGUGGCUUCUGGAGUCUUAUAGAUGUAAGAUAAUUGCGCGGCAUGUCAAUAUCUCUAUGUAAUCCCGACAUGUGGGCCUUUCUUCCGUAUUUCCUAAUAACCCCCUGCAGAAAUAGAUAAACACCAAAACUCGUGGAAUUCUAUCAGAUAAAACCCUAAGUCUAGAUGUUGAUUUCAUUUGGAUCCUUUUCUUUGCUUAUUUGAUAAUUAAAUUUGAUACUUAAGGACCGUCAACACCAAUGCCUCUAUUUGUGAAACCAAGUGCACCACAAGGUGAACCAUCACAUCGAAGAAUGCUGGGGAGAACAGAUCUCAAACUGUGAAACUGUCUCCACUGCGAAUUCCUUAAGAGACGCCAACUCAUCACGUUCAAUCACCUUCUGUGAGAUCUUGUUGAAGAAGUAGCACAACCGUGUAACUGCAACCUUUAUCCACACUAGGUUUAUAGCCCUAAUGGCAAUAGGGAGAAAAGUAGUCAAUAUGACAUGACAAUCAUGUGAGAUGUAGUUGGUGAGUGUAAGGUCUUUCAUUCACACAGCACUCCGUAUGCUAGAGCAGAAUCCAGAUGGGACUUUCAAUUUCUUCAACCACACACACAUCUCAUGUUUCUCUUCAUUGUUGAGGUUGUAGCUUGCUGCCGGGAGGUGGUACUUCCCAUUUUGUAGCCUAACAGGGUGAAGUUCUUUUUUUAUGCCUAACUGUACCAUGUCCAAGCGUGAAUUUAAUCCUUCCUUUGUCUUGCCCUUCAUGUCCAACAAGGUGCCAAUUACGCUUUCAAACACGUUCUUCUGAACGUGCAUACCAUCGAUCGCGUGGCGGACGUCUAACUCUGGCCAGUAUUCCAAAUACUCGAAGAAAAUUGACUUGUUCUUGAAUGUAGCCCCUAGAGCUGGCUUGACAUUCUUUCUUGGUUUUCCAUCUUUUGUCUUCUUCCCAAAAACAAAUUUGAGUUUGCUGACUAUGUUGAAAACUCUUUGGCCUUUACUGUCACCUGAUGGAGCAGUAGUCUGUAGUUCACUAUUAUUGUCAAAGUACUUAUCCAUCUUUUUCAGCCAGUACCUGUGUCAUUUUGAUAAGAAGCGUCUGUGCCUCAUGUACAAUAUCUUCUUAGAUGCAGUUAGGGACACAUAAGCGGUGUCAUCUAUGCAUACCACACAACCUAACUUUCCCUUGAACUACCCUGAUAAUGUAAAGAGAGCUGGGUAGUCAUUGAUCGUAACAAAGAUAAUUGCUCUCAGUGUGAAUGAUUCUUUGCGGUACUCGUCGAAUAUUUGAACACCUGUUUCCCAUAGUAUCUUCAUGUCUUGCAUUAAGGGCUCCAAGAAAACAUCCAUAUCAACUCCAGGUUGUGUAGGUCCACAGAUGAGGAUGGUUAGUAAAAGGUACUUUUGCUUCUGCAUCAACCAUGGAGGGAGGUUGUAGAUGGUGAGGAUCACUGGCCAUGUGCUGUGCUUGCUGCUUGUGGGGGUAUAAACCCCUAUACCCUUACGGCUAGACUUGGGCCAGGAGGCUUGGCCCAUUAUGAGACAAGCUCAAGGCUUGAUCCGACAGCUUCCGCGGUCGGGCCUGAAGGCCUCACGUUCACCGUCGGCCAGAUCACGUGGACAACGCGCGGUGGUGGUUUCACGACCACGGUUUCGGAAGGAACCCAGAUCCAAUCUGGGAUGACGUCGCCUCCGACCACUUGGAUGACGGCACCGAGCGCCCGACCACCGCUCCCGCUCUACAAGGGGAAGAAGAUCGACUGCUCGGACCUUCUCCAAGCACUUGAUCGCGCUGAUUCCAAGCUACUCGAAGCUUCUCAACUGAUAGAUGGGAUCUCGCGCCAGCCUAACCAAGCCGCUCUAGCGGAUUUUUUCAACUCCCAUCGGCCAACUCGUGUCGUUACACACGAACGGCUGGGGACGUCUCUGACGAUAACCUCAACUCCCUCAGGACGAUCUGUCAAGAUCAAGGCCAACCCGGAGGAAGAUUAUCCUCGCGGUCUGAACAACUCGGCCUCUCUCUACUCGAGACACGUCCGAUCCCUCUUUAACAAAGUUGGUUGGUUGCCAAAGGGGAGCGGUCGACCAGCUCGUCAUUACGUCAACAUGGUGACGAUCCAAGAGCUAUGGGACGGCUAGGCUUCCAGCACAAAUUCGAGCACUGGUUCCAUCCCCACUGAAGUCAUAAAUUCCAAGGACGAGGACUACGACUUGGAUUUCCGGUCACAUCCUCUGGGCCCCUCAUUUCCCGGUCUUCCCUCCCCGACGAGGAGACAUCGUUUUCAAUGUCAGCGCCGACAAGCCGGUCGUUGACGGAGAAACAGACGAGCAGAGGCAGCUCCGCGAGCAGCGUAACGCCGAUCGCGCACGACGACGCGCAGAUGAGGAACGUCAAAUCCCGCCGCAUAAUCUCAGCGACGCUUUUGACAUGGUCGGAGAUCAGCAAGUUUAUAAAACGCCGAGCGCCAAUGUGGCCGUCGCCAUGGCCAAUCUAGAUCGGCUCCCUGAUACUCCCGAGUGCCAGGGCGUCCGAACCAGCGUUCGAGCACACCUGAUCGCCGCGAUGGGGCAAACAGCAACUCUGCUCAAAAGAGCCCAAGGCGUCUCUUAUACAGAGGCCACCUCCGACCAGACUCACCGCAGCCGGACCUCACCGCAGCCCAGCAGGCACCACCGCAGUCGUUCCCCCGACGAUCAUCGGAAAGAUUCACGACGUGACGAUGGCGGUCGGGACGCUCGCGGUCACCGCAAACAGAAUCGUAGGCGUGGUCAAGAAGUAAACCAGUAUAGGGAUCUUUGAUACAACAUUUUUCCCAAAGACGCCCGGGACCGCAUCAACAGGCGCACCACGGAAAGAGCAGUUCACGAAAACUUGCGUCGUAUCGAGUACGACGCAACGCACGGCCCCCCGGGCCUGAAGCAAUUCUCUUCACACCUCCGCCAGGUCGUGUGGCCUCGCAAUUUCAAGCUCGAGAAACUCAAAAAAUACGACGGCAAGGAAAACCCAGAGAACUGGAUCACUCUUUAUGAGAUUGCAGUCCGUUCGGCAGCUAGAGAUGAGCAUGUCAUGGCCAACUACUUUUCGGUAGUCCUCGACCAGGCCGGGCACCAAUGGCUUCUAGGCCUGCCCAAGGACUCCUUCGACUCCUAGGAAGAACUACGCCAAGCCUUCAUCGACAACUUCAUCGCCACCUGCGAGCAGCCUGGGAACAAGUACGACCUCGAACGGAUACGAGAUAGGAAAAAUGAGCCUCUGCGUGACUACAUCCGACGAUUUUCGGAUAUGCGCCUAAAGAUCCCGAAGAUUUCCCAUGACGAGGCUAUAUCUGCCUUCAUCAAGGGGCUGCGUUUCCACGAAGCACUGAGGAACAAGCUACUGCGUAAAAGGCCAACAACGUUGACAGAGCUCCUCGCCACGGCCAAAAAUUAUGCCGACGCAGAUGACGCAGAAAAACUAUCCGAGAUGACAACAGAGGUCCCGACCAGCCUUCUCGGCGUGACGAUAGUCGCGGCCGCUUCGACAACAGAAACCAUCGCCGCCCCGAUCACCGGGACCACAGAGAAGGCUGGGACAGGCGCCGCGACAACCGCGAGGAUUUCAGAGGCAAGCGCCCUCGCGAUCACGACCACGAGGUGAAUACGGUCAAGCGCCCCAACGGACGGUGGGAUUACCAAGAGGACUACAACAAGACGUUGAAGGGACCGUGCCAACUACAUCCCAAAUCCAACCACACCAUGGAAGAAUGCCGCAUCCUCAAAAGCAUCUAUACACGACGGGCUGCUCAAGACGAUCCCUCCAAGAAAAACGGGAAACAAGAUGGGCGCAAUCAUGAAGACGAGGACGAAGACCAGGGUAGGGACCCACGACACCAGUAUGUCAGUCCUACUGACGUGGUCCAUUCCAUCUUCAGAGGCAAGGUCUCCAUCGAGUCUAAAUGAGAAAGAAAGCUCCUAAAGAGAGCCUGCCUCAACAUAGACAGCACUGAUGGUCUGAUCGCCGAUCCAAAAUUUCCUCCCUGGUCGCACAGGGAGAUCUCCUUCAGCAGGAAGGAUCAGUGGGCCGCUAUCCCGGAACCGGGUCGUUUCCCUCUAAUCUUGGACCCUUGCAUUAACUGCAUCAGAUUCGAGCGCGUGCUUGUGGACGGAGGAAGCUCCAUUGACAUCCUCUUCCGCAACAGCUUGCCCGCUCUCAUGAUAUCUCCGGCACAAUUAAAACUUUACGACGCUCAAUUUUGGGGAGUCUUGCCAGGUCAGAGUUCAGUGCCCCUCGGACAGAUAACAUUGCCUGUCCAAUUCGGCACGCUCGACCACUUUCGGACAGAGUUCGUCAACUUUGUGGUCACUGACUUCGAUGGGACCUACCACGCUAUACUAGGCCGACCAUCGCUGACGAAAUUUAUGGCGGUCCCGCAUUACUCAUACCCGGUCCUCAAAAUGCCUACUGAGAAGGGCAUCCUGGCCGUCAGAGGCAAUGUCUACACUACAUAUACUUGCGAGGAAGAGAGCUUCAAGAUCACUGAAGCAAUUGAUCUCUCGAUCCGGAUGGCAGAAACAGCAACCCAAGCCGCACAGCUACCUCCCGACUAGCUCCGACUACCCGAGCAGGAGACCGCCAGGAAGAAUUCAAAAUCCAAGGAGUAUAAAGAAGUACAACUGGUCGAUGGCAGCCCCAAGAAGACGGCCCUCAUCAGGGCCAAUCUGGACCCCAAAUAGGAAGACGCGCUCGUCAGGUUUCGAAGGGACAACGUGAGCGUUUUCGCCUGGAAACCCGCAGACAUGCCCGGCGUCCCACGAAACCUGAUCGAGCACUCCUUAAACGUCUCAAAGACCGCAAGACCAACCAAGCAAAAGCUGUGACGGUGUUGGGUAUUUUAAACGCAAACAGAAAAAUCCGCAAGCGCACAGAUACCGAUGUAGCUUUCACCCGGGAGUAUUCCAGAGUAUCGAUUUUCCACAGAGAACGUGAGUGUACUAAUUAAGAUCCAAGAUCGCCCAAGGAUAACUAUAUAAUUAUUUUUGGUGGGAAGAGAGGAAGUUUCCUGAGAGUUCUCUAGUUGAUCUAAGAAUCAAGAAUUACUUCAAGAUUAUCUAUAUCGGGACAUCAGAGCACUAACCACAGAAAGAGAUGAGAAGGGGGCUAGGAAGGUCUGACUACGGUCCUACAAACACCGAUCCGAACGUGGUGGAAUACGUCGACCGUUAGGGCUGUCACUACCCUAGGGCUACCACAACAAUCCGUAGGAUUGGGUGCAAUUCUAGGUAAUCGCAAGACUAAACACCACGUCUAAUCUAUUAAUUACUACUCUAGCGUUAUAAAGACUAGAGCACUUGAUGCAAGCGGGAAUCCAAUAAAUAACUUGAAUGUAAAUAAAAGUAAUUAGAGAACUCAGGAGUUAUGAAUUGAAGAACCUGGAGAACGAUGAAGAACGAACCAGUUGCUGCAAAAGUACAAUGUUGAGGAAGAUCCGACAGAUCCGGCUCCUCCUCCGCUCUCCUCUUCUCUCUCCCUAUUUUCUAGAUUACAACUAGAACUAACUAGAACUAGAACUAGAGGAACUAGAACUAGAACUAAAUGAACUAGAACUAGAGGUAGAACUAGAAGAACUAGAGGGAUCCUCUCUACUUGGAUGAAGAAUUGAAACCCUAACUUUGAUUCUGUAGAAGAGGUAUGCCUCCAGGGGCUGGUGGGGGUCUGCUUAUAUAGUCCAGGAAGAGUAGCCCCCAAGAAAUCUAGGACGAGUAGCCCCCAAGAAAUCUAGGAAGAGUAGCUCCCAAGGAAUUUCCACGUUAUUCUCCACCAUCCGAUCAAACCGACCUUCAUCGUGUGAUUUUCCUCGAUCCUUAGAGUCGGUGGAGCAUAAUCCCCGAGACUCGUGCUGAUUGGCCAGCAGAGGAGGGCGGGCGCCCAGGGGGGUAGGGCGGGCGCCCUGCCUCCGGGCCCGCUCGGCCUCCCGUUCGUUCCCGUGGCUUCUGGAGUCUUCUAGAUGAUAGAAAAUUGCGCGGCACGUUAAUAUCUCUAUGUAAUCUCGACGUGUGGGCCUUUCUUCCGUAUUUCCUGAUAACCCCCUGCAGAAAUAGACAAACACCAAAACUCGUGGAAUUCUGUCAGAUAAAACCCUAAGUCUGGGUGUUGGUUGCAUUUGGAUCCUUUUCCAUGAUUAAUUGAUGGUUAAAUGUGAGCAUUAAGGACCGUCAACAAGCUCCCCCAAGCUUAACCUUUGCUCGUCCCUGAGCAAAGCUAAAAUCAUCAAGAAAAUAGGGGUUACUUUUAUGCCUUUUACUAAAGGGGUUUUAAGUUAUCACUAAGGUCUUAAGUGAUUGAAAAACAGAAUGAUCAAGUAAAGCACUAUGUCUCAAGUUCUUCUGUCUUACCUUUGUUCUGGAGUUGUUUGUAAGUUUCCAAAAUAAAUCUGAGGCAUUUGCCUUCUUCUUGAAAGAUAUAUAAGUAGAGCUUUAAAAAUUUUAGCAUACUUACUUUGCAUUUUGCUAUGUCAAUGCUUGGAGCAAGGGAGAGGAAUGUCAUACUCCUAGAUCAAGACCUUUGACCUUUUUGACGAGUUUGUCAUCUCUUUCUGGCAUAUUGCUUAUUACAGGGACCAUGGGCUAUCAUUUUUUUUCCUUUUUUUUCUCUUUUUUUUAGUCUCUUUUUUUCAAGUGGGCAGCAAGUACCCCUAAUUCUACUGUCGGACACAUGUCCAUUUUUACCUCUCAUCUCACUCUUUUUUUUCGAAUCAAAUUUUUGCAUAGUCCCAUGCCUCUAACGCAAUAAUACUUCAGAAGAGUGAAUCUUUUAUAAGAUCUUGAUCUUGGGAGCAUGAUAAUUCUCUCAACCAAAACUACAGGAAUUAACAAUGGCUUGAACAAAGAAAAUACCCACAGUUUUAAUAUUUAUUUCUUAUAAGACUCUAGGUAUUAUGAUCUCAUAUAUUUUUUUUAUGAAUUUUUAGAUUUUCAAAAGAUAAAAUCUCCAGAACUCUAGCAAAACUUGGAACAAGUUAAAUAGUAGCUCAGACCUUCUCAUAUCAUGUUUGUCAAUUACCUAGACUUGAAUCAAACUUUAUUUUUAUUUUAUUUAAAACUUAGUAUUACAUAAAACUAUUAUAUAUUACUCAAAACAAAAACUGUGUUUGGUUUCAUAGUUAUGCAUUUUUUAUUAUUUGAGUAAAGUAUAAACGUGAGUAGAACACUUAGGUGGAUAAAUAGGGGUGCUCUCCCCCAAGCUGGAUUUUGACAUAAUUUCUUCUGAUGUAGCUAGCAGGUGGCGGAGGUGUAUUUGAAUGUCGGCAGAACUAUGACAGCGAUUAGGAUAUCCUUCGUCUCCUAGUCUUCUUUGAUCCUUGAAUUCUGUGGAGCUCAAAUAGACAACAAAGCUUUGUGGAACUAGUUAAGUGUUAGCAUAAAUAUCUAGCCUUUAUCAUGUUGAGCCUCCUCAAUAAAUGUUACUCAUUAGUAGGAUCAUAAUUUUAUUUUUAUAAUUUUAUUUUUAUAGGACAGGAAUAUAUUUAUUUUAUUUUUAUGCCACCACAGUGAAUGUACUUAUGGGUUUUAUGCCAUGAGCAUACUCACAUGGGGCUUACUAUUUUUAACAUUUUUAUUUUCUUUUUAAGAUGAUAUGAACCUGAUUAACUAAGCAAACUAUUUUAAAUAAUUGAAAGGGAAAAAGGAUAACUACCAAGUUUAACUCUUACCUAGGCGUUCGGUGUUUUUAAGUCCUCCGAACGGGACUCUCUAUUUUCUCAGUUAUCCUGGGAUUCACUGGAUGGCGUAGUCAGUGGUUCCGGCAGCGCCUGGUCUUCAUGUAUAACUAUCUUCUCUCUCCACACCUGACACGGUGCUACGGUCUCCUCAGGACAGUUCUGUUCAAGUUGUAUGUCUUCAGACGUUACCACUUCUCCUUCAUAAUCCGCCCAUUCGUCCUUGAUAAUUUGCCUACUCUGGUUGCGGUUGCGUCGUCUUCUUCUUGUCCUGACCUGCUUAGAGUCUUUCAACUAUGUAGUUAAGGUUAGUAAAAUAGUGGCGUACCUUUUCAGAGGGGAAGUGCAUGUGGACUCCGCCGGUUCCAAUGUAGAUGAUUGCUUUAACGGUGUUGAGGAACGGUCUUCCAAGGAUGAUGGGUAGAUCGUACUCGUCUUCUCCUAUGUCAAUAACUUCAACCUUCCGAAAUGUUUGAUCUGCCAUCUGGUGCUGGGUGUAUGUUGGUUAUAGGGGCAUGGUUCCAUGCAGGAGCUAAUAAGUGACUGCGGCCAUUAUGUUGACGUCAGAUCCGGUGUCGUAGAGUGUCUUCUCAAAAGAAUAUCCGUUGAUUGUGCACUUGAUGCUUGGAACACCAGGGUCGUCCUUCUUGAUCAAGAAAGGUGACUUGAGUUGAUGAUCUUGACCUUCUUGAGCUGCAGUGACCAUCUUAGCUGACUCAGUCCACAUUUGCUUGUUUCUGUUCCUCCUGUUGGUCCUCUUCCUUGGUUCAUGUUGGGAAUGCUCUGAGAUUUGUGCAGUCUUGUUCUUGAAGGAAAACGUCUCCUUCCUCCCCUUGAUGUAGAAACUGAUCUUGGCAGCACUAGCGUAGAUGAUAGCUCCCGAGGUGUUCAGGAAUGGCCUCCCUAGGAUGAUGGGUGCCCUCUCAACAGUACCAGUCUCUAUCAUCACGAAGUCUGCUGGGGCGCACAAGGUACCAACUCGGACGUAGAGGUUCUUCAAUAUUCCCUUUGGGAAACUUAGUGUCUGAUCUGCAGGCUGCAAGCACACGGUUGUUUCUAGUAAAGGAUGUGUAAAGAAUUUUUUUCAUAGAGUACCUUGGGCAUAAUGUUGACGCUGGAGCCAAAGUCGCAGAGUGCUUCUAGGAAGUCCACCAUGCCGAUGGAGAUCAGGAUGACGGGGCGUCCUAGGUUGUCUCUCUUGACUGGCAGAAGGUCAGUAAUUACUUCCACAAUGGGGUUACUCCAGUAGUUACGUCCUCAAGCAUCUCAGGGUAGUGAUUGCCUGAGUGUCUAGUAUCUCCAGUGUGUUUGUGCUCAUAGAUCUAAGUUCUUCACUUGGUGGAGUCUGGAAGUUGUAAAACUCCUUCAUAUUUUGCUUGAAGUGUACCUACUCAUAAAGACAAGGCAGAGAUCAAGUGCUUGGGCCCUGUUGGUGGAAAACACCAACAGAACCAAAAGUGUAUUUGUUCUUCUCUAACCUUAAGCAUAGUGAGCAAGACAAAGUUGAAGGAUAAUAAGAUUAUGAGUGUAGCAUUUAAAGCAUUUGUUAGAUCAGAUCACUCAACCUAAUGGAAAGAUAAUCUAUCUAUACUUAUCUCUUUUUUUAUAUAUAUCUUCCAAAGAUUGUGUGUGCAACAUUUAGUGUGGGAUCACAAAGGUGAAAGGACUAAACAUAUUGAAUCGAUUGGGUUGGUUAAUCUAGAAUUGUAAAUCAUACAUGUUUGUCUCUUUUAUUCAUGUGAAUGCCAGAACCAAGGAAAAGCUUAUAGAAGUGAUAGUCAAGUACUUUAAGAUGUUACCUUACUUGAAGAGUGAUGGUACAGUAUUACCUUGUGGAAGCUUUCCAUUCUUAGUGGUUGUGCAUCGUGUUUGUGGCACCCUCCAUGGAUCAUCUUUUGUGAGCUAUGCCUUCCUUGUGUAAAUUGUUAAACUUCAUGUGUGUCUCUCUUUGUCUCCAAUGUGAGUUUAUCUCAGGACUUCCCAGGUCAAUAUUGAAAGUUUUCCUGCAGGGGUUAGUCCAACAAAAUAUCCAAUAUCUACUAUAGCAUACUAUCGGCUCAAAAAUCAACCUAGACACCAUGUCUAAUUUGAUUUAGGAGGGCAUUUUAACCUAAGCAUCAUGCUUAAUUUAAACUCCCUUGGAAGUAAGAUCAUCAGCCCUAAACUAAGCACCAUGCUUAAUUAAGAGAUAAAUGAAACUACUCCAAACCUAGACAUAUACUAAAGCAAAUAAAGGUAGCAUGAGAGCAUUUAUAGAGAUCUACUCAAGUGGGGAUGAAGUAGUGUGAUUAGUAUUUAACAAAAUUGAGCAUGUCUCAAAGGUAGGGACAACCAACAUAGCAACAUGGCAAAGAAUGUUUUUAUGUAAAGUACUCCCCCAAGCUUGAAUUUUGCAAAAUUCAAGAUUGGAUGAAUUUAAUUCAAUGUUGCAUGAUGAUUGGUUGGACAUACCUUGUGCUUGUCAUUCAUCCGAUCUUCUUGCUCCAAUCCUGGAAAGGUUAGUGACAAGAAUACCCGAAGGAAUAUUUUUAUAAUUAUUCUUAUAUGCUCAACACACAAGGUAAUGUUGCAAAUAAUUCAAAGCUCAUGUUACAAUCUGAUCAGUGCUUGUUUUAGGACACUAAGCUUGUCCUUGGGAAACCAUCAAUUUAUGUCAGUGAAGUGGUUUCCCCUCAAUCGCUGACCUAUAUCAAGAUCAACUCAACGAGAUCUGCAAAAUUUAUUAUAAACAUAUGCAUCGACAACCGCCCUUUUAAAGUUUUUAUAAAUAGAAAGGAAGAGGGGGUUGGAGAUCUCGAAUGUGGUGAUGUUGGAGAGACCAAUGGAUUGUGAAGAUGUUGCAUAUGAGCAUGGAGUAAAUGAAGUGGCUAUGAAAUAAAUUCCAUGCUCAUUAAUGCUUAGAGUGAAAUCCAUGUGGUACGGUGAAAAUGGUAAGGUGAGUGUGGUAAAAAAAGGAAAAGAAAAAGGAUACACGGAUGACUUGGUUCGAAACUAGCACAACUACCGUUCCCCGGCAACGGCGCCAGAAAGCUUGUUGGGUAUUUUAAACGCAAACAGAAAAAUCCGCAAGCGCACGGAUACCGAUGUAGCUUUCACCCGGGAGUAUUCCAGAGUAUCGAUUUUCCACAGAGAACGUGAGUGUACUAAUUAAGAUCCAAGAUCGCCCAAGGAUAACUAUAUAAUUAUUUUUGGUGGGAAGAGAGGAAGUUUGCUGAGAGUUCUCUAGUUGAUCUAAGAAUCAAGAAUUACUUCAAGAUUAUCUAUAUCGGGACAUCAGAGCACUAACCACAGAAAGAGAUGAGAAGGGGGCUAGGAAGGUCUGACUACGGUCCUAUAAACACCGAUCCGAACGUGGUGGAAUACGUCGACCGUUAGGGCUGUCACUACCCUAGGGUUACCACAACAAUCCGUAGGAUUGGGUGCAAUUCUAGGUAAUCGCAAGACUAAACACCACGUCUAAUCUAUUAAUUACUACUCUAGCGUUAUAAAGACUAGAGCACUUGAUGCAAGCGGGAAUCCAAUAAAUAACUUGAAUGUAAAUAAAAGUAAUUAGAGAACUCAGGAGUUAUGAAUUGAAGAACCUGGAGAACGAUGAAGAACGAACCAGUUGCUGCAAAAGUACAAUGUUGAGGAAGAUCCGACAGAUCCGGCUCCUCCUCCGCUCUCCUCUUCUCUCUCCCUAUUUUCUAGAUUACAACUAGAACUAACUAGAACUAGAACUAGAGGAACUAGAACUAGAACUAGAUGAACUAGAACUAGAUCUAGAUGAACUAGAGGUAGAACUAGAAGAACUAGAGGGAUCCUCUCUACUUGGAUGAAGAAUUGAAACCCUAACUUUGAUUCUGUAGAAGAGGUAUGCCUCUAGGGGCUGGUGGGGGUCUGCUUAUAUAGUCGAGGAAGAGUAGCCCCCAAGAAAUCUAGGAAGAGUAGCCCCCAAGAAAUCUAGGAAGAGUAGCUCCCAAGGAAUUUCCACGUUAUUCUCCACCAUCCGAUCAAACCGACCUUCAUCGUGUGAUUUUCCUCGAUCCUUAGAGUCGGUGGAGCAUAAUCCCCGAGACUCGUGCUGAUUGGCCAGCAGAGGAGGGCGGGCGCCCAGGGGGGUAGGGCGGGCGCCCUGCCUCCGGGCCCGCUCGGCCUCCCGUUCGUUCCCGUGGCUUCUGGAGUCUUCUAGAUGAUAGAAAAUUGCGCGGCACGUUAAUAUCUCUAUGUAAUCCCGACGUGUGGGCCUUUCUUCCGUAUUUCCUGAUAACCCCCUGCAGAAAUAGACAAACACCAAAACUCGUGGAAUUCUGUCAGAUAAAACCCUAAGUCUGGGUGUUGGUUGCAUUUGGAUCCUUUUCCAUGAUUAAUUGAUGGUUAAAUGUGAGCAUUAAGGACCGUCAACAGACGGUUCGCUCGUUACAAAAAGGAUGCUAUUAGGACAGAAAUAACACGACUUUUAGCAGCCGGAUUCAUAAAAGAAGUGUAUCAUCCCGAUUGGCUCGCCAAUCCGAUCCUUGUACGCAAAAAGAAUAAUGAAUGGAGAAUGUGCGUUGAUUACACUGAUCUCAAUAAACACUGUCCUAAAGAUCCUUUUGGUCUCCCUCGCAUCGACGAGGUGGUCGACUCAACGGCCGGAUGCGAACUCCUCUCUUUUCUAGACUGCGACUCUGGUUAUCACCAGAUCUCGCUAAAGGAAGAAGAUCAGAUAAAAAUGUCUUUCAUUACUCCUUUUGGCGCAUACUGCUACACGACCAUGUCGUUCGGACUCAAAAACACCGGAGCCACCUAUCAAAGGACCAUCCAGCAAUGCCUCCACGGCGAGAUUCGUGAUGACCUCGUCAAGGCCUAUGUAGAUGACGUCGUCGUCAAAACAAGGGAUGCAAGCACCCAAAUUGACAACUUAGACCGAACCUUUAAGGCGCUAAACAGGUACAAGUGGAAGCUUAACCCCAAAAAGUGCAUCUUUGGCGUCCCUUCCGGUCUACUGCUCGGCAACGUCGUCAGCCGCGACGGCAUACGCCCGAAUCCUUCAAAAGUAAAAGCAGUACUCGACAUGCGACCACCUAAAAAUGUCAAGGAUAUCCAGAAGCUCACCAGAUGUAUGGCCGCACUCAGCCGCUUCAUCUCAAGACUAGGAGAAAAAGGCCUCCCUUUCUUCAAACUCUUGAAGGCUAAGGAAAAAUUUUCUUGGACAGAGGAAGCCGACGCUGCUUUCACCCAGCUUAAAACUUUCCUCACUUCACCGCCUGUUCUUACAGCGCCUCAGCCCAAUGAAGACCUACUCCUUUACAUUGCUGCAACCUACAGGGUUGUUUCCACGGCAUUAGUGGUCGAGCGAGACGAGCCAGGUCAUGUCUACAAGGUCCAGAGACCCGUUUACUUCAUAAGCGAAGUCCUAAACGAGUCCAAGGCCAGAUAUCCACAAAUACAGAAGCUCAUAUAUGCCGUUUUAAUAACAUCGAGAAAGCUAAAGCACUACUUCGACGGCCAUCGAGUCUUGGUAACCACCAGUUUCCCUCUUGGGGACAUUCUGCUCAAUAAAGACGCCAACGGCAGAAUUGUAAAAUGGGCAAUGGAAUUAUGCCCAUUCUCCCUAGAAUUCCAGAGCCGCACCACAGUCCAGUCUCAGGCCCUGGUCGAUUUCAUUGCAGAGUGGACGGAUCUCAACGAGCCUCCCGUUCCCGACGUCUCCGACCACUGGUCGAUGUUCUUCGACGGGUCCUUGAACAUCAACGGCGCCGGUGCGGGGAUUCUUUUCGUGUCGCCUAACAAGGACAAACUGCGUUACGUCCUUAGAAUCCUUUUUCCGGCAUCAAACAACGUCGCCGAAUACGAAGCAUGCCUUCACGGCAUACGAUUAGCCGUUGAGUUGGGAGUCAAACGCCUUUAUGUCUAUGGUGACUCCGCUUUAGUUAUCAACCAACUCAACAAGGAAUGGGACGCAACCCACGAGAAGAUGGAUCUCUACUACAAAGAAAUUCGCAAAUGGGAAACCAACUUCUACGGCAUAGAGUACAUCCACGUGGUCCGGGAUAAGAACCAGGCAGCAGAUGCGUUGUCAAAGUUAGGGUCAUCUUGGGCCCAGAUCUCGCGAGGUGUUUUCGUCCAGGACAUCCAUGAGCCAAGUGUAGGCAAAGACCCGGCCGAAAAGCAACCUAUUGAGGCAAUGCUCAUAAACGACGUUACUCCGGCAACCGGUAACCGCGAUUGGCGCACCCCAUUCAUCAGAUAUAUAUCGGAUGGGUUAGGUUUUCAGGAUAAAACAGAGAACGAGCGCCUCAUUCGACGAUCAAAGAAUUACAUACUGGUGGACGGCAAGCUUAUGCGAAAAAAUGCAAGUUCUAAAGUGCUGCUCAAAUGCAUAUCCCAGGACGAUGGCAUCAAACUCCUAGACGACAUACAUGCCGGAUCCUGCGGCAAUCAUGCUGCCUCCAGAACGCUGGUCGGGAAAGCUUUCCGAGCAGGUUUUUAUUGGCCAACCGCGGUCAACGAUGCAGAAAAACUGGUCUGACACUGUGAGGGAUGUCAGUUCUUCGCUAAAAGGACCCACGUACCUACUCAUGAGAUUCAAACUAUCCCGUCGUCCUGGCCUUUUGCCUGCUGGGGGCUCGACAUGAUCGGGCCAUUUAAACCGGCCCCUGGUAACUUCAAGUUCGUCUUCGUAUUAAUCGACAAGUUUUCAAAGUGGAUUGAAUACAUGCCACUGGUCAAAGCAACCUCCGAGAAGGCUGUGGAGUUCCUCAAUCAAAUCAUACACAGAUUCGGGAUCCCAAACAGUAUAAUCACUGACCUGGGUACUCAGUUCACUGGCACCAUAUUUUGGGACUUCUGCGAUGACAGAAGCAUAGUCAUAAAAUACGUGUCAGUAGCUCACCCAUGGGCAAAUGGCCAAGUUGAACGUGCAAACGGAAUGAUCAUCGACGCCCUAAAGAAAAGGUUGUACACCGAGAAUGACAGAGCACCUGGUCGAUGGAUGAAAGAGUUGCCGGCCGUGGUCUAGGGUCUCCGAACACAGGCUAGUCGGAACACCGGGGUGUCACCCUACUUCAUGGUUUACGGCACCGAGGCAGUGCUGCCAUCUGAUAUAACCUUCGGAUCUCCAAGGAUUGAAAACUUCGACCAGUCAACGGCCGACAACACCAGGGAACUCGAAAUCAACUGCAUGGAAGAAAAGCGUCUAAAUUUGUGCCUUCGAACAGCAAAGUAUCUUGCGGCAAUCAAACGAUACCACAACAGGAACGUUAAGGACCGUUCCUUCGUGGUCGGCGAUCUGGUACUCAGGUGGAAAACAAGCCAGGAAGGAAUGCACAAGCUAUCCACUCUCUGGGAAGGACCCUUUGUGGUCGCCGAAGUCACACGACCCACAUCCUACAGAUUGGCAUCUCCAGGCGGAACACGCGUGCCUAACUCUUGGCACAUAGACAAACUGCGCCGAUUUUAUCCAUAAGUUUCAGUAACUUUUGCUUGUAAGUCUCUUAUAGUUGGCAAUAAUAAAAGUUUUUUCUUUUUUGGCUAUACUUUGUUUACACGCAGAGAUAUCGGCAAAGAGCAAUAAUGUCCUCUGCGACGGAAACUCUUAACGACCAUGAAUCAAACACAGUGACACGUCACUCAAAUAACUUCACAGCGCUCAAAAUAACAGUCAUGACAAAAGCAAACUUUAUUACAAACUUUACAUGCAAAGUUUACAAUAAAUACUGUUGACAUGAUUUUUGGCUCACCAAUUUGGUUUAAAAAAAUAUAAAUAAUAUACAUGGCCUAAUUCCAUAUGAGAAAUGAUGUUGGCUAUGAAGUCAGUGCAAGAGCACACGGCAAGCAAAGGUGUGUGCAUGUGUAUUUCGUAUGUGUAAAUAAAUCAAAUACCAUGUACUCAUGGGAAUACGUAGUCCGAAGAGCACAUAUGAAAAUAAAAUACUUUGUUGAUUGACUAAAAUAAUCAAUCAUUUUCAAGGUAAAAAAUUAAAAGAAUGAAAUGAUGUGGUGACUAGUGGAAAGUUAAGAAGAGGAAAAGAAAGCUGGAACAAAGAAAUAAGGACAUAUACGCAUAUACGUUGUAUCUCGGCAAAAUAUAGUAGCGAAAGCACGGCUAUUAUAUGUCACGUUAAAAACGCCAGGCCGUAAAUACAUACACUGCUCACAUACGCAUGGAUUAAAAGAUGAUCAGGCAGCGUAUAGGAUGGUGGUGUAUAUAUAUACUGCCUAUCAUGUAGCCUUACGUACGCCAACCAGAAGAUAAACCUCCCUAUUUUCCUUAAUUAGAUUAAUUACUUCAAUCUAGAUAAAGUGGCUCAUAAACCAUGGAGAGGGAGAGUCAGGUCUUGACGCAUUCCAUGUUUUGACGGCGUCAGGCAACCCAGUCCAAGUCCCAAGGAGGAUUCAAACCUCCAUGAACUCCACGUCUGGAAAGAACCCCGUCGCAGCAGUCGCGCGCGAGGCCAUUCAAAUCACAACGCACCCGGGUCAUUAGCGGAGGCAGAUUGAAUUAGAAGAGCGCCAAACAUCGUGGUAACUACUCCCGCCGCUUUAGACUGGAGGAAUCGCCUUGCCACUUGCUCUAUAAAUAGCAGGCUGCGGCAAGCAUUCAGGACCCCGGCUCCUCUGAUCCAAAGUGCCGCCAGGCUGCUGCCGCUCCAUUGCCUCUAAAAUAAACUGCCGUCAGGCUGCUGCAGCACCACAUCGCUCGCCGUUUCAAGCGCCGCCCUGCCGUGCUGAAGAUCAAGCAUCAUCGUUAAGCUGCCGGUGAACUGCAAGAGCUUCCGCAAAGGCUUGCCGGCAAAAGCUGCUGUUUCGUGAGUCCCAAAAGGUGAGGAGCCAUAGCGCUCUUCUGAUUCCUCUCCUCCUAUUCUGGUUCUCCCGGCUUCACCGACGAUCGGCAACAAGCAAAUCUUCAUCGCCGGCAUCAUGACCAAGGCCUCAUGCACAGCUUCACUCUUUUGAGUUAGUUGCCAUGAGAUGCUUCAAGAUCCCAUGCCGAAUUUGUCAUACAAACCGGAUAGGGAAGAGCAUUGUUCUCAAGAACAAGAGCUAUGUUCAUCAUCAUUUCCAUGAUCAAGACCUCAUAUGUGGCUUGGCUCCGUCGAGCAAGUUCUCAUGAGAUGUCUCAAGGCCCCAUGCCGGAUUUGUAGCACAAACCGGACAGGGAAGAGCAUUGUUCCCAAGAACAAGAGCUAAGUCCACCAAUAUACUGAAAAAUACUCCUCGCUGCACUCCACGCAUGUGUUUAAAUCAACCAGAACACUUGCCGUGAGAUGUACGAGAGAGACCCAAAUUUCAUGCUAAAUGUUAUCAUUGCUUAUGCUAUAUAUAUAUAUAUAAAGAAAUCCAUGUGCUGCAUAUUCAGUCUAUGCAUAUUUUUCCUUAGUCGUGGCAGUUAGCGCCUUUGAUGCAAAUUUGAUUUAGUUAGCACUAACAUCUGUAUGCUAUAUUCAGUACCAUGCAUUUCAUUGGUGGUUGCAAGAAACAUUGAAGUUUGCAUUGCCAUGAGAUAAAUAAACUAGCUCUUUCAAAUGCCCGAACUGUCAAAGAUCAUGCAUAUCCAUAAUUAGAAUAUGUAUGCAUACGUCAUGCACAUGUCUGGUCUACGUCAGCAAAGACAAAUAAUGAUAAAAAACGGUAUGAUUCAUACUCUACGCCGUAUCAAGUGUUAUGGCCAGACAAAUAAAAUCCUCUGUUGGGCACGUAAAAACCCAUAAACCUUAUAUGUUGCUGCAUCUUGCAUAAAUUGUGUAGAGAUAAAAUCUUGUCCAGAUAAAAUCAAAUGGUCACUUUCCUAGCCAAAGUCAACAAAUAAAUAACGUUUCGUUCAUAUUUUUAGGUGGUCUUCAUCCGAACCUGGACAUGUCCUAAUAGACCAUAUAAUAAACUAAGCAAAAUUUUAGUUGUGUCAAACCUCAAGCCAUGACCAUUGAUGUUAGCUAAUUAAUUAUCUGCGUCGCUACGGUUAAAUAAAAUAAUUAAAUGUGAUAAACACGUGAACUUAGCUCAAAUUAAUUAAACUGGCCUUGUUAUGUUUAUCAUACCGAGCAUAGUUCCUCCAAAUUCCGUGCAUCAUGUAUAAAUAAAUAUUGCACCUUAGCUAUAUCCCAUUCAUAAAUCACCAGGCCUAGCUGAGUUGUAAACAAACCACAUCAAAUUAAAUUAAAUUAAAUUGCAUAAUACGUGCUAAUCCGUGGCCAAAUACCAUGCCAGGGACAUGCAUAACUUUCAUAAAAUAAGUACACUACAUGCAUCACGACCAAGUCCGGUGAUGCCGUAUAUCUUUCUAAGCCAUGGCAAAAUAGACGUCCUAGCUUAGCCCCAAAUAAAAUAUUAUAUCUUAUAUGCCAAAGCAUGUCAAUCCUUAAUCUGGCAUAUCUCCAAGUAAAUUACGUGCAUGCAUACGUGAUAAAAUGCACCAAAUAAAUGUUUAUUAUAUAAAUAAAUUAAUAUCCCUCCAUGGGCAUGCAUAUUUGUCAAAAAUCAUGCUAGCGACCAAUCAUACAAAGAAUAUAUAUUACCUGCUCAACAAAUGGAGUGUCAUGCUCAAAAGAAAUGAUGAAUAUCAAGUUCAAGUUUAUGCCAGGCCUAUGCAUGCAUCCAUCCGCGACUACAAGACUGAAGAUUUUAUUUUCUUUUGUAGUUUGUAAUAGCAAGCCAUAUGAUGUAAUCUUUCUUUUUCAUGUACUCAUGUUGGAACUCUUAAUCAGGGGUGUUCUCUUCAGAGAUGUAAUUAACAUAAUUUUUAUGCAAAUGUAAGAAUUAUGGAAGUAUGGACUCGCAAUACCUGUUCUUUUCAUAUUGUCUCAUUUAAAUUUAUAUUUGUCUCUGCUGACGCGGAGGCGGGUCAUAGCCUCCCGUUUCCCCGCCAUCAAAUACCCUGACGGGCGGUCACUAGUCUACUCCUACAGACUACUCUGCUGGCCUACUGCUCGGGCUGAUCACCCGCUUGGCCUUGCUGCCCAGACGAAGGGGUCGGGGCCACCGGCGGCUGGCUGGUCGAGACCGUAGGCGUCGACCGCCCAUCUCCGGCAAUGGACGCCCCCGACAACUCCCCGGCCGACCUGUCUGAACCCGGCUGGUCGGGGGGAGUGGCCGUCCCGCAUAGAUUGAUGUCACCGAUGACCGUCGACGACAAGUCUAGCAGUCCAGCCCGAAGCUCGUCCACCUCCUGCGGGCCGACUUCCUUGGGGUACCCCUUCUCCAGCCUGGACAAGUCGACCAGGGGGUAGUGGGCGCGCACCAUGCUGAGGAUAUGCGCGCCAGCAAACUCUCCGGCGUCCUUCAUGAACUGCUGGAGCCAGUCCCACGCCCGUUGCGCCUUUUCAACUGGCGUCAAUCUCGGCGCACGGGGCUGGCUCUCCGGAAGCUCGGGGCUGAUCAAGUCAAGGACCGGGGCUACUCCUUUCCAGAUCCUACAACAAUUAACCUUCCAGGAGUCCCGAUCCUUGACCAGCUCGUCCAGAUGCUUCUUGGCGUUCACCUUGAGCACUGCAAAUCAAGCAAGAUGUUAGUUUCAACAUAUCGAAAAGAGCGAUAAGCGGCAAAUAACGGGGGCGGCGCGUAUUACCAGACAACUCCCGGUCCCUCCGGCCCAGCUCCUCCCCUGCUCGGCGCCCGGCCUCCAGCGCACCGGCAAGCUCUUGGCUGAGCUGCUCUUUCUCCUGUCGAAGGCGCGCGACCUCCUCCUCUAAACCUACAUGAAUAAUCCUCUGGUCAGCGAAGACAACCAACGCGGCUACAAACAGCCGCCUCGGCGUACGAGACUAACCUUCUCGCUGCCGAAACUGGUCGGCCAAGCGUCGGGUAAGCUCGAAACGGUGCUCUUCCUGAGCGCUCAUCUCGGCUACUUUCUCUCCAACUUCUGAUCGAAGCCGGUCCACCUCUGCGGCCAGGGUCUUGUUCUCGGCUACAAUGCCUUCUAUUUGGUCGAAGCACCUCUUUCGGUACUUCACCAUUUUCGUUGCGCCCUGCAAGACGAACACAUGUUGACCUAGCAAGAUAACAUAACAGUGUCGAGCAGUGCAAAGGAUAACUUACCUUGACUUUGUCCACGAGACGCUUGGCCGCGCGCUCUACUCUGGCGGCCUCUUCUGUCUCCGCGAGCUCCUCGUGCCCGAUAAAGUGGUCCCCACGUUGGCGCCACACAUAUACGUGUUGGCGGCCAUCACGAGGACGACCUUCAAUCUCCUCCACCUCGUCGCUGGAGGCCGCCUGGGUUUCCUCGCCCGCUGCAUCGCCCCCGGUGGUGGUCGCAGGCAUCACCGGCCCCUGGACCAGGCCCGGGGAUCCUGUGGCCGCAGAGACACCUGCCCGGGGGGGCGUUGGGACCUCCCUCCUUUCGACGGGUGAGGGGUCGGGGCUCUGCCCUCCCCUUCCACAACGUUUCUCGGGGGAGGCGUCCCCAUAGCCUCCUCGACCCUUGUCGGGCUGCUCGCCGCAGUCCUUGUCGAGGCCGGAAGCUCCUCGGCGCUCUCAGGAACGGCUGCUGCCGCAGGCUGUUCCACGGUCUGCAGCGCCGCGUCCUCAGCGGCACAAGCAGGCUCGGCCACCCUCUGGCCGGCGGCGUGGUCGGGAUUGACGUCCGACGCCGCGCUAAAAAACAAGGCAGCAUUUUCAGCAAAAAAAAAGACAAAGACAAAAAUCGCCAAAAUACGUAAGUCGAACACUUACAGGUCUGAUCGACGAUGGGCCGUGGUGAACCUCCUCCUAGCCCUGCCGGUCGGCACCUGCGCCCCCGUUUCCGUAACGCGCGGCGCAGGAGGGUCGCUGGCCACCCGAUCAGUAGUGGCCGGUGCACUGUCCGAACGGCUACGAGGCCUUCGGACCAGCGAUGGUGCGGCCUCCUCCUCCUCGUCGUCGUCGUCGGUGAUCCGAACGAGCCGACGGCGCUUUGGCGCUUGGCUGCUCUCUGCCGGCAGCGUCGGCGCAGGCGAAGGAUCUGCUGCUAACGGCCUCUUCCCUGCCACUCUCUCCUCAGUGGUCGGGACGGGGCGGGCCUGGUCCUCCUAACUACUGGUGUAACGAGUACACCGAGCAGCGUCUUCCUCCGGCGGAUCUUCCCCCGCAGGAUUCUCCAUCCCAGGCGCCAGUGACACAUACACUAUGCACCGGUCAACGUCUCCGAUCUGCAAAAGUAACAAAGAUAAGUCAGCAGUUGACAAUAACAAAUGCUAAGGAGAAAUAAACAGUAAGAUACCUUAGGUGCUGGUUGCCCCAACUUGAAGGCUUGCACCAGGUCACUACCACGGACGAAGCCCCCGUCCGCAAAGUUGAACAGCUCGUUCAACAGCUGCUGCACCUCUGCCUUCUCCAAGACCUCAGGCCGCAUCCUGGUCGGGUCCAGGCUCCCGGCGUACUCGUACGCCGAGUGUACCCUCUUCUGGUAGGGCAUCACCCGACGACACACAAAGUUGCCGACCACGCCUAGCCCGUCCAAGCGCGACCAGUCGAUCAGCUUCAUCAGGUCCGCCACUUGGCCGUCGAACUCUGGGCGGUCGGUCCAGCUCACCCUCUUCUCGGGGAUGUACCCCACGUCGCAGAACGUGGAGCUGCCCGGUUCUUCCCUGACGUAGAACCACUUCAUGUACCAUUCGGUUAGGGAAGUGUUCCACGGACAGUGCAGAUAACGGUUCUUCAUCCCGUCGUGAAGAUUGAGGUAUACUUCACCUGCAACCUUGGAGCCUCCAACCGCUCCCUUCUUUCUUAAACAAAAAAGAUGACGAAAGAGAUCGAAGUGCGGCUCUAUGCCAACAUAGGCCUCGCACAGAUGGAUAAAAGUGGAGAUGAGAAGGAUUGAGUUCGGGUGCAGAUUGCAAAUCCCGAUCUCAUAAUACAAAAGAAGACCCUGAAGAAAAGGAUGAACAGGAACCCCGAAACCCCUCUUAAUUAAAUCCUCGAACACUACGAUCUCACCGGCGCGGGGGUCGGGGUAGCUCUCCCCCUCUGGCGCCCUCCAGCCGCCAAGCUCCGGGCUGUGUAGUAGCCCCAUGUCGACGAGGUCACCGAGGGACUUUGCGGUGCUGCGGGAUUUCUUCCAUUCCUUGGCCAUCAGCUCGGCCCUCUUCUUGGAGGCGCUCUUCGCCAUUGGAAACGCGGGAAUGGUUUCGAGCUAGGAGGGUGCAGGUGAUUGAAGAAGGCGAGAGCGGAAAGCGUGAAGGCAAUGGCAGGGUAGGCAAUGCGGGGUUAAUGUCAGGAUUUUAUAAACUACAACUCCACCCCUCCCACUUCCCGCAUUCUUGGGAAGUGGGCGGGCCAUACGGCACACGCGGCGCUUCGGUUUUCAAUGAUUAUCGACAAUUAAUGCGGCGGAGUUUUCGUAUAAAUUUAUGGUUUCCUUUUCUCAAACCGCGCAAAGGACGGCUGCACAGUUGCCAGACGCAACUUUUCAUGCAGCCAUCUGACACCACAUCAGGAGGUCUCGUCACAUCAACUUUUAUGUGGUAAAAAUUUUCAAAACAAGAAGACAAAAAAUGGUAGAGAGUCAACAAUCCGAGGACUGCACCGACCACCGAGCACUUCAUGCUCGGGGACUGGUCGCCCAGUCUAUCAAUUCGGAACUUCAAGAAUUACACCGACCACCGAGCACUUCAUACUCGGGGACUGGUCGCUCAGUCUAUCAACUCGGAACUUCAAGGACUACACCGACCACCGAGCACUUGAUGCUCGGGGACUGGUCGCCCAGUCUAUCAAUUCGGAACUUCAAAGAAUGCAAUGACCAUUGAGCACUUGAUGCUCGGGGACUGGUCGUCAAAUUUGUUGAGACUGCACCGACCACUGAGCGCUUGAUACUCGGGGACUGGUCGCCUAGUCUAUUAGUUCGGAAAUCAGCGGGUUGUAUCGAUCUUGGAGCAUCGUACACCCGCGGACUGGUUGACCAGCUUGUCAAAUUGAUAAGUCUAUUCGAUGGUAAAUGAGCAUGAGAUGCUCGGGGACUGGAUAAUUUUAAUUUUUUAGACCUUGCUACAAGGCUCAUACUUCGCCUUCCAGCAAGCUCGGGGACUACAUCAGUACGAUGCAUCUGGCGAUGCAUCUCAGUUUCAAAACUACUCUGGGGAAUUUUCUUUUGACCCUGGCACCACGUGUCUACAUCACCUACUACCAGGCUCGGGGACUAAGUGGGCACACUUCACCUUGCGGUGAAUAUGCUUGCUUUUUUGAGGAUCUGUACUUUUCAUAAAAGUAGAGUGGGCACACUUCAUCGGAAAAGAAAUAUUUUUUCUCAAGAGCACCAUGCAUUCUUCGAACAUUUGACUUCUUCUAUGAUGAUGUUGAUCAAAUAUGUUUAGAUUUGGUCAAAAUACCGUCGUAAUUGUCUGGGCAAUUUUCAUGCUGAUUGAAGGUGUCAAAGUUUCAUUGGUCGAAGAAGCUCAAGAUGGCGUGUUACUUCACAAUACAUGGUGCUCGGGGACUAGCUGUGGGGGUAUAAACCCCUAUACCCUUACGGCUAGACUUGGGCCAGGAGGCUUGGCCCAUUACGAGACAAGCUCAAGGCUUGAUCCGACAGCUUGGAGUUUCGCGCAAGGAAACAAGACGUGGAGAUCAAGCAGCAUUCUAGUCGGUUAGAAUAGGAAUUGAUAUCGAACUAUCUAUGGCAAUUGUAACUGGCUAGGAUUAGUUUCCAGAUCUGUAACCCUGCCCUACGGACUAUAUAAGGAGGGGCAAGGAACCCCCUAGGACACAUUAUUCUCACAACACAAAUCAAUACAAUCAGACGCAGGACGUAGGUAUUACGCCAACUCGGCGGCCGAACCUAGAUAAAAAGCUUGUCCGUGUCUUGCGCCACCAUCGGGUUCGUAGUUUGCGCACCGUCUACCGAUAAACUACUACAGUGGGUAUACCCCAAGGUAGACUGCCGACCAGCUUUCGUCGACACUGCUCCUCUCAGCAAAUGGAUUCAUUCCGUUAGUACUCAGUGCGAACCAAACAUUCCUUGGUUCAUUAGCAAAGUCCUUGUGGUUUUCAUUGAAAUCUUUCCACUGCUGGCCAUCGGCUGGGUGCCGAAGCUUCCCAUCGUCUUUGUGCUCAUCAGAAGCAUGCCAGCACAUAAGUUGGGCAUCCUCUGGGUUAGCAAACAAGCACCUCAAUCGAUCGAUCACAGGAAGGUACCACAUCACCAAAGCAGGAACCUUUUUCUGCGCAUAAUAGUCUACUUCUUCCUUUUCUUUGCCGGUGGGUUUUGAACUACUCUUCUGGGUCUUCUGUUGGGCCUUCUUUCGUUUUUUGCCCUUAGGCACAGAGGCAACACACACUUCCUCUAUGUAGUCUUUAUUUGUCUUGUACCUACUUGCACCACACUUGGGACAGCUGUCCAAGUCUCUAUAAUCAUCGCCUCGAUAUAGGAUACAAUGAUUUCUACAAGCGUGGAUCUUCUCAACACCCAUUGUGAGUGGGUUGAUUAGCUUCUUUGCAUAAUAUGUGUUAGCAGGCACUUUGUUAUCCUUAGGAAGCAUGUCUGCGAUAAUGCUUAAGAACGCAUCAAAGCCAGCAUCAGAAAGACCAUAUCUAGCUUUGCACACCAACAACUUUAGCACAGACCACAGCGUCGUGAACUCUUUGGUGCAACCCUUGGACUCAUCAUACAAAGGCUCUUCUGCUGCCUUCAUUAGGGCCUUCAUACCUUUCAUGAAGAACACUGAUGGAUCUUCCGCAUGAUGAUGCAACAUUGCCUCUAGAAAUUCUGCAUCUUCCGCAGCCAUGUUAGUUUCGGUGCCAUCUUCAUUUCCUCCAAUAAAAACAUGAUCAGGAACAUUUGGCACAACAUGUUCAGUGGCUAGACCAUCAGUAUUAGUUUGUUGUGUCUCGUGUAUGAACUCAAACCCGUCAACAAUUCCAGUUGUAUAAGGCGCAGAGCUACCCUCUCCAUGCUUUGUCCAAAUCAAGUAAUCUUUCAUAAAUCCUCGACGGACCAGAUGAGUAAGGAUUUGUUGAAUGUCAUCAGAUACAACAAGAUUUCUACAAUCCAUGCAUGGACAAUGUAUGUGCGUCUUUCUUGUUCUUGAAGCAUGGUUUUGAGCAACAUCAAUAAACCUCUGGACCUCAGUUAUGUAUGAUGGAUCAAGUCUUGAUAAAUUAUACAUCCAAAAUGACCUCUCCAUCACUACCUGUAAAACACCAUUCAUAUGAUCUAAGGGUUUACAAAGGAUUUAUCUAGGGUUUAUUAGCUAGGGUUUAUGGUUAAGCUUGAGAUUAAAGGAAAAAACCUAAGUUACAUAAAUAAAAAAUAAUCUAAGUAUAGCAUAAGUAUAUAAAUACAUCAUUCAUUAUAAAUAGAUAGAUGAUGUGGAAGGUGAUAAUAAAAAACCUAACUACCAAAUAAUUAAAAAAAUCCACAAUUAUCUCUCUACAUAAAUAUACAAAGAACACACCAUUGGUUUAAUCUUGUAAAAACUAGCUAAAUUGAGAAGCAAACAUGUUGAGAGGCAUUAUCCAACCAUAUUAAGCAACCCCAUCUAACCAUAUCAACAAAUAAAGACAAGAAGCUAGCUAUUCUUCUCUCUCACUCAUAAAACAAACAUACAUGUUGAUAAAUAAAUUGAAAAAUUUAUAAAGAGAGAGAGAGAGAGACAUAAAAUAGAAAACCUAAGUAUAGCAUAACUAUAUAAAUACAACAUUCAUUAUAAACAGACAGAUGAUGUGGAAGGUGACAAUAAAAAACCUAACUAUCAUAUAAUUAAAAAAAAUCAACAAUUAUCUCUCUACAUAAACAUACAAGAACACACCAUUGGUUUAAUCUUGUAAAAACUAGCUAAAUUGAGAAGCAAACAUGUUGAGAGACAUUAUCCAACCAUAUUAAACAACCCCAUCUAACCAUAUCAACAAAUCAAGACAAAAAGCUAGCAAUUCUUCUCUCUCACUCAUGGUGAAACCCUAUAUCCAAAAAGUGGCUCAAAUUGAGCUAGAAUGAGCAAAUUGAGGCAAUAGGGACAUAAACUAAACUCUUUUAGCAACCUCCUUCCUAGAAAUGAAGAUCAAAACCUCCCCCCUUGUAUUUUGAGAAAUCUGGAACUCCAAAAUCGCCCCUAAUGGAAGGUGGGUGCGAGAUACUGCGUUCUGGUCGAGGAGGAAGAAGGGGUAUUUAUACAGAGAUAACACAGUCGGUUGCUUAAGUCAACCACCUGUGAUAAACUGUUUCCACAGGCGGUUGACUUAAGCCAACCGCCAGUGUAAAUGCUCUAUUUACACUAGCGGUUGGCUUAAGUCUAUUUACACUGGCGGUUGGCUUAAGUCAACCGUCUGUGAUAAACUAUUUCCACAGGCGGCCGAAAAUCUCUGACACCGCCCGAUUUAUACCACAGGCGCGUCGUAACUGGAACCGCCUGUGGUAUAAAAAGGGGGCGCCAGCUAUGAGCCUCUUUCUACUAGUGAAUACAUGAUGCAACAACUAGGCUUGGAAGAUUGCUUUGCACUGGAUGCUUAAUAGUAGUUGGAUACUGUUAGGAUUAAGUCAUUGCUUUUAGUUGCUCUACCUGGACUGAAGCCAGGUAUUCAGUUUUUUUAAACAUGCUGCAUACAAGUUUCUAGUAUAUUGAGCAUCCUCGACUGUACUAUGAAAAUGCCUAUUCGUACCUACUAGCUAACCAUAUAUUUUUCUGCCUUUUUUUCUUAGUUCAUUGGUGAAGAAUAUUUCAAAUAGCAAUACAACAUAAUUGUUCAUUAGAACCUUCGUAACUUCUAUUGUGCUUGCAUGCAGCGUAUUGCAAAGGUAGUUUCCCUCUGCCUGCUAUGGCCUUAUACAAAUGCCAUGAUUAUUUGGUUUCAAAAACAACGCCAUUUUAUGGUUUCUAUUUUUUGUCUAUGCUUUUAGCAUCCCCUAGGUCCAGUUCCUUUUUUAAAAUCUUCAUGCAGUAUUUCUAAAUUUUUAAUCCUAAUUCUGUUUGAGGAAAUGCUGAUAUGUAAGUAGUCUGUCACUGCAAAAAAAUAUGAUGAUAAAUACUUGGAUGAGUUCCAAUCUAACAUAACAAGUUGCAUUAUUAUAUAUUAAUACCACUUAGCAUUACAUAAAUAAAGAUAUGAUGAUAAAUAUACUCAUCACAUAUGCAACUUCUAAAUAAGUGGUCCACUGUACUGUCUAUAUAUGAUAUACAAUGCUAAAUUUACAGGUUAGCUUACAACAUUCAACAAUCAGAUUGUGCUGGAGUUCUAUUUUGUCACCUGUGCAUUAGUGGCUGCACAAUCUACUAACGGUAAGCUCAUGACCACUAUAGAGUUGGGAACUGUGAAUCUGAGAGAUCUAUCUGUUUUACCUAAUAGUGGUUGUUUCAGAUAUAUGAAUUUAUUAGCAACCUUUGUUUCUUUGAUAUUUAUUUACAUGGCAGCUUGUAGGUUAUUGCUCUUUGUGAUUUAUGUUAUUAGCUGUUACCUCUGUAGUGCCUGAGUAUUUCUUUUUGUUUUAACAGUGCUUCUGUUAUAUGGUUAAUUAACAAGUAGCUAUGACAAUCUUCCUAUUUAGCAUGGCUUGAGCAUAUAUUUUUGUUGUGUUAGUCCUUUUGUGUGCUUAGGCUGGGAAAUUGAUUAUAGUUUUUGCAGGUAGAAUGCCUUCGUGGCCAUCAAUCAGAGUGUCCAGCUAUUUGCCAUGACCGGGAAUUGGAGAAGCAACUUGAGCUAGUACUUAUUCUAAAACCAUGUCAUGUGAAAGUCUAUGUUAGCCAUUUAGCAAUAUUCAUAGAUAUAUACAUGUUACUUUGCAAUAAUAAGUAUUGUGCAUCAAGAAAAAACCAUAGAGGAGUUACCUCAUGUACUGUUAGAAAUCUGCAGGCCACUGCCCAUGUACUGUUAGAGAUCUUUUAGGUCACACUGCUAAUUGUGCAAGAUACUUUAUACCAUACUUGUAAAUGAUUUGAUUGUUGGAUUGGAUGAAACAUGUGUAUUAUGAGAUAGAUCUGCAGGUGCUACUGCUGCAGCUGUGUAAAGAAUACGUAUAGAUCUGCAGGUGCUACUGCUGCAGCCUUGUAAAGAAUAGGUACUGAACAAACAGGAUAGCUAUAGGGAUUUUUCUUUUUUUUUGUUUUUUUUCAAUUAUCAUUAGUGACGCGUUUUGAUAAAAUGCGUUACUGAUGAGAUCUGCACCAAUGACGCGUCUUGGCUGAACGAGUCACUGUAAAUAGUUAUCAGUGACGCGUCUUGGCUGUAUGCGUCACUGUUAAGGAGUCAUUGGUGACGUGUAUAGACUGAACGGGUCACUCAUAAAGGCUCAUCAGUGACGCGUAUAGACUGAACGGGUCACUCAUAAAGGUUCAUCAGUGACGCGUUUUGGCUGGACGCGUCACUCUAAUGGCUCAUGGUCUCAGAUAUUAUGACAAAUAACCAAUGUCAUACCUUAUGACAAAGAAUAUACAGAUGUCACAUGAUCCAUUUAUGACAGUGAUUUUUUGACAUAUAGUUUUUUGUCAACUAAUUGUCACAACUCUUAUGUUGUGACAUUAUUUUCAUAUGUAAUGACAUAAAUAGAAAGUCAAAAAAUCACAGGAUUCUUAUAGUGUGAGGUUUGUUCUUAUUAUUAUUGGACACACUCCUUGCACUAGCCUUCAUAAUGAAAUCCUAGAGAUAUAGAAGGAAUCAUCCCCCAAACUAAAAGAGGAAGUUUUCAUAGCCACUUGCAAACAUUCCAAUCCCAUGAUUCGGCUAUCUAUCCCAAACUUGCAGUACUCCAAAAUCCUCUAAGGAAAAUUCUACCUUUAGAAAUUCUUUCUAAUAAUUUUAGGAGGAGUUUAAACUUGCUGCUUCAUAAUAGGUCUUUUAGUGCAUAUAGUUUGAAUCUUCAAAAGAGAUUUCUUAGAAAGCUUUUCAAAUCCAAUCUCUUUGAAGGACAAUUAGAAAGACUCAAGGAUGGUAUAUCAAGUGAUGCCAUAGAAGGAGAGCAAAGCCAUCUAGAAACCACUCUUAUCCUCUCCCCUUAUAUGGCUGCAUUAGAUAUAGAAUAUGAACCCAUCUCUAAACCCAUCCUUGACUGCAGUGACUUGUUCUAUGCUCUUUCUCCUAAACCUCCUGAUGAUUCUAGACAUCUAUUUAGAUAUCCCAUGCAUAGGAAUCAUCAAGUCCAUAUAGAAGAUCAAGAAGAACAACAUCCAUAGCUAGAGAGCAUUAAAAACCUCUGUGCUAUUGCCAUUGAAUGGAUGAACAAGGCCUUAGAUAAGAUCAAUUCAAGAGAUGAUCCAAGGGAAUUUUUGGGAAUAUAUGUCAAGUCACCCUUGGAUGUAGAAAAUGAUGGAGACUUCAAUAAGUAAGGAAACUACUACAUUAACACCCCAUCCGUCCCUUGCUUAGAUGAAAAAUCUCCUAAUUCACAUAGUCUCUCUAACAUUGCCCCAAUGAUAUCUUCAACCCCCUCAUGCUCCCUGCUCCUAAUGUUUUUGAAAGGGUGGUUGUAGACAUAUGUUUAUCAUAAAUAUUGUAGAUCUCAUGUGGUGAAUCUUGAGAGUAGUGCAUUUAGAUUGGUGUUGGAAGGGAGACCACUUCACCGAACCACAUCUUGAAGGAUUCCCAAGGACAAGCUUAGUGUCCUAAAACAAGUGUUGAUAUUUGGUAACGCCAGCAGGAAACGAUUCGCAAGCGCACGGAUAUCGGUGAGCACUUCACCCGGGAGGUUAUCUAGAGUAUCAUAUUUAUAUUUUUACCACUAGGAGAAAGCGUGCAUCUGACUAACCAAAUCUAUUACUACUACCCUUUAGGCUACAAAUAAUGUUUCUCGAUGUGAGCAAUGUAUAGAGAAGACUGCAACCGUAGUCUCGUUCUAACUUUGGUAAGGAUGAUCUACUGUUCUAUUGGGGAGGCUCAUGGAAUCUAGACACCACAGAGGAUGUUCAACCCACACCUAUAAACCCUACCCAUCCUGCUAACGAGAUGUGGGCUGCAAAGGUAACUCGGAAAUGUCACGUUUCUCGCUACCACCGCGGUCCAGCUAGUCAGGGGAUAUCUAUGAGUACCCUAGCCCAAACACCACGUUUACGCUAGCAAUGAUUACUCUAAACUCAACCGGAAGAGAUCAAAGUAAACUCAUAAACCAAAGAACAAUAAAACAAGAACUUACUAGAAUUUAGAAGUCAAAUUACUGAAGAAUCCUAGGAGCAAGCCUCGGGUUAGGAGACUUGAUCCCACAGGUACAACCUCGGAGUAGACACCGACAGGCUGGGCUUCCUCCGAUCUACACCUCCACUCUAUCUCUCUCAAUCUAGUAGAUCUAGUCUACUCUCACAUUGGAUGCUAAGCCCUAAGUCUAUUUAGAGGAAAGGUUAUUCUUCGAGGGCACCUCUCAACUCUAUGAUGAACUUGUUCUCCUCCAUGGGCCAGGGGGUCUGCUUAUAUAGUCCCCUCAAGUGAAUCUGGGCCGUCAGAUCAAACUGACAUUGAUUGAACGAUUAUCCUUGAUCCUUUAGGUCGGUGGAGCGUAAUCCGCGAGACGGGACCUGAUUGGUCUCUACCUCAGGGCGGGCGCCCAAGGGGGAGGCCGAGCACCCUGCCCCCGGGCCCGUUCGGCCUCCCGUUCAUUCCCGUGGCUUUUGGACUCUUCUAGAUGAUAGAAAAUUGUGCGGCACGUUAAUAUCUCUAUGUAAACCUGACGUGUGGGCCUUUCUUCCAUAUUUCCUGAUAACCCCUGCAGAAAUAGACAAACACCAAAACUUAUGGAAUUCUAUCAGAUAAAACCCUAAGACUGGGUGUUGGUUGCAUUUGGAUCCUUUUCUUUAUUUAUUUGAUGAUUAUAUUUGGUACUUAAGGACCGUCAACAACUCCCCCAAGCUUACCUCUUGCUCGUCCCUAAGCAAGGAUGGACUUAAGAGUUUCUGCAGUGGUUUCAUGCCUUAAAAGUACACAUGCAUUCAAGUAAGAUCUCAUCUUUGAGUUAGAGUAAACUGUUAAGACUUAAAACUUACUCAUUUUACCUUUCACCAUGGAGCUUGUAACCAUCACUUGUGUCUUGAAUAGUUAAAAGAUAGAACAUUCUAGUCAAGUGUAACACCCCAGUGUUAUGGUUGCAUUAAUCAUGUGCAUAGCAUGAGCAUCAUCAUCUACUCAAAGCAUAUCAUGAUCAUCAUAUAUCUUGAGCCAUGUCAUUCUAUGCAAAAAGGUAAUCUAAAUUGCUUAAAUAGGCUUUCUAUGCAUAUGUUUGAGUAAACCAUGCUUGUGUUUGUGCUCUAUGCCUUGGUAAUUAGUUUAUCUAUGCUUAACUUAACCUUGGGAACAAUGUUCAUGUGGAUCACUUCUCCAAAAUAAUCACUUAAGACAUACUUAUGCAAAUAGGCCCUAGAAACCUCUUUUGCUUAGGCUUUUAAAAAGUGUUUCAUAAAAUGUUUGCAUGUCAAAACAUUCUACAGCAAAGUUGUAGAAAAUUUUAUAAGGAACAAAAGUUGUUUUAUGGCCAUCUCAUGAAAAUGAUCACAUCUAGCUCAAAAUUGACCCACAAGGCAGAUUUGGGGCUGUUUCCAACACUUAGGAAAUUUUCUGUCUUGGAGCGAAAACAGUUUGCUUGAUCUGUUUUGAAAACUCUAUAUCUCUCAAUCCAGGCCGAUCUGGCUUUUGCUCUAGUUGACAUUGUUGUAGAACUUAGUUGGAACUCCAACUUUGUCAACUACACCAUCUCCUAACUCGCUCUGGUUUGGAAGUUAAUCAUCGACGAAGUUGCUCUGUCAGUCGGUGAUCGCGAGGUCUGAUUCAGAGCUGAGCUCGCCGUCGUGGUCGCCCAGAGCGCCACCUGUCCGCCAGAUGGCGCCCGUACGCCGGCGAUGGCCCUGCUCGUCAGGUCGACGGCGUUGUCAUGGACGCCACGGCGCCCCGCACUCACUCAGCGCCCGUCCAUUCUCCUCCUUCCUCUCUCUCGCGCUCGCUCUGGCGGAAACGGCGUCGCCAUUGCCGCCGAGAGCUUCGCAAGCUCUUCGCGCCCUCGCCUCUGCGUCUCGCUUCGCCUCCGAGUGCCUCCAAGUCCGCCUCGAGCUCCUCCAUCUUCUCCACCCCUCAGUUGGACGAGAUCUCCCCGAGGUGAGCGGCAUUUCGCAAGUUCUCCGUCGUCGGGUUCGCGGCCGUCGCGACACCGAUUCCGGCGAACCUCGCCGCUGCUCCACCCUUGCUUCCUUUCUUCACUUUGGGUAGCGUUAGGUUCUGCUUUGGUCUUGGCGUCGGUCCACACCACGCCAUUCCGGCUAAAACCUCACCGUCGCGUGGGAACACGGUUGGCGCACCGCCGACGAGCACCUCGCACGUGAGCAGGCUCACCGGAGCCGUUAGGGUUAGGCGUUCCUACCUCGAAAGCUCCGUGCUGACUCACUGAUGCUGUAGCCACCCUUCCUCGACGCUCUACCGGUCGGAGAUGGCCGGCGUAAGCCGGGGUAGCUCCGCCGUGCCGCCAUGGCCGACGGCGACCCCUCUCCGUAGACGAAACCCUAGCACCACCUACCUCCAUCGAUGCGGAAUCCCUCCAGGAGCACGUUGGUGCCCUUGGAUCCACCAAAGAAGCUCACCGUCGGCGAGCAUUUGCCGGCGAAGGAGUCCUCUGUUCUCGGUGUCACUGACGCGCGGGUCCUGUCUGCCAGUGACUCAACGGUCACCCCCUUCCUUUUAUUCAAAUCUGGAUUUUUGGCUUUCUUGCAAAAAUCAUAUCUCUAGUUCUGGUGAUCCAAAAAUUGUGAAACCAAUUUUGUGAUGUUCCUUGAGAUGGCUAGUUUUUAAUAAAAAUAUAAAAUGAACCAUGUUUUCUGGGAAAAUAUUUAUUAGGAUUUAAUCUUGUUAUUCAUGAAUAAAUUCAUAUCUCUGGUUAUACUGUUUAGUUUGCCAUGAAAAUUUUAUGGAAGUCUCUGUGUGGUACUAGAGUGCUUUGAUAAAUAUUUUAUGAUUUUUGGAGUACUGCAGCUUUGUUAUGUAAUUUAUGAUUGAAAUUUGGCUUGUUUCCUUGAUUAAAUCAUACAAAAUAAUUGGUGCUUAUGCUGGUGUUCUACUUUGGUGGUAAACUUGUUUAUGACAUUCAUAAUGUGUAAAUAAUUUGAAAUCUGUUGUUUGACAUCAUAUAAGUCAUGUUUCUGAAUUUAUGAAAUAAACACCUUGUCAUAUGUUAAAUGCAUAUCUUUAAUUUGGUAUGUGCAAUUGCCCUGAAAUUUUCAUGGUGAUGCUUUGAUGCUAUACUUGUGCUUCUGUAAUUUUUGUAGAUUUUUCUGAGCACUUUGACUAGUAUCUUGUAAUUAUGCUCCUUUCUAGAUUUAAUUAAUAAAUGCCUUGUUAAGUAAAUGUUUGAGGGUUAUCAUCUGAUGUUCUGGUUGUCUUAUGUUAUGCUUGUGCUCAUAAGCCAUGUGGCUGGCAUGGUUUAUGUUUUGGUUAUGUCAUCAAAUAAUUAAUUGGUGGGUUAAAAGCUGUUCAGGACAGCAAGGGAGUAAUUUAACUUUUGCUUAAUGAUAACUUGGUUUUCUCGGAAACUUGUCUAAAUCAAAGUUGUUGUAAACUUAUUGAACUAGCUGUGGAUUAAAUUUGGGAUCAUUUGGUUCAGUAGUUUUGAAGUUAUGAUCUUUCCAAGUUAGGUUCCAGAAAUAGGUGUUCUCUGUUUUUCUGGGACAGAACCUGGAACUUUGUUUAAAUGACUUGUUUAAUUUAUGAACCUUGCUGUGAUGUCUAAAGAUGAUUUGUAGACAAUUUCAUAAGAUUUCCAGAAUGUCCUCACUUAAAUUUUUUGGAUCUUUGUGGUAAUAGUUAUGCUCUGUUUACUGAGCUAAUCCUGCUGUUUGAUGCUUGCUGUUAUAGGCUAUCAUGAUAGGUUUUGGGCUAAGUUAACUUGUUAACUUGUGUGAACUUGUUAUAACUAUUGCUCCGUAAAUGAGUGUCCAGUGGGUCACCUAUGUUAUCAAGCAUUCAUUCUUUUGUAUGCACACCUUCUCAUUCACCGAGCAUGCAAUAGGUGCAUCGGACGUGGCAGCCUCAUUCGAUCUGCAAGUGAACCCCGAAGGCCAGGAGGGCAACUAGGAGGUGGAGGUCCAGCAAGUCGGACUCGAGGAGCCCGAAGAAGAAGUUGAGUGCCCGAGUCACGAGCCAGCCUCGUUCGUGAAAGGCAAGCCCCGGAGCAUUCUAAGUCUCCCUUUAUUUUCAAAAGUUUAUUUAAUAUGUUAUGUCUAUUGAUGCAUUAAGUAUAGGAGUUGUGAUGACACCCUUGUUGCAUUUUACUCCAUCCUUGUCCAGAUAACUCACCACACGUUGGUUAUAAAGUUAGGAUCGAGUAGCAGCUUAGCCAUGCUUUAAGCGGUAGAAGUCGGAUGAUUUCCUGUCACCUGCGCGAUAUAGGGUUGUGUCGGAUCACGAUGGUCUAUAUGUGCUAUCGUGGAUGGAACCUGAUUAAUUUGACUUAAGCCGGGCGGAGUUUUGCAAGGUUGUAGUAACUCCGUCUGUGGCAACUAAGGACCGACCGUUGUACGUCCUCUUGUCAUGUUGAACGCAUGCCUAACACUUAGUUGGCCGGAUAACUCGUUCCGACCGCGAAGCCGAGUAGUAUGACUCAGGCCGGAAGACCGGCAAGUAUAAAGUGCGCACUACCGGAGGAAGUGCGGUGUGCGGGGGACCAUUGGCGUAAGCCCAAAGGUAGGUGAGUUAAAAUUCCUGACCUCCCUGGUAGAGUGGUAGCCCUGGGAGUGCGGCGCUGAUCGGAGCCGCGAUUCCUGAGUCGUACCAAAGGUGACCCGUUGGCUCUCCGACGGGGGAUGCUUGGGUGAGUGCUAGGAAUACACCUCCAGCUGGAUAGGAAUUCGAUUCGAAUCGCCGUCUCUCCCGGUUAGUGAGAACUUGACAGAGCAGCGGCAAACAUAGCAUUCACUAAUGAACUUGGUUCAUGAUAAUGAUGAUAGCAAAGAAGAACAUAUGAUGAAUUUGAUAUGGUUAUUAUUGUUUGUAAUAUUCAAGUGAUGUGUUGUAGUACAGGUGCUAAUCUAGUGGUAGGCUGAUGAUGAAUAAAUAUGAUGCUCUCAAAAUAAUUUAGUUCUAAUGUAUGCUUUUGGCAAACGAUGAGUCAACCAGCUCCACUUGAUAUUAGCCUUGCAUGAUCCUUGGUGUCUUUUAUGUUUUACUAGACGGGUAAGUCUAGCUGAGUACAUUCUCGUACUCAGGGUUUAUUCCCACCUGUUGCAGAUGACAUCUUUUAUGACGGCUUCUGCAAGACCUGUCUCCAUCCCGCUGGGGAUGAGGACUAACCGUUGGGCACGGUUCUCUAACAACCUCGUACCUGUUGCUUUUGGAAGGAUGAUGUAGACUCUGGCAGUAACUCGAACUUAUGAACUGAACUUUGGAAAGUGUGUGUGUAACUAUUUUGCUUCCGCUACUUCGAACAAGUGUUGUAAUAACUUAAUACUCCGAUGUGGUGCCGCUUUGUUGGCAAUGAAUGACUAUGUAACAUUCGCAGUUUUGUGAUGAAUUAUUACGAUCUUGGUUUGUUGCAAGUUGGUUUGAAGUCCUUCGUGAUUUCAAUUGACUACCGGGAUUAUAUGGGCUCAAGUUUGGAAACUUGAUUGCUUGUCGAUCGUUUCUACACUUGAACUCUUAUAAUUUGGUCGGUUCUGUGACAGCUGGCAUCGGAGCAAGUUCAGCAUUAUAAAUGCAGCAUUUGUGUAUUUAAAAACAAAAGAGUUUUUAAAUAAAAUGGUGCAAAUCAAUAUUUAAGUUAUGCUAGUGGUCGAAUCCUCCUUGCCCACAUAAGGACUAUAGGUGGCUAUUUAAGUACUGACUUGGGGGGUUUUAUUUAUGCAACUCCGGCAGUACUCAGGUAUAGAUGUGUGAUGACCGCACUAUGCUACCCUGUGGUCUAAUGGUGGAGGUAGCCUUCAUAUGUGAAUUAGCCACAUAUGUCGCUAGAUUUAAAUUAUGCAACGUCGCACCUACGCUCUGGUAAGUGUGAGCUGUGAGAGCAUGAUCGUCCAAACGGCGGUCUAGGGGAGUGUUCGCGGUGGUUUUCCGGAGUGGUUACAUGUCAAAACCAUGGAACCGCGAAAGAAACUUAAUUGGGGAGCAUUUAAUUUCUCGGGUAGCUAUGGUGUCAUUGUUUGUGCAUGUUGGGCAUGUCCAAGCAAUGUGCACUUAGUUUACUGCUUUCUUGAGUGAUAUAUUGGGAACUGUUGGGCUGAAAUAAAGUUUUCUGCAGGUACUCUAAUAGCGUACGUGUAAAUCGAUAGUUAUCGUAUCGAGAGACGAAUGUAUGCCACCGUAUAUCCGUUAGAAUAUUAAUUUUCUAAGUUUGUGAGGACGUACGGUUUGUGCAUGCAUCAUGUCGCAUUCAUACAUACAUUCUGUCUACUCCUUCCCUUACAAUUUCGUCCCUUUUAAUUAAAUAAAUGUUGCUUAAACUAAUCCUCUUUUACCCAUGGUAUUCCUAUUCCUUUCCACAGAUGGACGCACCCGCUUCACCCCGUCCCAGUGACACUUUCUUGAGCGAGUUUGGCACUCCUACCCUGCUCUGGAGAGUGUUACAGACUGUCGGGUAUACUGAGCCACCUCAGUAUUCUUGGUGGGAGUUGGAGAGCACAGGAGGGAUACAGUGGUUUGCUGUGCAGGGAGUUGUCCCUCCACAUGGGGACAAGCCUGCAUGGACAGGCUGGACUUAUAGCUCAGAUGGGCAGACUCCUUGGGAGGCAGCUCAGGUUGCAGCCUAGACUAUCCUGCUCGAUAUCUGUCAGAGGUGUGGUGAUGAGCUGACGGGAGGACCAGCGGCCUCCAUUCCCCAUGCUGAUCCAGCAGCAGCGGAGUGGAAACAGGCUGAUGGUUGUGCCUUGGUUUGAGGCAGGGGAGAGAGAGCUGAGAGUUCUAGUCCUGCUAUGAGUGCUAUGAUGGCUGUGCUCAAGCUGAUCAGUCAGCGAGAGGACACCUAUGCACAGGUGAUGGUGGCUGUUUGCCAGGCUCAGGAGAUGCAACGAAAGGCUGAAAAGCGUGCUCGCAAGUUUCGCAAGCAAGCUAGACUCCUAGAGCAAGCUCAGAAGGACCGCAAUGACUGGGAAGACAUUGCGGAGUACCGUAGGCAGCAGUGGGUGAAGGCCAUUAGAGAGAGAGAUCAUAAGCAGGAUCAGAUGAGUCAGUUAGCUAGAGAGAGGGAGACCUUACUGGAGCGCUUGGUGCAGAUCACUCGUGAGAGGGACACUGCACUCCGCGUAUCGGAGAACAGGCGCCGAGCAUGGGAGAUGCACCGAGUUCAGUCGCUUGAGCGGGAGAACUAUCUGCAGGAUCAGAUUGAGGCUGGUCUUGUGGAGAUUCACUGUCUCAACAACUUGCUACACCCUAUUCCUCGCCGUAUACCCGUGUAUCCAGAGGUGGGACCUCAGGUGAUUGUGGCCGAUGAUGAUGGUAUGGAGGUCGAUGGACCAGCAGCGGCUGCACCACCUUUGCACGAGGACGUGGAGGAUGAGGAGCUUGAGCCGGUUAGCGACGAGGAUGGAGAGGCGAUCUUCGACGCUGACUCGGACGACGAGCCUGGAGUGUAGGGAGUAGUGGGUAGUGUUAUGUGAGGAUCUUUUGGAGUAUGCCAGUCAGCCGUGGUGCUGUUGUACCCAUGUUGUAAUCUGGAACUUUGACCAUGACUCAUGGCAUGUACUGGGAUGGUGUAAUAACUUUGUGGACCCAAUGUGUAAUCUUGACACGUUCGUUAUGUAUGACGAUGUUUUCUAUUGUGGUGCAUAUUGCGGAUAUCUCUGUCAUGUGUUGGAUUGGUGAUGUUGUUUUGUGGAAUUGAAUUAUUGUGCCUUUUCUGUAAAGCUAUUCUCUCAAAUACUUUCAGGCAUAAAUAUAAGUUCUUCUGCGACAAAUCUUGUCAUCAUCAAUGCUCACUGACUGUGUCUUUACAGAUGUCUCGUGGCACCCGAGGUGCAGAACAGCGUGCAAACAUGAAUCCACCCCCUCCUCCUCCACCACCAAAUCCUGCUGAGUUAAUGCAACUGAUGGUGGAAAAUCAGAGGAUGCUCUCUGAGACCAUCAAUCGGAUGGCGAAUCAAGGUGGUCGUAAUGCACACGAAGGGCCAGCUCCUAACCAGUAUAGUAGCUUCAAGGACUUCAUGGAUACAAAGCCCCCACCUUUCAGAGAAGCUGAAGAACCCCUUCAAGCUGAAGAAUGGCUGAACACGGUGGAACAAAAGUUCUGCUUGCUUCGGUUGACUGAAGGUUUGAAUGCAGAGUAUGCAGCUGAUCAACUGCAAGGACCGGCAGACAUCUGGUGGAAUCAGUAUCGGUAAGCUCUUCCAGCCGACACUGUGCUUGACUGGAAUCUUUUCCGUGAUGCUUUUAAAGGGCAUUUCAUUCCUCCUGGUGCCAUGGAGAUGAAGCAUACUGAGUUCAUGCAGUUAACCCAGGUUAACAAAACUUUGAAGGAGUAUUUGCAUGCUUUCAAUCAUUUGUCUAGGUAUGCUCCUGAGUUUGUGAACACUGAGGCGAAAAAGAUUGCUAGUUUCAAGCGGGGUUUGGGCCCCAAGUUGCUGAAGACUAUGGGCCGCACUAAGUGUGCAACUUUCAAUGAGUUUGUCAGUGAUGCUCUCACUCAAGAGAACUAUAACACUAUGUACACUGCGACCAAGACUCGCAAGAGGGCUUUUGAGGCCGGGGCAGGGUCAUCUCAGUCCAAGGCUCCAGUGGCAACUAAGCCACCGUUCCGUGCUCCAACACCUAACCAGCGGUACCGCCCUCCGGUGAAGAAGAAUCCGGCGAAGAUGGGUUUCCGCAAGGGGUACUCUAUUGCUCUUCCUAGGGGCAACACGGGUCCCAACUAUGCCAAGACUCCACCUGCCAACCGUCCGUGCUGGAACUGCAAUCAGACCGGGCAUUGGCAGAGCAACUGUCCUUACCCGCCAAAGAAGGGCAACCAAGGGAACGUACGUCAGGGGCGUGUUCACUACACAACCGUGGAGCCAAUCCCUGCUGGUGAGGUAGUCACGGCAGGUAAGUUUCUAGUCAAUCAAUGUGACGCACUUGUGCUUUUUGAUUCAGGAGCAUCGCAUUCUUUUGUGAGUUCUGAAUUUGUGUCUAAGCAUAAUAUCAAGGCAAUUACACUUGAUAAGGGCAGUUAUUGUAUUAGUGCUGCGGGAAAUGAUAUUUCCACCAAUCAAGUGGUUUUGGGGGCAACUCUGGAAAUAGGAGGCCGUCAGUUUCUUGUUGAUUUGGUUGUUCUACCCGGUGUGGGCAUAGAUGUAAUUCUGGGGAUGAAGUGGAUGAGUGGCAACGAAGUUCUUAUCGACACCACCACUCGUGUAGUGAUGUUGAAAGACCCAAAUACCAAGGAGGCAUUUCUAGUGCAACUCCCUCAUGAUAUUCAAAUCCGUAGCACUGUGAAUGCAGUUACACCUAAGGCUAUUUAGGACAUUCCGGUGGUGUGUGAGUUCCCGGAUGUAUUUCCUGAUUAUUUACCCGGGCUUCCUCCGGAUCGGGAUGUGGAGUUCAAAAUUGAGUUGAUUCCAGGUACCGCUCCUGUAACACCCUAGGUGUUAAGCAUGCAUUUAGCCCUAUCACAACAUGCAUAAGCAUUCUCAUCAAGCAUAGCAUCAUGAGCAUGUCAUUCAUCCCCAAAGCAUGAUUUUAUGAGCUUUAUUUCAUGUGUUUUAAUUAUGUUAAAAAUAUGAUGCUUGCUUCUAAAAAUGUGAAAUAUUCAAACUAGGUUGAUUUAUGUGUAAGAAGAGUUAAGAAUAUUUUUGUGUAAUUUUUGGAGCUAUAGAAUUUGAGAAAUGGAAUUUAUACAAAAAUUCCCAAAUUGAAUUUAUUUAAAAACCUAGAACUAGUUUUAAUUUGUAAUUCAAAUUCUAUUUGGAAUUUGGUCUUGCUUAUUAAAACAAAGUUGUAGGGUUUUUGUUGUGGAACAAUUUUGCUUUUGGGAGCAAGAGGUGAAAAUGAUUUUAAAUUGGUCCAAAUGAAUUUAGAAGAGAUUUGGAGAAAAGAAAUUCAAAAAAAAAAAUAGAAAAGGGGCAGGCGCUGCCGGGCCAACCCCGCCUCCCUUUCGGCCCAGCGAGCGGCCCGGCCUGCCUCCCCCUCCCCCUCUCUCCCGCGCACGGACGCCCGCCUCGCCCCAGCCAGCGUCGGCCACGUGGCGGCCGUACGCCGGCGAGGAGCGCGCCGCGGCCGGACUCCAACCCCCCCUGGUCGGGACGCCGGCUCGGGCUCCCAGGCCAUUCCCUCCCUUCUGUCGCCCGCGCCCUUCUCCUUCCUCCCUCCGCUCGCGAGCGCGACCGAGCCGUAGAGCUCCGCCGCAGCGCCAUCGCCGGAGCAGCUCCGCUGCUCACCGCCGGCCACUCCAGUGACCAAACCUCGACACCGAAGCCACCAGCGCCUUCGCCAUCGUUAGGGUAAGCUUGUGCGAGCUUUCUACCGAGGUGAGAGUCCGUCGAGCGCCGUGAAUCGCUCGCCGGAGUUACCCCGAGCUCGCCGGAGUACUCCGCCGCGGCGGAUCUUGCGUUUCUCUACCUCUUUUCGCUGGUUUUUGGUUGCGCUAGGUCGGUAGGGUGGUGAGGAAGCUCGGAGAGCCGUUUGCGCGCGCUGUACCGCACUGGAGCGGCCUGGCCACGGCGAGCAGCGCCGCCGUGCAGCCAUGCAUGCUCGUCGGAGGUGUUCCGGUCAUCCUCCGGCCAAUCCGAGGGUACCGCUGGGUGCGCCUCGCUGCGGGGAGCACGAUGGUGCUCACCACGUGGCCGGAGACCUCACCGCCGGCGAGAUCUGCUCGUCGGAGGUGAGCUCCCUCUCGGUCUCGCUGACCGGUGGGGUUAGAGGCCCACUGUCAGUCGCAGGGGGACCCCGGUGGGUGUAGAUCUGGGUGUGUCUAGCCUUUUUCGUCGGUUUUCUUGAAUAAAUGUUUUCCAGAAAUUGAUUCAAAGCUUGUAAAAUUCAUAUCUUGAGUUCUACAGCUCCAAAUUUGAUGAAAUAAAUUUUGUUGUGCUCUAUAUUUUCAGAUCUACAGCCUGAUGUAAUUGCAUGUCAUGUUUGAGUAACUUUUCUGUAUGAAUAUAUUUAAUCCAUGUUUUUGCUAAACUUGGAAAAUGCACAAUAAUUCAAAUAUGACUCAAAAAAAUAUGAAACUUGUUUUAUGGGCUUUGCAUGUAUGUUAACUCACUGGGAAAAUAUUGCUACACAUUAUUUGGUGUAUAAAUGAAUUUAUGGUAAUUUAAAUGCUUACAUGACAGUGGUUUAUGAUUUUUAGUAAUUAUUUGGAUCAUGCAAUUAAUCUGGAAAUUUUUGUGGUUGUUUCUUAUAUUAUUAGACAAAUUGUAAAAAUAUGAAAUCUGCUGUUUGACACUUAUGUCACAGUGGAGUAAUUAUACUUACCUUAUUAAUUAAUCUUGUGAUUUUUGUAGCUCAAAAUAAGUAUCCAAAAAUUAUGAAAAAUUUACAGUAGACUCUAUGCUUGGCUGGUAGUCUCCUGUAAUUUUUGAGGAAUUUAUUAAUGAACAGAACUACAUGUAAAUUGUAAUGGGCCUAGAAAUGAAUAAAGAAAAUUAUGAAUUGUUGUAUAUAUAGGUUGAAUAGAAUAAGUUUGGGUUUGGUGUAUCUUUGAAGCAACUUGUGGGUUACUGGUCACAUUUGAAAAAUAAUUGUAGAAGAGAAUGCAAUAGAUGUUUGAUUCAAUUGUUUGUCCUUGGAUGAUGUUGACUACCUUGUAAUGAGCAUGACCAAGUGUAUCACCUAUGCAUCAUGUCAUGAUCCUUUGGUACCUUCUCAUACGAGCAUCCACUUGGGCAUCUCGCACCUCACUCAUGAGCACACAUGCAUCAUACAGGCUCGCAGAAGAACGAGGUGGGACCCGAGGAGCCAGAGGAGAUUCAGGAGCAGGAACCUCCGGAAGCACAGGAGUCCGGAGAGGAACUUCAGGAGUGUCCGGAUCACCGACCAAGCACGUUUGAGAAAGGAAAGCCCCAAAGCAUUCUAAGUCUCCCUAUUCUCGCUAACCUACAGGGCAUACUAUACUGGUUCUACUAUAUUGCAUCUAAGUGAUAGGAAUUGCUUGAUACCGUUGAUGCAUAUGUACUCCUUGUUAUCCCUACUCGUUUACCUGCCUUGUCCCAUGUAGAUAGGCACGGAGUCUAUGCUUAGCUUGCUUAGUCCAGUAGAAGUCGGGUGAUUCCCUGUCACCUGCGAGAUAUAGGUGGAUACCUGCUUGAUUAAGCAGUGGUUGCUUGGGGAAAGAAUAACCAAGUGUGGAAUGUAAUUGGAGACCGGGCAGGGUCUUAUGGUGGGUUGACCAUAGUGCCCCUGCCUGUGUCGAUUAAGGACCGAUCGUUGACAGCCCUCUUGUCAUGUUGAUUGCAUGCCCCACACUUAGCUGGAAGGAUAAGUCGUUCCGACCGCGAAGCCUGAACACUAUCCGGGCCGGGAAUCGAGCCGCCAUGCGCUGUAUUGGUGAUGGUUGAGGAGAACGACGAGGGCGCGGCGCGCAACCUUGGUAUACCUUGGAUACCUCGGUCACCGGAACGGUCCUCGGGUACUGGCGGUGCCUGCCGAACCCGCGAAUUGGUCCUGGAUAGUGUAAUACAGUGAUCUAUAGCUCACUUGAUCAGUGAGUGUGGUUUGUGUGGGGAAUAAACUCGCCAGCUGGUUAGAAAUCGAUUCGAAACGCCAUCGCUCCUGGAUAGUGAGCACUUGACAUGAGCUUCGUCCUCGUAGUAAGGACUAUGGAACACUGGGGUUAUAAUGAAAGGGUUUAUGAAUGCUAUGAUGAAGUACUAUCCUAUCCCUAUACUUGCUUGUAAUAGUGCAGGUGCAAACCUAGAUAAUAGGUAAUGAUACUUUCAACUUGAGCAAAUUAAAAGAAGAAAGAUUUAUGUAGGUUAUGAUAGUAAAAUCCUACGGUUUUGCAAAAUGGUUGUCAGCUACCCCACUAUAUAGCCUUCAUGAUCCUUGAUGAGUCUUUAUUUUAAGUUUAUGACGGGUAAGUCUAGCUGAGUACCCUCUUGUACUCAGGGUUCUACUCCCAUGUUGUUUUGCAGAUGGUCAAAUGUACUAUGGUUAUUGCAUCCUCUGUCUGUACCCAGCCAUGGGUGAUGACUAGACCAAGGGCGAUGGUGACUCCGUCUCUCCUUUUGCUUUUGUGGGAAUGACCGAACUAUGGCACUGUAUCAGACUAAGCGUGUGUGUUGUAUUUUCGAACUAUUAAGCUUCCGCUACUUGAAGAACUUGGUUUGUAAUAAUUUUAAGAACUCUGAUGUAUUUUAUGAAUGUUGUAAUCUGGAUGUAUUUGUGAAUGGCGACCGCUAAACUUAUUACGAUCUUGGCUGUUGUGCGAUGUGUGGUUUGAAAUCCUUCGAGAUUUCACGGACUAUCGGGAUUAUAUGGGCUUAAGCGUGAUGGUUUGACUAUGCAAAUGGUCACUGUUAGGCUUAAUCUCUUAUAAUUUGGUCGGUUCUGUUACAGCUGGCAUCGGAGCAAGGUUUAGCGAGUUACUGUUCAUAAGUACGUUCUAAACAAAAAUAUAAACUGGUUUAAUAAAAGAUUUUAUUAAUUAAUCAAUAGUGAUCAAGGGGUUAAACCAAGUUUUGGGAAAACUAUCUAGUGUGCCAUGGUCAUAUCCUUUAUGCCCAAUUAAGGACUCUAAGGUGGCUAGUUAAGUACUGACUUGGGGGUUAAUGCAUCAUAUUUUUAUUUCGUCGCUCAUACGGCGUGCAAUAGUAUGAGUACCAUUCAUUUGAGUGGUAAUGUAUGGACCCCUUUUUCCUCUACGCCACGGUAAGUGGGAGCUGUGAGAGCAUGAUCGGAUACACUGCCGGUCUAGGGGAGUGUUGUUAGGUACUAUGUCAUGCACACAUGUUUGCUGUGUCUUGGAAACAGUACCGCAUGUUGGGGAUUCCGUCCUGAGAGGCGAUGCCGUCAUUAGGGCGAUGAUGUGGGUAGUGACACGUCAUAUGCAUGGACGGGUGUCUGUGUAUGUGGAGUGUAUAGUUUUAAAUUCUUGUUCUGCACGAUCAUACUAUGGGUGGGCUGAAAUCAGUUUCCUGCAGGUACACUAACCACGUUCUCGCUUAGAACGCUAGUUACGUUAUGAGAGAACGUUGUGUGCCACCGCAUAUACCGCUUAGUGUUAACUUUUGUUUCUGAGUUUGUGAGAUCGUAAGUUCGUGCAUGCAUCAUGUUCAUUUCGUAUCAUUGCUUACUUUCCCCCUUAAUUUAAUCAGUCCCAAUUCUAAAUAAAAUAAUUAAAGGUAAUCCUCGCUCUUACCCACGAUAUUCCAUUUGCAGCAGAUGGCACGCACUAGGCUCACCGCUCGCAAGUCCACUGGUGGGCGGGCCCCUCGCCAUCCGUUGGCAGCCAGGAGCUCGCGACAUAAGAGCAAGUUCCUGGAGGAGUUUGGGAUGCCCACUUUGCUUUGGAGGGUGCUCAGUUCGAUGGUACUAUUGGGAUAAGGAGCCGCUUGGUGACGAGACCCUGGUGGGGAUCGAGGCAGUUGUCCCUACCAGUGGAGGAGACCCUGCUUGGGGCGGCAGGGUGUACGAGUCCCGAGGUGUCACGCCUUUCCACGGUGCCAGUAGGGCAGCUUUCGCAGUUCUGAGGAACCUCAUGGAGAGGUUUCCACAGGAGCUGGCCCACGCCUUCGCUGGGGUGUUUCCCCGGGGUGACCCCUACACUUCGGUGUGGGAUCAGUCUGAGGUGAACGCUCUAGAGAGGAGUGCGGAUGAGGACCAGCACAGUGACGGUGCAGCUAUGAGUGCCAUGUACGCAUUGAUGAAGACCUAUGGAGGCCUGGAGCGUUGUUUGGGUCGCUUGUCCGGGUCUCUUCUCACCGUCCAGGACGAGAAGCGUCAGUUGCAGCGUGAGUUUGACUCUGAGGUUGAGAGGCUACAGGCAGAGUUGGCCCGUGUGACCAGAGAGAGAGACCAGGCAGUCCAGAAGAAUAGUGAGCUGAGUCAGGACCUGCUUGCAGUGCGAGAGCAGAGGGAUAGGGUGACUACUGCUCACAGGAACUGCGAGCGCAUGCUAGUCCAUGUGCUUGGACAGAGGAAUGAAGCCUGGCACGAGGAGGACACUUUGAGGGCCCGACAGCUAGAGCUAGAGCAGCAGCUAGCUAAUGCGGAGGAGUACAAUGAGAACUUGCAUGAGGAGAUCGACCAGCUGCAUAACCAGCUCCACCCUCACCACCUGCCUGGAGCAGCUGAGCUAGACUCUGAGGACGAGAUGGAAGCGGAUCCCGAGAUAGGAGCAGCUGCUAGUGGUGAUGAGGACGAGGAGGGCUCCGGCAUGGACAGUGAUCAUAGCGACUAGAUGCUAGGGCUUUAGAGCUAGUCCUUCUUCUUUUGUGUUGUAUGUUGCAUGGCAUGUCGUGUACUUUUGGAUCUGGGCUAUGUAAAACUUUAUGAGUUAAUGCUGAAAGUCCAGUGUAUGUAUGCUGGCAAGUUGGAUGUACGCGAACCUUGUUGCGUGAACGUUAAGCAAUCUGUUAGUGAUGUUGUGCGUAGAUGAUGAAUUGUUGUGCCUCUGUUUAUUGUGCGAAUUUAUUCCCUCAGUAAAUUCAGUACGGCAUGAUUCUACACAUUUCUACCGUUGAUGGCAACUCCUAACGAUUGCUUACCAUUGACGUAUGCAGAUGGUGCACACACGUGGCGGGGGUAACAGCAACCCGGGCCUUGGAGCAGGUACAUUCGGAGGUGGGGCUCAACAAAAUGAGGACAGAGCACCAACACCGCCACCACCACCGCCUCCCCCGUACACUGCAGACGUGUUUUUUGCACAGUUUCUGGGGAGCCAACGCAACAUGGAACAGAUGCAAUGCAACAUGGAAGAGGCUCUGCGCAACAUGGAAGGCAACACCCGUCGUGGGGAUAACCAGGGCGGCCGAGAAGUCAACCAGUACAGUUCGUUCAAGGACUUCAUGGAUACCAAGCCACCAAUCUUCAAGGAGGCUUUGGAACCGCUCGAGACAGAUGAGUGGAUCAACACUAUGGAGCAGAAGUUUUGUCUUCUCCGAAUGACAGAAGAACUUAAGGCUGAGUAUGCGGCACAUCAGUUGCAAGGACCCGCUGGGAUUUGGUGGUCCCAUCACCGUACCACCUACCCAGAGGGGACCCCAAUUACCUGGAACCGCUUCACCACCGCUUUUCAGGGAAAUUAUAUUCCUCCGGGGUUAGUUGAAAUGAAGAUCGGGGAGUUCAUGAGGUUGUCCCAGGGGACGAAAUCUGUGAAGGAGUAUCUACACGCUUUCAAUAAUCUCGCUCGUUACGCCCCCGAGUUUGUGAACAUGGAGGCCAAGAAGAUUCCUAAUUUCCAGAGAGGCUUGAAUCCAAAGAUGCUGAAGACCAUGGGUACAGGAGCCAGGGCUACCUUCAAUGCCUAUAUCAGUGACUGUCUCACCCAGGAGAACCACAACAACAACUACAGUGCAUCCAAGUCACGUAAUAGGGCUUUUGAAGCCGGAUCAUCCUAGUCCAGGGCACCCGUGACAGGGCGACAGCAGUAUCGUCCCCUUGCCCCAGGUGCUAGGUUCCGACCGCCGCAGAGAAGGAACACCGGGCAUCCAACGCAGCAGAAGCCGUACAAGGUGGCGAUAGCCCCUGCCAAGCCAAAGGCAAUUCAAGCUGCAGCACCUGCCGUCAACAACGCGCCCAAGGGUCCGUGCUAUAACUGCCACAAGAUGGGGCACUUUGCUAAGGAAUGUCCCUACCCCAAGAGGCAGCAGCCAACCUACCCAGCUCGUGUGCACCAUACCUCGAUUGAGGAAAUCCCGGAAGGAGAACCAGUAACAGCUGGUAUGUUUCCUGUCAACCAACAUCUUGCAGUUGUUUUGUUUGAUUCUGGAUCAUCGCAUUCAUUCAUGAGUCAAGCAUUUGCACAAAAGCAUAGUCAACCAGUUACAGAUCUGGGUUAUGGCUACCGCAUCAGCUUAGCGGGGGCAGAUGUGUUGACCAAUUGAGUGGUUCGAGGGGCAACCCUGGAUACAAGUGGCCGAGUAUUCCGAGUGAAUCUAGUGGUCAUGCCUGGGUUAGUUUUGGAUGUUAUUAUGGGUAUGAACUGGAUGAGAGAAUGGGAUGCCGUCAUAGAUACUGGGAAGAGGAUGUUAUCUCUCAGAGAACCGCAGGGCAGUAGCUCUUUUCAAGUACCUCUGCCCCGUCGUCUUGACUUUGCUAGCAUCUCUUGUGCUACGCACGUGGUUCCAUUACCACAGAUCCCAGUAGUCUGUGAGUUCCCUAAUGUUUUUCCUGAGGAAUUACCAGGACUUCCCCCGGAUAGGGAAGUAGAGUUUGCAAUCGAGUUGAUACCAGGUACAACACUAAUAUCGAGAAGGCCGUACCGGAUGCCACCAAACGAACUCGCUGAGUUGAAGAAUCAACUAAAGUAGUUACUGGAUAAAGGGUUCAUCCGACCAAGCUCGUCGGAAUGGGGUUGUCCAGCGUUGUUUGUGAAAAAGAAGGAUCAGUCAUUGCGCAUGUGCGUGGACUAUCGUCCACUCAAUGCAGUGACAAUCAAUAAUAAGUAUCCUUUGCCAAGGAUUGAUAUCCUGUUUGAUCAGUUGUCCAAGGCAAGAGUGUUUUCUAAGAUAGAUUUGAGGUCUGGGUAUCACCAAAUCAAGAUUCGUAAGCAAGAUAUCCCGAAGACUGCUUUUUCCACCAGAUAUGGGUUGUAUGAGUAUCUUGUCAUGUCCUUUGGAUUGACGAAUGCUCCUGCAUACUUUAUGUACCUGAUGAAUUCAGUCUUUAUGCCAGAAUUGGAUAAGUUUGUUGUGGUGUUUAUCGAUGAUAUUCUGGUUUAUUCAGAAAAUGAGCAAGAUCACGCCGAGCAUGUGAGAAUCGUGAUGACACGGUUACGAGAGCAUCAGUUAUAUGCCAAGUUCAGCAAGUGUGAGUUUUGGCUGAAGAAAGUUCCUUUCCUAGGGCAUAUUCUGUCUGAAGAAGGGAUUGCUGUGGAUCCGUCAAAAGUGCAGGAAGUCAUGGACUGGAAGGCACCAACUUCUGUCUCGGAAGUUAGAAGUUUUCUUGGUCUGGCCGGGUAUUAUCGUCGUUUCAUACCUGACUUCUCCGAGAUUGCUAAGCCCAUGACAAGUUUGCUACAAAAGGAUCACAAGUUUGUCUGGACGGAAGGGUGUGAGUUAGCCUUCCGCACCUUGCGAAAGUUGCUAACCACUGCUCCCGUUCUGGCACAACCCAAUAUAGAGAAGCCUUUUGAUGUGUUUUGUGACGCAUCGAAGAGUGGCCUGGGGUGUGUGUUGAUGCAAGAUGGCAGGGUAAUAGCUUAUGCUUCCCGACAGUUGAGAAAGCACGAAGUCAACUACCCAACGCACGACCUCGAGUUAGCAGCAGUAGUGCACGCUUUGAAGAUUUGGAGACAUUAUCUGCUGGGAAAUAAGUGUCACAUUUAUACCGAUCAUAAGAGUUUGAAGUACAUCUUCACUCAGUCCGAGCUAAAUAUGAGGCAACGACGGUGGUUAGAGUUAAUCAAGGACUAUGAUCUGGAAGUUCACUACCAUCCUAGCAAGGCUAAUGUGGUAGCAGAUGCGUUGAGUCGUAAACUGCACUAUCAAGUGGUUCAACCGUUGUUUGAAGAUGGGUUCAAUCUUAUGCAUCCUGAGGUCUUAUGUCACCUACAACUCAGUUGUUCACUCGAGAGUCAAGUCAUUGAAGGACCGAAAACAGACAAGGGUAUUUUCCACAUCAAAGAAAAGAUCAAAGAUGACCCAAAAACUCAGUUUCGAGUUGAUGAGAAAGGGGUACUGUGGUUUCAACAUCGGUUAGUAGUUCCAAAAGAUCAUGAAUUGAAGAAUCGCAUCAUGGAUGAAGCCCAUCUCUCUAAACUUUCUAUUCAUCCUGGCAGUAGCAAAAUGUAUCAAGAUCUAAGACCCCACUUUUGGUGGACCAAGAUGAAGAAAGAAAUAGCCGCAUAUGUGGCCCGUUGUGACACGUGUUGCAGAGUUAAGGCCAUCCAUAUGAAACCUGCAGGUCUGUUGCAACCGUUAUCAGUUCCAGAGUGGAAAUGGGAAGAGGUCAGUAUGGACUUUAUCACAGGUUUACCAACCACGAGGAAGGGGAAUGACUCGAUUUGGGUAAUCAUCGAUCGAUUAACCAAGACGGCUCAUUUCAUUCCAGUUAAGAACACAUACAGACCUCCCGAGUAUGCCGAUAUAUAUAUGGCUGAGAUUGUCAAGUUGCAUGGUAUUCCCAAAAACAUAAUAUCAGAUAGAGGACCACAGUUCACCGCUCACUUCUGGGAGCGAAUGCAUAAGAAUUUGGGGACUAGUCUGAUAAGGAGCACGGCGUAUCAUCCUCAGACCUCAGGUCAAACGGAGAGGUUAAAUCAAGUGUUAGAAGAUAUGCUGAGGGCCUGUGUGCUAUCAUCCAAGGGAUCAUGGGAAUCAUGGUUACCUCUGGCUGAGUUCUCCUACAAUAACAGUUAUCAAGAGAGCAUCAAGAUGGCCCCGUUCGAAGCUCUGUAUGGUCGGAGGUGUAGAACUCCGUUAAACUGGGUUGAACCUGGGGAAAGGAGAUACUAUGGUAUCGACUUCGUGAAUGAGGCCGAGAAGAAGGUGCAAGUCAUACAGCAGCAUAUGCAACCAGCGCAAUCACGACAAAAGAGUUAUGCUGAUAAGAGAAGAAGGCCACUUGAAUUCAAAGUAGGUGACUAUGUGUACCUCAAGGUUACGCCAAUGAAGAAAGUUCAGCGUUUCCGAGUUCGAAGCAAGCUUGCACCCAGAUAUGUGGGACCGUACCAAAUACUGGAAAGGAAAGGCCCCGUGGCCUACAAGAUUCAGUUACCUGAAGAGUUGAGCUCGAUCUUUCCGGUCUUCCAUGUGUCGCAACUGCGGAAAUGUUUGAAAGUACCUGAGCAAAGAAUUGAACCUCGAGGGAUCAAAAUAAAAGCAGACUUAGAGUAUAAGGAGCAACCAGUGGGAAUUGUGGAUACCAAGGAAGGGGUAACCCGAAACAGAAUUGUCAGAACAUAUAAGGUGGUGUGGAGUCAUCAUGACGAUAGGGAUGCCACCUGGGAAACAGAGGAUUACAUAAAAGCAGUUUAUCCAAAAUUUCAUAAGAAAUGGUUAGUAACCCAAAAUCUCGGGACGAGAUUUCCCUAAGGGGGGAAGGGCUGUAACACCCUAGGUGUUAAGCAUGCAUUUAGCCCUAUCACAACAUGCAUAAGCAUUCUCAUCAAGCAUAGCAUCAUGAGCAUGUCAUUCGUCCCCAAAACAUGAUUUUAUGAGCUUUAUUUCAUGUGUUUUAAUUAUGUUAAAAAUAUGAUGCUUGCUUCUAAAAAUGUGAAAUAUUCAAACUAGGUUGAUUUAUGUGUAAGAAGAGUUAAGAAUAUUUUUGUGUAAUUUUUGGAGCUAUAGAAUUUGAGAAAUGGAAUUUAUACAAAAAUUCCCAAAUUGAAUUUAUUUAAAAACCUAGAACUAGUUUUAAUUUGUAAUUCAAAUUCUAUUUGGAAUUUGGUCUUGCUUAUUAAAACAAAGUUGUAGGGUUUUUGUUGUGGAACCAUUUUACUUUUGGGAGCAAGAGGUGAAAAUGAUUUUAAAUUGGUCCAAAUGAAUUUAGAAGAGAUUUGGAGAAAAGAAAUUCAAAAAAAAAAUAGAAGAGGGGCAGGCGCUGCCGGGCCAACCCCGCCUCCCUUUCGGCCUAGCGAGCGGCCCGGCCUGCCUCCCCCUCCCCCUCUCUCCCGCGCGCGGACGCCCGCCUCGCCCCAGCCAGCGUCGGCCACGUGGCAGCCGUACGCCGGCGAGGAGCGCGCCGCGGCCGGACUCCAACCCCCCCCUGGUCGGGACGCCGGCUCGGGCUCCCAGGCCAUUCCCUCCCUUCUGUCGCCCGCGCCCUUCUCCUUCCUCCCUCCGCUCGCGAGUGCGACCGAGCCGUAGAGCUCCGCCGCAGCGCCAUCGCCGGAGCAGCUCCGCUGCUCACCGCCGGCCACUCCAGUGACCAAACCUCGACACCGAAGCCACCAGCGCCUUCGCCAUCAUUAGGGUAAGCUUGUGCGAGCAUUCUACCGAGGUGAGAGUCCGUCGAGCGCCAUGAAUCGCUCGCCGGAGUUACCCCGAGCUCGCCGGAGUACUCCGCCGCGGCGGAUCUUGCGUUUCUCUGUCUCUUUUUGCUGGUUUUUGGUUGCGCUAGGUCGGUAGGGUGGUGACGAAGCUCGGAGAGCCGUUUGCGCGCGCUCUACCGCACCGGAGCGGCCUGGCCACGGCGAGCAGCGCCACCGUGCCGCCAUGCAUGCUCGUCAGAGGUGUUCCGGUCAUCCACCGGCCAAUCCGAGGGUACCGCUGGGUGCGCCUCGCUGCGGGGAGCACGAUGGUGCUCACCCCGUGGCCGGAGACCUCACCGCCGGCGAGAUCUGCUCGUCGGAGGUGAGCUCCCUCUCGGUCUCGCUGACCGGUGGGGUCAGAGGCCCACUGUCAGUCGCAGGGGGACCCCGGUGGGUGUAGAUCUAGGUGUGUCUAGCCUUUUUCGUCGGUUUUCUUGAAUAAAUGUUUUCCAGAAAUUGAUUCAAAGCUUGUAAAAUUCAUAUCUUGAGUUCUACAGCUCCAAAUUUGAUGAAAUAAAUUUUGUUGUGCUCUAUAAUUUCAGAUCUACAGCCUGAUGUAAUUGCAUGUCAUGUUUGAGUAACUUUUCUGUAUGAAUAUAUUUAAUCCAUGUUUUUGCUAAACUUGGAAAAUGCACAAUAAUUCAAAUAUGACUCAGAAAAAUAUGAAACUUGUUUUAUGGGCUUUGCAUGUAUGUUAGCUCACUGGGAAAAUAUUGCUACACAUUAUUUGGUGUAUAAAUGAAUUUAUGGUAAUUUAAAUGCUUGCAUGACAGUGGUUUAUGAUUUUUAGUCAUUAUUUGGAUCAUGCAAUUAAUCUGGAAAUUUUUGUGGUUGUUUCUUAUAAUAUUAGACAAAUUGUAAAAAUAUGAAAUCUGCUGUUUGACUCUUAUGUCACAGUGGAGUAAUUAUACUUACCUUAUUAAUUAAUCUUGUGAUUUUUGUAGCUCAAAAUAAGUAUCCAAAAAUUAUGAAAAAUUUACAGUAGACUCUAUGCUUGGCUGGUAGUCUCCUGUAAUUUUUGAGGAAUUUAUUAAUUAACAGAACUGCAUGUAAAUUGUAAUAGGCCUAGAAAUGAAUAAAGAAAAUUAUGAAUUGUUGUAUAUAUAGGUUGAAUAGAAUAAGUUUGGGUUUGGUGUAUCUUUGAAGCAACUUGUGGGUUACUGGUCACAUUUGAAAAAUAAUUGUAGAAGAGAAUGCAAUAGAUGUUUGAUUCAAUUGUUUGUCCUUGGAUGAUGUUGACUACCUUGUAAUGAGCAUGACCAAGUGUAUCACCUAUGCAUCAUGUCAUGAUCCUUUGGUACCUUCUCAUACGAGCAUCCACUCGGGCAUCUCGCACCUCACUCAUGAGCACACAUGCAUCAUACAGGCUCGCAGGAGAACGAGGUGGGACCCGAGGAGCCAGAGGAGAUUCAGGAGCAGGAACCUCCGAAAGCACAGGAGUCCGGAGAGGAACUUCAGGAGUGUCCGGAUCACCGACCAAGCACGUUUGAGAAAGGAAAGCCCCAAAGCAUUCUAAGUCUCCCUAUUCUCGCUAACCUACAGGGCAUACUAUACUGGUUCUACUAUAUUGCAUCUAAGUGAUAGGAAUUGCUUGAUACCGUUGAUGCAUAUGUACUCCUUGUUAUCCCUACUCGUUUACCUGCCUUGUCCCAUGUAGAUAGGCACGGAGUCUAUGCUUAGCUUGCUUAGUCCAGUAGAAGUCGGGUGAUUCCCUAUCACCUGCGAGAUAUAGGUGGAUACCUGCUUGAUUAAGCAGUGGUUGCUUGGGGAAAGAAUAACCAAGUGUGGAAUGUAAUUGGAGACCGGGCAGGGUCUUAUGGUGGGUUGACCAUAGUGCCCCUGCCUGUGUCGAUUAAGGACCGAUCGUUGACAGCCCUCUUGUCAUGUUGAUUGCAUGCCCCACACUUAGCUGGAAGGAUAAGUCGUUCCGACCGCGAAGCCUGAACACUUUCCGGGCCGGGAAUAGAGCCGCCAUGCGCUGUAUUGGUGAUGGUUGAGGAGAACGACGAGGGCGCGGCGCGCAACCUUGGUAUACCUUGGAUACCUCGGUCGCCGGAACGGUCCUCGGGUACUGGCGGUGCCUGUUGAACCCGUGAAUUGGUCCUCGAUAGUGUAAUUUGGUGUUCUGUAGCUCACUUGAUCAGUGAGUGUGGUUUGUGUGGGGAAUAAACUCGCCAGCUGGUUAGAAAUCGACUCGAAUCGCCAUCGCUCCUGGAUAGUGAGAACUUGACAUGAGCUUCGUCCUCGUAGUAAGGACUAUGGAACACUGGGGUUAUAAUGAAAGGGUUUAUGAAUGCUAUGAUGAAGUACUAUCCUAUCCCUAUACUUGCUUGUAAUAGUGCAGGUGCAAACCUAGAUAAUAGGUAAUGAUACUUUCAACUUGAGCAAAUUAAAAGAAGAAAGAUUUAUGUAUGUUAUGAUAGUAAAAUCCUGCGGUUUUGCAAAAUGGUUGUCAGCUACCCCACUAUAUAGCCUUCAUGAUCCUUGAUGAGUCUUUAUUUUAAGUUUAUGACGGGUAAGUCUAGCUGAGUAGCCUCUUGUACUCUUGGUUCUACUCCCAUGUUGUUUUGCAGAUGGUCAAAUGUACUAUGGUUAUUGCAUCCUCUGUCUGUACCUAGCCAUGGGUGAUGACUAGACCAAGGGCGAUGGCCACUCCGUCUCUCCUUUUGCUUUUGUGGGAAUGACCGAACUAUGGCACUGUAUCAGACUAAGCGUGUGUGUUGUAUUUUCGAACUAUUAAGCUUCCGCUACUUGAAGAACUUGGUUUGUAAUAAUUUUAAGAACUCCGAUGUAUUUUAUGAAUGUUGUAAUCUGGAUGUAUUUGUGAAUGGCGACCGCUAAACUUAUUACGAUCUUGGCUGUUGUGCGAUGUGUGGUUUGAAAUCCUUCGAGAUUUCACGGACUACCGGGAUUAUAUGGGCUUAAGCGUGAUGGUUUGACUAUGCAAAUGGUCACUGUUAGGCUUAAUCUCUUAUAAUUUGGUCGGUUCUGUUACAGCUCCUAUCUCUAGAAGACCUUAUAGAAUGCCACCCAAUGAAUUAGCUGAGCUUAAGACCCAACUAAAUGAGUUGUUGAAGAAGGGUCUUAUCCGUCCUAGUUCUUCUCCAUGGGGUUGUCCGGCUAUCUUUGUGAAGAAGAAGGAUCAAUCUUUGCGCAUGUGUGUGGACUAUCGUCCCUUAAAUGCGGUAACCAUCAAGAACAAAUACCCUCUUCCUUGCAUUGAUAUCUUGUUUGAUCAGUUGUCUAAAGCUAAGGUAUUCUCUAAGAUUGAUUUGCGAUCUGGGUACCAUCAGAUCAAGAUCCGUCCUGAAGAUGUACCUAAGACAGCUUUCUCGACGAGGUAUGGGUUGUAUGAGUAUCUCGUCAUGUCCUUUGGUCUUACAAAUGCACCUGCUCACUUCAUGUAUCUCAUGAAUUCGGUGUUCAUGCCCGAAUUGGACAAGUUUGUGGUGGUCUUCAUUGAUGAUAUCUUGGUAUAUUCCUGCAAUGAAGAGGAGCAUGCAGAGCAUCUGCGUAUAGUGUUGUCGCAUUUGCGCGAACAUCAGCUUUAUGCCAAGUUUAGCAAAUGCGAGUUUUGGCUGAAGAAAGUACCUUUCUUGGGCCAUGUCUUAUCUGAAGAAGGCAUAUCAGUAGACCCAGCCAAGGUGCAAGAAGUGCUGGAUUGGAAAGUUCCAACUUCGAUGCACGAGGUUCGGAGUUUUCUUGGUCUGGCUGGAUAUUAUCGUCGAUUCAUUCCGGAAUUUUCAAAAAUAUCCAAGCCUAUGACCCGUCUGCUUCAGAAAGAUGAGAAGUUUGUGUGGACGCCUGAGUGUGAAGAGGCAUUCCACAAGUUGAGGACAUUGCUGACAUCAGCUCCUGUUCUAGCUCAACCUGAUAUCGAAAAGCCCUUCGAUGUCUUUUGUGACGCGUCAGGCAUCGGUCUAGGCUGCGUGUUGAUGCAGGAAGGUCGCGUUAUCGCGUAUGCCUCGCGCCAACUUCGAAAGCAUGAGGUCAAUUACCCUACUCAUGACUUAGAAUUGGCAGCAGUUGUUCAUGCUUUGAAAAUCUGGAGGCAUUAUUUGUUGGGUAAUCUGUGUAAUAUCUACACCGAUCAUAAGAGCCUCAAGUAUAUCUUCACUCAACCUGAACUGAACAUGCGGCAGCGAAGGUGGCUUGAGUUGAUUAAAGAUUAUAAUCUACAAGUGCACUAUCAUCCGGGCAAGGCGAACGUGGUGGCGGAUGCCUUGAGUCGGAAAGCGCACUGUCACUCAAUCCAAAUGAAAGAUCCGUUGUUGUCACAUCUUAUGCAUCCACUUGUGCUCAACCAGAUUUCUCUGGAGAGUACUCUUCGCAAUUGAGUCAUCGAAUUGCAGCAAACAGAUGUAGGCAUCCACCAUAUAAAGAGGAAAAUGAAGGAAGAAGAAACCAAGCAUUUCCGGGUCGAUGAGAACGGAAUUCUUUGGUUCAAAGAUCGGGUAGUGGUUCCAAAAGACCGUGAACUAUGAAAUCAGAUCUUGUCUCAAGCUCAUUCAUCCAAAUUGUCUAUUCAUCCUGGUAGUAGCAAGAUGUAUCAGGAUCUGAAACCUUUGUUUUGGUGGACAAAGAUGAAAAAGGAGAUCGCUGCUUUUGUCGCUCGUUGUGACAAUCGUUGUCGUGUGAUGGCUGUUCAUAUGAAAGCUGGUUUGCUUCAACCCUUGUCAAUUCCUGGUUGGAAAUGGAAAGAAGUCAGCAUGGAUUUCAUCAUUGGACUCCCAACUUAUGUUAAGGGUUACGACUCCAUCUGGGUGAUUGUAGAUCGUUUGACCAAGGUGGCUCAAUUUAUUCCAGUUCGAACCGACUAUCGUCCACAUCAAUAUGCAGAAUUGUACUUCGAGCACAUUGUUCAUCAGUAUGGUGUGCCUCGAACUAUUGUAUCAGAUCAUGGACCACAGUUCACUGCUCGUUUUUGGGAAUGUCUGCAUGAGUAGAUUGGUACUCAUUUAGUCCGUAGCUCUGCUUAUCAUCCCCAAACGGCUGGUCAAACUGAACGGGUUAACCAAAUCCUAGAAGACAUGUUGAGGGCAUGUCCUCUCUCUUCAAAGGGUUCUUGGGUUAAGUGGUUGCCAUUAGCUGAGUUCUCCUACAACAAUAGUUAUCAGGAGAGUAUCAAGAUGGCUCCAUUUGAAGCCCUGUACGGUCGAAAGUGUCGAACCCCAUUGAAUUGGGUAGAAGCCGGAGAGCGAAGGUAUUAUGGCAUCGAUUUCGUGAACGAAGCAGAGCAGCAAGUCCGUACCAUCCAGCAACAUCUGGAAGCUGCUCAAGCUCAUCAGAAAAGUUAUGCUGACAAAAGAAGGAAGCCGAUUGAGUUUUCAGUUGGUGACCAUGUGUAUAUCAAAGUGUCUCCGAUGAAGGGUGUACAAAGGUUCGGAGUCAAGCGAAAGCUUGCACCUCGUUAUGUGGGACCUUAUCGGAUUCUCGAAAAGAAAGGGAAUGUGGCGUACAAAGUUCAACUCCCAGUUGUGCUUCGAGCUAUUUUCCCUAUUUUCCACGUAUCACAAUUAAAGAUGUGCCUUCGUGUACCGGAGGAACGAGUGGAAGUUCGAGAUAUCAAGUUGAAGUCAGACUUGGUGUAUGAAGAAAAACCCAUAGCGGUUCUCGAUCGCAAGGAACGGGAGACUCGUAAUCAUUUGGUUAAGCUCUACAAGGUGUUGUGGAGUAACCACGGGGAGGAAGAUGCCACUUGGGAGACGGAGGAUUAUUUAAAAGAAGUUUACAAAACAUUCUUCGAAAAUCAGUAAGCUUUCAAAUCUCGGGACGAGAUUUUUGUAAGGGGGGAGGGCUGUAACACCCCAGUGUUAUGGUUGCAUUAAUCAUGUGCAUAGCAUGAGCAUCAUCAUCUACUCAAAGCAUAUCAUGAUCAUCAUCUAUCUUGAGCCAUGUCAUUCUAUGCAAAAAGGUGAUCUAAAUUGCUUAAAUAGGCUUUCUAUGCUUAUGUUUGAGUAAACCAUGCUUGUGUUUGUGCUCUAUGCCUUGGUAAUUAGUUUAUCUAUGCUUAACUUAACCUUGGGAACAAUGUUCAUGUUGAUCACUUCUCCAAAAGAAAGGCUUAAGACAUACUUAUGCAAAUAGGCCCUAGAAACCUCUUCUGCUUAGGCUUUUAAAAAGUGUUUCAUAAAAUGUUUGCAUGUCAAAGCAUUCUACAGCAAAGUUGUAGAAAAUUUUAUAAGGAACAAAAGUUGUUUUAUGUCCAUCUCAUGAAAAUGAUCACAUCUAGCUCAAAAUUGACCCACAAGCCAGAUUUGGGGCUGUUUCCAACACUUAGGAAAUUUUCCAUGUCCUGGAGCGAAAACAGUUUGCUUGAUCGGUUUUGAAAACUCUAUAUCUCUCAAUCCAGGCCAAUCUGGCUUUUGCUCUAGUUGACAUUGUUGUAGAACUCAGUUGGAACUCCAACUUUGUCAACUACACCAUCUCCUAACUCGCUCUGGUUUGGAAGUUAAUCAUCGACGAAGUUGCUAUGUCAGUCAGUGAUCGCGAGGUCUGAUUCAGAGCUGAGCUCGCCGUCGUGGUCACCCAGAGCGCCACCUGUCCGCCAGAUGGCGCCCGUACGCCGGCGAUGGCCCCGCUCAUUAGGUCGACGGCGUUGGCAUGGACGCCACGGCGCCCCGCACUCACUCAGCGCCCGUCCAUUCUCCUCCUUCCUCUCUCUCGCGCUCGCUCUGGCGGAAACGGUGUCGCCAUUGCCGCCUAGAGCUUCGCAAGCUCUUAACGCCCUCGCCUCUGCGUCUCGCUUCGCCUCCGAGCACCUCCAAGUCUGCCUCGAGCUCCUCCAUCUUCUCCACCCCUCAGUUGGACGAGAUCUCCCCGAGGUGAGCGGCAUUUCGCAAGUUCUCCGUCGUCGGGUUCGCGGCCGUCGCGACACCGAUUCCGGCGAACCUCGCCGCUGCUCCACCCUUGCUUCCUUUCUUCUCUUUGGGUAGUGUUAGGUUCUGCUUAGGUCUUGGCGUUGGUCCACACCAUGACAUUCCGGCUAAAACCUCACCGUCGCGUGGGAACACGGUUGGCGCACCGCCGUGCUCACCGCCGACGAGCACCUCGCUCGUGAGCAGGCUCACCGGAGCCGUUAGGGUUAGGAGUUCCUACCUCGAAAGCUCCGCGCUGACUCACUGAUGCUGUAUGUAACACACUAGUGUUAUGGUUGCAUUAAUCAUGUGCAUAGCAUAAGCAUCAUCAUCUACUCAAAGCAUAUCAUGAUCAUCAUCUCUCUUGAGCCAUGUCAUUCUACGCAAAAAUGUGUUUUAAAUUGCUUAAAUAGGCUUCCUAUGCUUGAGUGAACCAUGCUUGUGUUUGUGCUUAAUGCCUUGGUAAUUAGUUUAUCUAUGCUUAAAUUGACUUUGGGAACAAUGUUCAUGUUGGUCACUUCUCCAAAUUAUGCCCUUAAGUCACACUUAUGAAAAUAGGCCCUAGAGACCUCUUUUGCUUAGGCUUUUAAAAAUUGCUUCAUAAAAUGUUUGCAUGUCAAAACUUCCUACAGCAAAGUUGUAGAAAAUUUUAUAAGGAACAAAAGUUGUUUUAUGGCCAUCUCAUGAAAAUGAUCACAAGUAGCUCAAAUUUGACCCACAAGGCAGAAUUGGGGCUGUUUCCAACACUUAGAAAAUUUUCUAAGUCUGGAAUCACUGCAGUUUGCUCGAGGGGGUAUUGUUCAUCCUCCAGUUUGAAUUCUAGGCUGAAUCAAGCUUUGAUCUUGUAAGCAAUGUUGGAGUACCCAUGUAGCUCUCCAGCAUGGAGCAAUUAGCCAGCAAAAUCAUCGAGUGGUUAGGGAGUUAAUCGUCGAGCAAAAUCGAGUUUCAGUCGGUUUGGGAAUUGAAUGGAGCCGCCGUCAGACAGGGGGAGCUCGCCGGUGUUGCCGCGUGUCUGGACUCGUGGCGUCCGUACGUCGCCGUUGGCCCCGCUCGUCAGUCCUCCACGCGUCCUUCAGCUCGCCACGGCGCCCCCGGUCGCGUGGACAGCGCCAUUCCACUCCCGGUUCCCUCCCUCUCGCGUGCGUCGUCGUCUCCGCGUCGCCGCCGUUGCUUCGGCGAGCUCGCGCGCGCGUGUCUCCUUGUCUCCGGUCAAGCAACUCCGUCCAGUGCUCUGCAAGCCUCUCCUCUCCACCGUUGUCAAGUUGGCUGCGACUGCCGAGCUUCGGUGAGGCCGCAUUGCCUUCUCCGUCGCGAGCUUGCCUCGCCGGAGUUCCGCCAUGGCCACCGGCGUCGUGGCCAGGGCUCUGUAGCCCACCAUUCUUUCUCAUUCUUGUCCCAAAAGGUUCACUAGGUCUUGCUGUUGCUCGUCCGCAUUCUCUUCCGCUCUGUCUCCGGCCCGAGACGCCGGCGGUCGGCCGCGCACCACCGCCGUGCCGCCAUUCGCGAGGGCAAGGUACCUAGAGUCCGGUAGAGUUAGGGUUUUGGGUACCGCUAGAUGCGGAAUGCAGUGGGGAGCACGAUGGUGCCCUUGGCCAGUGCCGAGACCUCGCCGUCGACGAGAUCUCCGGCGGUCAAGCCGCGCCUCUGCUUCCGGGUCGCUGGCAGGUGGGGUCCGUUGACUCGCGGGUCCCCUCUGUCAGUCUCUCUUUCUCCUUUGUUUAAACUAGGGUUUGAGCUGUUUUUGCAAAAAUCAUAUCUCUAGUUCUGGUGAUCCAAAAAUGUUGAAACAAAUUUUGUGGUAUUCCUUGAGAUGGCUAGUUUUUCAUAAAAAUAUAAAAUGAACCAUGUUUUCUGGGAAAAUAUUUAUUAAGGAUUUAAUCUUGUUAUUCAUGGAUAAAUGUAUAUCUCUUGUUAUACUGCUUAGUUUACUCUGAAAAUUUUAUGGUAGUUUCUGUAUGGUAUGAGAGUGCUUUGGUAAAUAUUUUAGUAUUUUUGGAGCACUGCAUCUUUGUUAUGUAAUUUAUGAUUGAAAUGUGGCUUGUUUCCUUGAUUAAAUUAUAUAAAUUAAUUGGUGCUUAUGCUGGUGCUCUACUUUGGUAGUAAACAGGUUUAUAGUAUUCCUAAGACAUAAAUAAUCUGAAAUCUGUUGUUUGGCACCAUAUGAGUCAUGUUUCUGAAUUUAUGAAAUAAUUACCUUGGCACAUGUUAAAUACAUAUCUUUAAUUUAGUAUGUGCAAUUGCUCUGAAAUUUUUAUGGUGAUGCCCUGAUGUUAAAUACAUAUCUUUAAUUUUGUAGAUUUUUCUGAGCACUUUGACUGGUAUAUUAUAAUUAUGCUCUUUUCUAGAAUUAAUUAAUAAAUGCCUUGUUAAGUAAAUGUUUGGGGGUUUUCAUCUGGUGUUCUGGUAACCUUGUAAUAUGUUUGUGCUCAUAAGCCAAGUGGUUGGCAUGGGUUAUGUUUUGGUUGUGUCAUUAAAUAAUUACUUAAAGGGGUUAAAGGCUGUUCUGGACAGCAAGGAAAGGAUUUAAUUUUUCUUAAUGAUAACUUGACUUUCUGUGAAACUUGUCUUAAUCAAAGUUUUUCUAAACUUGUUGAACUAGCUGUGGUUUAAAUUUAAGGUCAUUUGGCCAAGUAGUUUAAAAGUUAUAGCUGUUCCAAGUUGGGUUCCAGAAAUAGGUGUUCUCUGUUUUUCUGGAACAGAACCUGGAACAUUGUUUAAAUGACUGGUUUAAUGUAUGAAUCUGGCUGCCAUGUUUAAAGAUGAGUUGUGGACAAUUUCAUAAGCUUUCCAGAAUGUCCUCACUCAUGUUAGUUGGACCUGUAUAUCAUUAGUUAUGAUUUAUUUACUGAGUAUACUUGUUUUAUGUUGCUUGCUGUUUUAGUAUCAUGAUAGGUUGUGGGCUGAGUUGACUUAUUUACUUUUGUGAGCUAGUAUAACUUUUACUCCAUAAAUGAGUGUCCAGUGAGUUACUUGUGUUAUCAAGCAUUCAUCUUUAGCAUGUGCAUCUUCUUAUUGUUCGAGCAUGCAAUAGGUGCAUCGGACGCGACAGCCUCCUACGAGCAGCAGGCGAAUCCCGAAGGUCAGGAGGGCAGCCAAGAGGUGGAGGUCCAGCAAGCCGGACUCGAGGAGCCCGAAGAAGAAGUUGAGUGCCCGAAUCACGAGCCGGCAUCGUUCGUGAAAGGCAAGCCCCGGAGCAUUCUAAGUCUCCCUUUAUUUUCGAAAGUUACUUAAUAUGUUAUAUCUAUUUAUGCAUUACGUAUAGGAGUUGUGAUGAGACUUUUGCUGCACUUUAUUCCAUCCUUGUCCAGAUAAUUCAUCCUACCCUGGUUGUAGAGUUAGGAUCGAGUAGCGGCUUAGCCAUGCUUUAAUCGGUAGAAGUCGGGUGAUUUCCUGUCACCUGCGCGAUAUAGGGUGAUGUCGGAUCACGAUGGUCUAUAUGUGCUAUCGUGGAUGGAACCUGAUUAAAUUGACUUAAGCCAGGCGGAGUUUUGCAAGUUUGUAGUAACUCCGUCUGUGGCAGCUAAGGACCGAUCGUUGUACGUCCUCUUGUCAUGUUGAACGCAUGCCUGACACUUAGUUGGCCGGAUAACUCGUUCCGACCGCGAAGCCGAGUAGUAUGACUCAGGCCGGAAGACCGGCAAGUAUAAAGUGCGCACUACCAGAGGAAGUGCGGUGUGCGGGGGACCAUUGGCGUAAGCCCAAAGGCAGGUGAGUUAAAAUUCCUGACCUCUCUAGCAGAGUGGUAGCCCUGGGAGUGCGGCGCUGAUCGGAGCCGCGAUUCCUGAGUUGUACCAAAGGUGACCCGUUGGCUCUCCGGCAGGGGAUGCUUGGGUGAGUGCUAGGAAUAACCCUCCAGCUGGAUAGGAAUUCGAUUCGAAUCGCCGUCUCUCCCGGUUAGUGAGAACUUGACAGAGCAGCGGCAAACGUAGCAUUCACUAAUGAACUUGGUUCAUGAAAAUGAUGAUAGCAAGAAGAACAUAUGAUGAAUUUGAUAUGGUUAUUAUUGUUUGUAAUAAUCAAGUGAUGUGUUGUAGUUCAGGUGCUAAUCUAGUGGUAGGCUGAUGAUAAAUAAAUUUGAUGCUCUCAAAAUAACUUAGUUGUAAGUUAAGCUUUUGGCAAAAGGCGAGUCGACCAGCUCCACUUGAUACUUAGCCUUGCAUGAUCCUUGGUGUAUUUUAUGUUUUACUAGACGGUUAAGUCUAGCUGAGUACAUUCUCGUACUCAGGGUUUAUUCUCACCUGUUGCAGAUGAUAUCUUCUAUGACGGUUUCUGCAAGACCUGUCUCCAUCCCGCUGGGGAUGAGGACUAACCGUUGGGCACGGUUCUCUAACAACUUCGUAUCUGUUGCUUUUGGAAGGGUGGUGUAGACUCUGGCAGUAACCCGAACUUAUGAACUGAACUUUGGAAUGUGUGUGUAAGUAUUUUGCUUCCGCUAUUUCGAACAAGUGUUGUAAUAACUUAAUACUCCAAUGUGGUGCCGCUUCGACGGCAAUGUAUGACUAUGUAACAUUCGUUGUGUUUAUGUUGAACUAUUACGAUCUUGGUUUGUUGCGAGUUGGUUUGAAGUCCUUCGUGAUUUCAAUUGAGUACCGGGAUUAUAUGGGCUCAAGUUUGGAAACUUGAUUGCUGGUCGAUCGCUUCUGCACUUGAACUCUUAUAAUUUGGUCGGUUCUGUGACACUGUAGCCACCCUUCCCCGACACUCUACUGGUCGGAGAUGGCCGGCGUAAGCCGGGGUAGCUCCGCUGUGCCGCUAUGGCCGACGGCGACCCCUCUCCGUAGCCGAAACCCUAGCACCACCUACCUCCAUCGAUGCGGAAUCCCUCCAGGAGCACGUUGGUGCCCUUGGAUCCGCCGGAGAAGCUCACCGUCGGCGAGCAUUUGCCGGCGAAGGAGUCCUCUGUUCUCGGUGUCACUGACGCGCGGGUCCCGUCUGCCAGUGACUCAACGGUCACCCCCUUCCUUUUAUUCAAAUCUGGAUUUUUGGCUUUCUUGCAAAAAUCAUAUCUCUAGUUCUGGUGAUCCACAAAUUGUGAAACCAAUUUUGUGAUGUUCCUUGAGAUGGCUAGUUUUUAAUAAAAAUAUAAAAUGAACCAUGUUUUCUGGGAAAAAUAUUUAUUAGGAUUUAAUCUUGUUAUUCAUGAAUAAAUUCAUAUCUCUGGUUAUACUAUUUAGUUUGCCAUGAAAAUUUUAUGGUAGUCUCUGUGUGGUACUUGAGUGCUUUGAUAAAUAUUUCAUGAUUUUUGGAGUAAUGCAGCUUUGUUAUGUAAUUUAUUAUUGAAAUUUGGCUUGUUUCCUUGAUUAAAUCAUACAAAAUAAUUGGUGCUUAUGCUGGUGUUCUACUUUGGUGGUAAACUUGUUUAUGACAUUGAUAAUGUGUAAAUAAUCUGAAAUCUGUUGUUUGACAUCAUAUAAGUCAUGUUUCUGAAUUUAUGAAAUAAACACCUUGUCAUAUGUGAAAUGCAUAUCUUUAAUUUGGUAUGUGCAAUUGCCCUGAAGUUUUUAUGGUGAUGCUUUGAUGCUAUACUUGUGCUUCUGUAAUUUUUGUAGAUGUUUCUGAGCACUUUGACUAGUAUCUUGUAAUUAUGCUCCUUUCUAGAAUUAAUUAAUAAAUGCCUUGUUAAGUAAAUGUUUGAGGGUUAUCAUCUGAUGUUCUGGUUGUCUUAUGUUAUGCUUGUGCUCAUAAGCCAUGUGGCUGGCAUGGUUUAUGUUUGGGUUAUGUCAUCAAAUAAUUAAUUGGUGGGUUAAAAGCUGUUCUGGACAGCAAGGGAGUAAUUUAACUUUUGCUUAAUGAUAACUUGGUUUUCUGGGAAACUUGUCUAAAUCAAAGUUGUUGUAAACUUAUUGAACUAGCUGUGGUUUAAAUUUGGGAUCAUUUGGUCCAGUAGUUUUGAAGUUAUGAUCUUUCCAAGUUAGGUUCCAGAAAUAGGUGUUCUCUGUUUUUCUGGGACAUAACCUGGAACUUUGUUUAAAUGACUUGUUUAAUUUAUGAACCUUGCUGUGAUGUCUAAAGAUGAUUUGUAGACAAUUUCAUAAGCUUUCCAGAAUGUCCUCACUUAAAUUUGUUGGAUUUUGUGGUAAUAGUUAUGCUCUGUUUACUGAGCUAAUCCUGCUGUUUGAUGCUUGCUGUUAUAGGCUAUCAUGAUAGGUUUUGGGCUAAGUUAACUUGUUAACUUGUGUGAACUUGUUAUAACUAUUGCUCCGUAAAUGAGUGUCCAGUGGGUCACUUAUGUUUUCAAGCAUUCAUUCUUUUGUAUGCACACCUUCUCAUUCACCGAGCAUGCAAUAGGUGCAUCGGAUGUGGCAGCCUCAUUCGAUCUGCAAGUGAACCCCGAAGGCCAGGAGGGCAACCCGGAGGUGGAGGUCCAGCAAGUCGGACUCGAGGAGCCCGAAGAAGAAGUUGAGUGCCCGAGUCACGAGCCAGCCUCGUUCGUGAAAGGCAAGCCCCGGAGCAUUCUAAGUCUCCCUUUAUUUUCGAAAGUUUAUUUAAUAUGUUAUGUCUAUUGAUGCAUUAAGUAUAGGAGUUGUGAUGACACCCUUGUUGCAUUUUACUCCAUCCUUGUCCAGAUAACUCACCACACCUUGGUUAUAGAGUUAGGAUCGAGUAGCAGCUUAGCCAUGCUUUAAGCGGUAGACGUCGGGUGAUUUCCUGUCACCUGCGCGAUAUAGGGUUGUGUCGGAUCACGAUGGUCUAUAUGUGCUAUCGUGGAUGGAACCUGAUUAAUUUGACUUAAGCCGGGCGGAGUUUUGCAAGGUUGUAGUAACUCCGUCUGUGGCAGCUAAGGACCGACCGUUGUACGUCCUCUUGUCAUGUUGAACGCAUGCCUAACACUUAGUUGGCCGGAUAACUCGUUCCGACCGCGAAGCCGAGUAGUAUGACUCAGGCCGGAAGACCGGCAAGUAUAAAGUGCGUACUACCGGAGGAAGUGCGGUGUGCAGGGGAUCAUUGGCGUAAGCCCAAAGGCAGGUGAGUUAAAAUUCCUGACCUCCCUGGCAGAGUGGUAGCCCUGGGAGUGCGGCGCUGAUCGGAGCCGCGAUUCCUGAGUCGUACCAAAGGUGACCCGUUGGCUCUCCGACGGGGGAUGCUUGGGUGAGUGCUAGGAAUACACCUCCAGCUGGAUAGGAAUUCGAUUCGAAUCGCCGUCUCUCCCGGUUAGUGAGAACUUGACAGAGCAGCGGCAAACGUAGCAUUCACUAAUGAACUUGGUUCAUGAUAAUGAUGAUAGCAAAGAAGAACAUAUGAUGAAUUUAAUAUGGUUAUUAUUGUUUGUAAUAAUCAAGUGAUGUGUUGUAUUACAGGUGCUAAUCAAGUGAUGUGUUGUAGUACAGGUGCUAAUCUAGUGGUAGGUGCUAAUCUAGGGCAAUCAAGUUUAGGGUAGUCAACUGAAAUCAUGAAGGACUUCAAACCAACUUGCAACAAACCAAGAUCAUAAUAGUUCAACACAACACAUCGAUUGUUACAUAGUUCAUUCAUUGCCGUCGAAGCGGCACCACAUCGGAGUUACUUAGUUAUUACAACACAAGUUUGUAGUAGCGGAAGCAAAAUACUUUACAUCACACAUUCCAAAGUUCAGUUCACAAGUUCUUGUUUCUGCCAGGGUCUCAUGCCAUCCAUCAAAAGCAACAGAUACGAAGUAGUUAGAGAACCGUGCCCAACGGUUUAGUCCUCAUCCCCCGCGAGAUGGAGACAGAUCUUGUAGAAGCCAUCAUAAAAGAUAUCAUCUGCAACAGGUUGGAAUAAACCCUAAGUACGAGGAUGUACUCAGCUAGACUUACCCGUCCAGUAAAACAUAAAUGACACCAAGGAUCAUGCAAGUUUGAGCAUAAAGUGUAGCUGGCUUGACUCAAUAGUUGCCAAAAGCUUAAUUGAUAGCUACAUUAUUGUAAAGGCAUCAUAUUAAUCAUCAUUUGCCUACCACUAGAUUAGCACCUGGACUACAACACAUCACUUAAUUAUUACAAGCAAUAAUAAAUAUAUCAAGUUCAUCAUAUGCUCUUCCUUGCUAUCAUCAUCAUCAAUAACCAUUGUUCAUUAAUGGAUGCUACGUUUGCUGCUGCUCUAUCAAGUUCUCACUAUCCGGGAGAGACAACGAUUCAAAUCGAUUCCUAUCCAGCUGGAGGGUUAUUCCUUGCACUCACCCAAGCUUUUCCCGUCGGAGAGCCAGCGGGUCACCUUUGGUAUGACUCAGGAAUCGCGGCUCCGAUCAGCGCCGCACUCCCAGGGCUACCACUCUGCCAGGGAGGUCAGGACUUUUAACUCACCUGCCUUUGGUCUUAUGCCAAUGGUCCCCCGCACACCGCACUUCCUCCGAUAGUGCGCACUUUAUACUUGCCGGUCUUCCGGCCUGAGUCAUACUACUAGGCUUCACGGUCGGAAUGAGUUUUCCGGCCAACUAAGUAUUAGGCAUGCGUUCAACGUGACAAGAGGACGUACAACGAUCGGUCCUUAGCUUCCAUAGACGGAGUUACUACAACCUUGCAAAACUCCGCCCGGCUUAAGUCAAUUUAAUUAGGUUCUUACCACGAUAGCACAAAUAGACAAUCGCGAUCCGACACAACCCUAUCUCGCGCAGGUGACAGGAUAUCACCCGACUUCUACCGAUUAAGCAUGGCUAAGCUGCUACUCGGUCCUAACUCUAUAACCAGGUAGUGGUAAGAUAUCUAGACAAGGAUUGAGUAAAAUGCAGCAAGGGUUUCAUCACAACUCCUAUACGUAAUGCAGCAAUAAACAUAACAUAAUCAAGUAAACUUUCGAAAUUAAAGUGGGAGACUUAAGAUGCUUCGGGGCUUGCCUUUCAUGAACGAUGUAGGCUCGUGAUUCGGGCACUCAAUCUCCUCUUCGGGCUCCUCGUGUCCGGCUUGCUGGACCUCCACCUCCGGGUUGAUCUCUUAGCCCUCGGGGUUCACUUGGAGCUCGAACGUAGCGGUCGUUUCCGGUGCACCUAUUGCAUGCACGAUGGAUAAGAAUGUGUGCAUACUAAAUGGAUGAAUGCUUGAUAACAUAAUUAGACUCACUGGACACUCAUUUACGGAGUAACUGUCAUAACAAGUUCAUACAAGAUGACUAUUUAACAUAGCAAAUCCUACCAAUUCAACCUAUAAACAGCAAGCAUCACAUAACAGAACAGCUCAGUAAACAGAUCAUAACUAUUGCUAUACAGGUUCAACAAACAUGAAUGAGGACAUUCUGGAAAGCUUAUGAAAUUGUUUAUAUUUCAUAUUUAGACAUCACAGCAAGAUUCAUAAGUUAAACAAGCCAAAUAAACAAAGUUCCAGGUUCUGUCCUAGAAAAACAGAGAGCACCUAUUUCUGGAAUCCAACUUGGAAAAGCCAUAACUUCAAAACUACUGAAUCAAAAGAUCCCAAAUUUAGACCACAGCUAGUUCAUGAAGUUUACAACAACUUUGAUUUAGACAAGUCUUCCAGAAAACCAAGUUUUCACUAAGCAAAGGUUGGAGUACUCCCUUGCUGUCCAGAACAGCUUUUAACCCUUUAAUUAAUUAUUUAAUGACAUAACCAAAACACAUUUAGUGGCAACCAAAUGGCUUAUAAACACUAGCAUACCAUAAGAUUACCAGAACAACAUAUGUAAACCCCAAAACAUAUAAUAACAAGGCAUUUAUUAAUUUAAUUCUAUAAAGGAACAUAAUUAUAAGAUACCAGCAAAAGUGCUCAGAAAAAUCUACACAAAUUACACAAGCACAAGCAUAGCAUCUUGACAUCACCAUAAAAUUUUCAGAGCAAUUGCACAUGCCAAAUUCAAGAUAAGCAUUUAACAUGUGACAAGGUGCUUAUUUCAUAAAUUAAGAAACAUAGCUUAGAUAGUGUCAAACAACAUAUUUCAGAUUAUUUACAUGUGACUAUUACCAUAAACAAGUUUGACACCAGAGUAGAGCACCAGCAUAAGCACCAAUUAAUUAUUAUGAUUUAAGUAAGACAACAAGCCAUAUCACAAACAUAAAUUACAUGUCACAGAUUUAUUACUCCAAAAAUCAUGAAAUAUUUAUCAUAGCCUUCUCAUACCACUCAGAGCAUAGAAUAAAAAUUUCAUAGCAAAAGGAGCAGUAUAACAAGAGAUAUGGAUUUACACAUAAAUAACAAGAUUAAAUCAUAACAAUUAUUUUUCCCAAAAAACAUGGUACAUUUUAUAUUUUUAUUAAAAACUAGCCAUCUCAAGGAACAUCACAAAAUUUAAUUCACAAUUUUUGGAUAUCAGAAACAGAAGAUAUGAUUUUUGCAAGAAUGCCAAAAACCUAGAUUUGAAUAAAAGAAAAGGAGGGAAACGAUGUGUCACUGACAGCGUGUCCCGCAUGUCAGGUUCAUCUUCCUCAUGACCGAGGCGACUCUCACCGGCGAUUUAUCCGCGAUGGCGAGGUCUUCGGCCAAACCAAGGGCACCAACGUGAUCCCCAGACCCUUGCGAACCGAUUGACCCCCUUUUCCCCACGGCGGAGCCACCGGAAAUGGCUUGCCGUCGACCAUGGCGGCUCGGCGGAGGUGCUCGGCGUUACACCAGAGCUCUCAGGCUGGUAGAGCGCGACCUAGGGGCUCCUACCGCACCUGUGAACUAUGGCGAAGCUUCCUAGAUAGGUGACUAGGCUUGAAACGGUCUGGAAUGAGGUAGACACGAGAGAGCCGAACUCCGGCGGAAACACGGCGGCGCUGCGCGUCGUGUCCGGCGACGGUGAGUGCGGUAGAGCGUCCAACAAGUGGCGCAAACGUUUGGUAAGGACCUAAGCUACCUCUAGGACCUAACCAGAGAAGACGAGAGGCUCUGAGGAGCUCAACAUUGAGUUCGCCGGAGAAGAAGGUCACGGCGACCCGAUUUGGGGGAAGUUGGAAAUGUCGGCUCACCGGAGGGUUUCACGGCGAGUUUGCGGGUGGAGGAUGGAGAGCGGGUCACGGUGGAGCUGUGGGCGAGUUUUUGUGGGCAGCAACGCAGCGAGGAGUGCGUUUGAGCUCGCCGGAGUGAGCUCGCUGCGGCCGCUUUUCUCGCGAGAGAGCGAGAGGGAGGAGAAAGUGGACGCAUCCACUGCAUCCGGGGCGUCGCCGUGGAGGUCAUGCGCGUGCUGGGAGCUGACGAGCGGGGCCAGGAACGAUGUACGGGCGCCAAAUGUCGCCGUUGUUCUGUCGCCGGUCGGCCACGUCGACGAGCUCGGCUUCGAUUCAGUCAUGGCGAUGGUUGUGUGACAGAGCAACUUCGACAGUGAUUAACUCCCAAACCAAAACGAAUUAGGAGAUGGUGUAGUUGACAAAGUUGGAGUACUUGCUGGGUUCUACAACAUUGUCAACUAGAGCAAAAGCCAGAUCGGCGUGGAUUGAGGGAUAUGAGGUUUUCAAAAUCGAUCGCGCAAACUGGUGGCGCCAGGACUUAGCCAAAUUUGGUUAAGUGCCAAAACAGCCCCCAAAACUGCCUUAAAAGCACGUUUUGAGCAAGAUGUCUUCAUUUUCAUGAGAUGCCCAUAAAACAACUUUUGUUCCUUAUAACAUUUUCUACAACUUUGUUGUAGGAAGUUUUGACAUUCAAACAUUUUAGGAAACACUUUUUAAAAGCCUAAGCAAAAGAGGUUUCUAGGGCCUAUACAUGGAAGUAUGACUUAAGUGAUUAUUUUGGAGAAGUGAUCAACAUGAACAUUGUUACUAAGGUUGAGUCAAGCAUAGAUAAACUAAUUACCAAGACUUAACACACAAGCAUGAGCAUGGCACAAACCAACACAAGCAUAGGAAGCAUAUAUAAAACGAAAAUAUAAAAACAGAGAAUAGUAUUUAUUGAGGAGUCUCAACAUGAUAAAGGCUAAAUAUUUAUGCUAACACUUAAUCAAUUCUACAAAGCUUUGUUGUCUAUUUGAGCUCUAUAGAAUUUAAAGAAUCAGGUAGACUAGCAGACGGAGGACAUUCUAAUCGCUGUCAGAAUGCUGCUGACUUUCAAAUACACCUCUGCCACCUGCUAGCUACAUCAAGAGAAAUUACGUCAAAAUUCAGCUUGGGGGAGAGCACCCCCAUUUAUCCCGCUAAGUAUUUCUAUCUAUCUUUAUACUUAUACUAUAUUAAAAUAUUAAUACACAUAACUAUGGAAAACCAAAUAAAGAUUUUGUUCUUAUAUAUAUAUAUAUGUCUUUUGCUUAGUGUGUUUAAUAAAUAAAUAAAGUGGCUAUGCUAAUCUGAAUCUUAAUAAUAAAACUCUAGCAUGGAUAUGAUGAAUAGUUGCUCUGCCUAAUUUUCAAAUUUAAGUUGUCUCUCAAGUUUAGACAUAACUGUUAUAAUUUAAAGCUUGCUCUAGACCUAAACUUGUGGGAUGAAAACUUGAUCUGAAGUCUAAGUUGUUAACGAAUACGAUAUGGGAAGGUUGAGCUGCUGUUUAUCUGUUCCUAGAGAUGCUAGAAUUCUGGAGAAUUUUAUCUUUGAAAAUCUUUAAAAUAUUACAUGAUGAGUUCCUGUAUGAUGAGAGUUUAAAUUCCUACCACAGCCAUAUAUACAUGCUUGCUAGACUUUUAGCCACACAUUUACUAUUUACUGCUUAUGAGCAUUGAGUGUGGUCAAGCUGUGUAGACCCCUAGGAGCUUGUCAUGUGGUUAAAUCAAGAUUCACUUGCACGUUCACUCACAUCUGCUGCUUCUACUCCGGAAGUACCAUCCACAUAUAUCCACCCAUUUCCAUCUCCAAAAUCACCCAAAAAUAUUCUACUCCUAAUCCGGGAGGGAAUAGCCAAAAAUAUUUCUGUUUUUCUCUUGUGAAAUAAAUGCUCAAGUUAUCUUUACUACCACUUGCUACAUUAUCUCAAGAGAUGAGUGCUCUAAAAAAAUAAAAAAAAAAGAGAAGAAAAAGAUAUGAGGAAAUAAAAAGGGGCAAGUGCCCGAAACCUCGGAAAAAGAAAAUGAGUGAGACGAGAAGUAAAAAUGGACAAGUGUCCGACAGUAGAAUUAGGGGUACAAGAUACCCACCUGAGAGAAAAGAAAAAGAAGAGCAUCUCAUUCUCAUCACAAAUUUACAAAAAGCAAGGAAGGUAUGUAUCCCCUCAAAAGAGCAAAAGUAGAAUUAGGCUUUCACCAUUGUUAUCACCAUCAUCACUAUACACAAUUCAUUCGCCACACAUGCACAUCUUGAUUUAAUUUAUUGACUUGUUCUUUUGGAUCCAUAGUUUGACUAUACAAUAAAUGUCUUGUAAGUAUGUAUAUUUUAUCUCCCACCUAUGAGCUCCAAAUAUUAAAGCCUUAUUAGAGUAGGGUGAGAGAGAAGGCAAUGUCACUAUGCCUUAUACCACAAAUACCACAUAUUUUGAGAGAAGGCAUAUACCAUCACUGCCUUGGUAAGCAUCCAGAAAUACCACAAAAGAGAGAUAUGAGAGAAUCAUACAAGGAAUCUCUGAGUUUUAUUUGAAAAUCUGCAAAAACUCCAGAGCUAUAGCUGAUCAAGAAUAAGAGACAUGGCACUUGGCUAGACUGUUCUGUCUUUUAACCACUCA